This 120010-nucleotide long non-coding RNA is filed under the name Citrus maxima (pomelo). RNAcentral describes it as "long non-coding RNA (CMAX_LNC000735)". The stretch from base 44372 to 44510 matches the Rfam family "Small nucleolar RNA Z247". The record is from RNAcentral. Lineage: Eukaryota; Viridiplantae; Streptophyta; Magnoliopsida; Sapindales; Rutaceae.
UUAGAAGAGAUAGUUUUAUCCCAACAGUGGGAUAAAUCAUUGAGAUGCAUGGCAGUGUGAAUAUAGUAGACAAAAUCAUUGAGACACAUGGUGGUGUGAACAUAGUAAACUUUGUCAAACACAGCUAAGAUAAACAAAUUGUUUCAUUAGCCUUUAUCUUAUCUGCUGUGAUGAUUCAAAUUAAUGCUGUUUGGUAAGUUGCAAAAAACGAAAUGAGCUGACUGUUCGUAUUAUUUAGUCAGAUCUAUAGCAAUAAGUUGAAGUUCAUUGUCACAUGGGUUGGGAGUAGCGUGGGCUGUGAGUAGUAGAAUGGAUUUAUGGAGUUGAUACAAGUGCCCACAAUCUAUCAUGUCAUUCUAGGAUUAAAUGGAUUGCACAUUACUAUAAAGAUGGAGGUUAAAUUUAUAUAAUUCGGAUUGAUUGUAAAAUGGGAGGCAGAGAUGAGUUAGAAAAAGAAUGACCUGUGUCCUUUUUGAGCUGUUUCUAAAUGUCCCUGGUGUGCUUCAUGCUUAACACGUGCCUUUCCAAAUAAUUUUGCUUAACCUGUGCUUGUCUACUUCUUGUGCUAUUCUGUGCCUGGUCCUGAGCUGUGUUGGUAGAUUGACAUCCAGCUUGAACUUUUAGGUAUAUCUUUUGUACAUAAAUUCUGAAUACCCAUGGACUUAGCGUGAUAAAGUCAAGGAUCCAUUUAGCUGAGUCGUUCAAGGUUUGUUAGUAUGUCUUCGGAUUAUAAAUAUGUGACAAAAAUGAGGUGUAGAAUACAUUUAAAAAGAAAAGGAUAAAAAAAAAAGAAGAAAUGAAAAGAGGUGUUUAGAAGGAAUAGUUAAACUAGAUACACUCCCACUAAUUAGCGAUUCUGAUGAACAGUGCCCAUAGCUUCUUUUAUACCUUGAAGUUGCAGAAAUUGAUUCUUGGUGAAUUAAGUCACUUACAGACAUAACUUUUUCUUCCAUCUAAUUUUUAUUAGGUUAGAUAGGAGAAGACUUGUUUCAGGGUGUCCUGACCCUAGUAUUAGUUUUCUCGUCAGACUUUUCAAGAAAAUUUACAAUGCACACGACAUACAACUUCUAGUAAUCCUAGGACUUUGUUGACAGGGUGCUUCUAUUCCUCGUUGUGGAAAUGGGACAAACCUUUUGAUACCUUUACCAGGAUCAGUUAGUGCUGAGGAUAUGGCUAUUACUGGAGCUGGUGCACGACUUCAUGAUCAAGAUGCACCAACCCUUCCACUGUUGUAUGAUUUUGAAGAAUUAGAGGGAGAAUUGGAUUUUCUUACUCGUUUUGUGGCAGUUACCUUUUAUCCUGCUAUUUCUGGAACAAGCUCCAUGACUCUUGGUGAGGUAGAAAAUAUUUUCAUAAAAUGUUAAUUGAUGUGUCUACGCACUUUAUUCUUAAAUUAGUAUUUUAGACCAUGAGCUUUGUGGAGUGGGUUUGCUGUAACUGCUGCUGGUGACAACAUAAUUGUUAAUAUUAUUACAGAUAGAGAUUCUUGGAGUUUCUCUUCCAUGGACGGGGUAUUCAAUAAUGAAGGCCCUGGUGCUAGAUUAAUUGAGCUUGGCAAAAAGUUUCAGAAGGAAACCGAUCCAUUUUUGUCAAAUUCAGUUACAAAUACAGUUCCGUUUUCCAAUGAAAAUAUGUCAACAUCAAUGCAAACAGAAGCUGCUUCCAAUCCUUGGGUUGACCUGUUGUCUGGAGGGGACACAUUUUCUGAUCCUCUUUCAGAGCCGUUUUCUAGCCCUCUUUCCGAGCCGUUCUCUGAUCCUCUUUCUGAGCCGUUCUCUGAUCCUCUUUCUGAGCCAGUGACAAGAAAUGUUGCAUUUGGAGGGGCUGAUUUGCUUGAUUUCUUGGACCAGCCUAUAGUUGAAGAUCAUGGUGUGGAAACUUAUAAAAGAUCUUCAACACAGGAUGGCUGUUCUCUAGCUAGUGGUGCCCAGCAGUACAUAAGCUGUCUAAAAUCCCUUGCAGGGCCAUGCGAGGUAUAGUACUGCUCUCUUGUGUUUUUUGCAGCUCUACAUCUUAGCAACUUCAUCUUUUUAAAGGAGUAAAUUCUAGAAGUUCAACAAAUUUUGCUCUGCUAAAUGUAUAACUUAUUAAUCAGUGUCCUGUUAUUAUGGUUUGACACUACUGACAUAUUGUGUUGGUAUUUAUUUGUACUUCCCUUGGUUGAAUUAUUUGCUGUCUCCAUGCCAUUCGAUAUGGUGCUACUUGGUUUUUGAUCAUCCAUGACGCUAUAUAUAUGUAAAGGAUGAAUUGAUUGUUUUGGCUUGUAUUCUCACAUUUUAUGAUUGAUUGAUGGAAAGGUCUUCAUGUAUUAAAUUCAACCUCACAAGCGUAAGAUUGACAGAUUCUGGGCAAAUUUUCAGGAAAAGAAACUAGACUUCAUGGAAGCAAUGAAGCUUGAAAUUGAAUGUCCGCAGCUGAAUCUUUCUGCAGCUGAAAGGGAUAGAGCUUUAUUGUCAAUUGGAACUGAUCCUGCCUCUAUAAAUCCAAAUGUAUUGCUUGAUGAAUCUUACAUGGGAAGACUGUGUCGAGUAGCAACCACUCUUGCAUUACUUGGCCAAACUUCCCUAGAAGACAAAAUUGUUGGUGCAAUUGGCCUUGAGAAUAGUGAUGAUAGUGUUUUAGACUUCUGGAAUAUUACUAGAAUCGGAGAGAGUUGUUCUGGUGGCUGGUGGCGGGUGCAAGGUUCGUGCAGAAACUAAGGUGCCUGCUCUUGCUUCCUCAACUGCAACAUCUGUUGGAGCUUCACAAUCCCCUUUGUUGUGUUCUCAAUGUGAAAGAAAAGUUUGCAUAGUUUGUUGUGCAGGAAGAGGAGCUCUACUGUUUUCAAAUUAUAAAUCAAGGGAUGUGACCAACUACAAUGGCUUCUCAAGUCAGAGUGGAUCAAGCCAUGGAAGCCAAGUUGAUGUAUCUACCAGUCGUUCACUAACACUGGAUGGCGUUAUCUGUAAACACUGCUGCCAUGAGAUUGUGCUUGAUGCAUUGAUGUUGGACUAUGUUAGGGUCUUGAUUAGCUUGCGAAGAAGUUCCCGUGCAGACAACGCAGCAUACAAUGCUUUGAAUGAGGUUGUUGGAUCCUGCUUAAAGGAUAGUCUUUCUGAAAGGAUUCAGUCUUCCGAUAACGUGCAAGCUGCUGAAGUCCUUCACCAAUUAUGUGGUGGACAGGAAUCUCUUGCUGAAUUUCCAUUUGCUAGCGUUUUGCACUCGGUAUGUUCUUGGUUUGUAUUCAGUUCUCAUCAUGUUAUGUUUUCCUUUUAAAUUUCUUUUCUUGAUUAAAAUUUUUAGAAAUAUGUUUUAGUAUUUGUUCUUAUGAUAUAUGCCCAGAACAUUCAUCCCACUUAUCCAUGAGAAUCCUUGUCUGGUUUGAUUUUCAAUUGAGACAUUUUUGGGAACCCUGAGCAGGUUCCAUAUGCUAAUAAUCUUUGAGGUAAGGUGUUGUAGGAUGCCUUGAGAAGCUAAAAACCAAUUACAAGGAAAAGCUCUUGCAUUGUUUUGUGCAAUCUGUGUGCUAGCAAGUCAUGUCUCUAAUAAUUUCAUAGUUCGCUUGAUUGGAAUUUUUUAUUUUGAUAUGGAUUGUUUAUUCUAGAUUCCUUGCUGCCACUGUAGGUUGAAACAGCAAAAGAUUCAGCACCGAUUUUGUCACUGCUUGCUCCAUUAAAUUCUGGAUCAAGGCACUCAUAUUGGAGAGCUCCACCUAGUACUACUUCUGUUGAAUUUGUUAUUGUUCUCGGUUCUGUUUCUGAUGUCAGUGGGGUUAUCUUGCUUGUUAGUCCUUGCGGCUAUUCUGUGGCUGACACUCCGAUGGUAAGUGCCAUAUUUAUUCCCUUAUUUCCUUGUUGUUCAAUAAAUUUGGUGAUAAGCCAAGUGGCCUUAAUAAUGAAGCCCAGUACCAGGGGUGGUGGGUAAUCGAUAUUCAACUUGUGAAUAUUCCUAAGCAAACACUGAAUCAACAUAUACCUCGGCAAAAGUUCUCCAUGCUAUUAUAACAAAAGUCAUAUUUUGAAAUGAUUAAAACAGUCCCUGUGUAGUGCCAUUUCCAAAGAAAUUGCAGCUGGGGGUUUAGUUUCAUGUAGGUUAGUUUCCGAUAAUAAACUUUCCAUUUCAUUAAUUGCCGAUGGAAAAACCAAGUAAGAACAGUUUCGUUGCUCGUCAUUUAUGUAUAUUUUGGUAAACUGUAAUUUUAAAUUCUCAACGAUCUUCCCUUUGUAGGUAAGAAGAUGGUCCACUCACUUGAUAUUUAUGAUUGUAGAUCAGGUUUCUAUUGGUUUGCCUUUAUCAUUCGGAACCCAAGUUUGAUAUUAACAGAGAUCACGUCAAUAAUAUCCUAUUUGGGUAGAUGUGGGUGAGGAUUUAAAAUCAAAUUUGAAAUUGAGGGGAAAGAAGAGAAAAGGAACUACAAUAAUUAUUCUGAUGAGUUUUAAUCUCGAGAGGAGCAAUUUUCAAAUGCAAAUUUAACGGCUAGAGAAAUUGUAGCUUUUUGUCAUUAGUUAAGAGGAAAGAGAAUAAGAACUAUCCGGCCCUUUCCUUCAUGAAUGUGUGUUGAGGUUGCUGUAUUAUUUAGUCAGUAUUUGUAAUUUUCUUCCCUGCAGUGCUCUCUGCCUCCUGAAUUUGCUACUGAGUCCAUAUUUUUCUUUGAGCUGUUCCUUCCUAUUGCUGUUACAGUUACAAAUCUGGGCAAGCAAUAAGAUACACCGGGAGGAAAGGUCAUCAAGGGGAAAAUGGGAUGUCCAAUCCCUCAUCACAUCUUCUUCAGAUUUGUAUGGUCCAGAAAAGUCCGCUAGUGUUGAAAAAUUACCUAGGCAUGUACAAUUUACUUUUAAGAAUCCUGUUAGGUGCGCAUUGUUUGGAUCACAUUACGUCUUCAGAGACCUGGUUCGGCUUCAGUUAAUUUCGGGAAGGACUUCAGUCUUUUGUCUCUUGAUGAAGAUGAAAACCCCUUUGCACAAGUAGACAGACGUGCUUCAUUUGGAGGAGCAGUUGAAAAUGAACCAUGUAUUCAUGCCAAAAGAAUUCUUGUAGUCGGAAGCCAGUAAAAAGGGAGGGGCUUACCUCAUCACAGAGCUCUGAGCAGCUAAGUAUUAGAAACUGGUUGGAUAGAGCUCCACAAAUGAGUAGAUUCAAGGUAUUAGUUGCUUUCACUCUUUGUUCAUUCAUAAUUCCAGCUUUCUGCUUCACUGAUAAAACUCUUUUUUCUCUUCAGGUCCCAAUUGAGGCCGAGAGAUUGAUGGACUACGAUCUCGUCUUGGAACAGUAUCUACCUCCAGCAUCACCUUCGCUUGCCGGAUUCCGUCUAGACUCUUUCAGUGCAAUAAAACCUAGGGUUACCCAUUCACCUUCCUCAGAUUCAUUUACAUGAGAGAAAGAGUUUUGGGUUUGACUUUGAUUUUGAUUUGUAUUUGUUGUCAUUUCAUUGAAAUUUCUUUUUGUUGUAUAAAAAUCAGAAGGUAAAAGUAUUAAAUUCACUGAUGCGGUAAUAUCUGUGCUGGUUACAGGAUUUUAUGUUUAACUUGAAGUUAGUAAGCAAUGACUUAACAAUAGCACUUUGAAUUUAACGUGGAUCAUAUUGUAUUUGAAAUUAAAAAAUAAAGAGAGAGAAAUUAAUUGUUAAUUGAGUUGGACAAUUUUCCGUGGUUAAUUGCUCCCAGAAAAGAGAAGAAUGGGAUUGUGCUUCCUCACACGAAGAAAGACUCGAACGUCUUCGUGCUAAUUAAUCAAUGAAAGAUUUUGUCAAAUAUCUGGCCCUUUCUUUCUUGAAUGUCUGUGUACAAGUUGCUGUGUCAUUUAGUCAAUAUUUGCAAUUUUCUUCCCUGUAGUGCUCUCUGCUUCCUGAAUUUAUAUUAGUGAUCUGGUUUCUGAGUGCAUAUUUUUUCUUUCUCGUUGCUGCAGGUUUGUCGUUGUCAAACAGAAUCAAGUUAUAUUAUUAUUGUGAUCCUUAUGAGCUUGGAAAAUGGGCAAGCCUUUCUGGAGUUUGAUCGUUAUUUAUAUGUUAGAGAAAGAGUUCUGGGUUUGUUAAAACUCAUUAUUAUAAUUUGAAAUAUGUGUUAUUUCAGCUAAUGAUUAACACUAAAAAAAUUAUCACCCAUAUAAUUUUUUAAUUUGUGUAGGGUAAUAAUAAAAUUGAAAAUAAUUAAAAAAAUAGCACAAUAAUGAGUUUUAACAAUAAAACAAAUUAAAUGAAAAUUGAAAAUUUAGAAAAGUGUAUCUAAGAAAAUGGAUAUUUUCAGAAAUAAAAUGAAUAUAACUAAAAAUGGGGUUUUAUGAGGAGAUCAAAGGGGUGCCAAUAGUCCAACUCGUAAUUAAGAAUCUCCCAUUACAUUGUCAACCAAAAAGACACUUGCAUAAGAAAAAAAAUUUCUGUUUGAUUUUAUUUGUAGAUCCAACAUUUCUCAUAUCCUGGUCGCCUUUCCGUAUCAAAUUAAAAUAGUAUUAGCAAAAUCGUAGUGCAAAUUCAAUUAACCAACUAAUAGUCUAAGAAGCAAAGAGAGGAUUACAAGUUCACAACACCAUUACAAAGGAUUCAAAAUUCCCACACGAAAACAUCAAUGUACAGAUUAUAAACAAUCCGAAUUGGACACAAGAAAAACCCUUCAAUGGAUUGCUUGCCUUCCCAAUGCUAAAUACUGUGCAAACUGCGCAUUGGCCAAGAAAAUGUUUUCAAUUUAGUGUAUUUUCAAAAUGCUUAUUUUCUCAGAAUAUAAAAAAUGAAAAAAUAAAAAAAGAAUUCUUACAUGUUUCAUCAGCAUGAUUAAAAUCAAAGAAGAAAGCGAGACAUAAUGUCUCUGACAUAAUAAAAUUACAAAAAUUUCAAGAAAAAAAAAGGGUUAAAACAUGUAAUCUUCAGAAGCAUAUAAUAAAAGAAGACUUCCACAAGUUACUACAAUUACAUGCAGUAGAGAUUAACUGAUGCUUUGACUUAUUAGCAGGUUGCAAUGAAUUAUUAACUGAUGCUUUGACUUAUUAGUUCUGCAGCUAAGUUAAAUAAAAUAAGGUAUUUUCAAAAGCAAAAUGGAAUACAUAGACAAAACAUCAUCUUAAACAAAUCACAAUCUAGAAUUAGAGUGUUGAUUUGAGAUUCUAGAUUGUGAUUUGAUCGGCUCAUUUGUUAAGAAGUGUUGAUUUGAUCGGCUCUGCAAAUUCUCUUGGGACUCGGUUCCAAUUCCUCUUCAUCAAAACUGUAAUAUAAUUCCCCUUCAUCAGAACUCGAAUCAAAUUCACUUGCAGCAGUUCCACUCGCGCUUGGCAAAUCAUCUAAUUUCCAAACUUCGGUAGCAAAAUUGAGAGUAAAAGUGUUGGCUUUGAUCUCGCUGGGAUUUGCAUAUACUGGACAUACUCCGCAACGUUUUAUCUUCUGACCCUUUUGGACCUUUAGGUUUCGGCAACACUCAUUGAAGAACUUAAGUGAGACAGUUGUAUGAUGGUAACCAUCAGGAAAGCCAACAUUCAAGCAAGGUUUAAAACCAAGUAUGACAUGAUCUGAAUCAAUGAGGUCUUCAAUUGAGUGCGAAUCGAAACUCAGAUGAACAUGUUUGGUUUCAGAGAGAGUCUUUAUUUCUAAGUCGGAUCGACAGCCGACGUAAACAUUACGAAAACGAUCAGAAUAAAGUUGCUUAAAAUCAAGAACAGCACAAAAAGCAAACCCGAUUAAGUUUCUGCAAAAAGAGUGCGGUGGCAGUUGAAUACGUAUUGAAGAUCCUGAACUUUGAUUGCUGAACCAGUCAGGAAUUUUGCUCCCAGGUAAAACAAUUUGGGAUCGCCUGAGUUCAGAAAGUUUCUGUGAAACGACAUUUAAAAAAAGAAAAUUGUCAAAUGAAAACCAUGAUUUCAGAUAUAACAAAGAGGGACAGAGUAAACAAGAGAGGGAAUUUGAUACCUCGUCGAUUGUCUUUCCCCGUCUCAGUGAUGCUGCAAUUGCCAUACGUAGUGAAUCUGCCAAAAUCUUGUUGUUUGCUUUUCCAUCAAGUUUCAAGCAGUUAGUAAACCGAAAAUAAAUUGGUUGUGACAGUCGAUAUUCCGGAUGCCAUUCACAAAGGUCAGGAGAGGGUUUGGAUAGCUUUUCGAGUACGGAUGCAUCUAGUUCUUGUAGACAUGACGGAAUCUCUGGCAAAGAUUGAAGCCGGUUGCAGUUCGUUGCAUUUAGUGAAUGUAGACACAAUGGAAGUUCUGGUAAUGACCGAAGCAUGUUACAACCCGUCAAGUCAAGAGAUUCUAGACACAAUGGAAGUUCUGGUAAUGACUGAAGCAUCUUACAACCCUCCAAGUGAAGAGACCUCAGCUGCGACAGUUGCUUGAUACUUGCAGGUAAGCUCUCAAAGCUAUUUCCACUUAGAUUUAAUGUUGUCAGUGAGGAUAGACAGGCAAUCUCUUGUGGAAUUUCCAUUACAGCACAGUUCCUCAUAUCUAGAUGUCCCAAAUAAGCUAAACCUAAUAAAAACGAUCGAGGCAAUGAUACCAAACCUUUGCAGCGAGAGAAGUAAAGAACUCCAAGUCUGUUUGAAUAUGCAACAGAGGAUGAUGGUAGUUGACUAAUAGCUGAUCCAACUGCUGAGAUGAUAAACAAACAUUUUAAAUUGCCAAUGUUAUCCGGCAACUUAUCAAGCUUAGAGCAAUCUUCUACGAACAAUUCUUCAAGCCCCGGUAGAUUUUCAAAUGACGAUGGCAGCUCUGUAAUUGCCGUCUUGUUUAAAUUGAUGCGUUCUAAAUGUUCCAUUUUCUCCAAGAUUUCUGGGAAGCGCUCAAGGUUCACGCAGCCAUUAAGAAAAAGAUCAACCAAAGAUCUCAAUUUACAAAACCUAGUUGAAAUCCUCUUCAGCCGUUUGCAAUACUUCAAAUUCAACUUUUUAAGAUCAGUUAGGCACUCUAUUGAUGACGGAACUUCUUCUAUUGCAGACUUGCUCAAGUUUAGCGAUGUUACUUUCCCAGAAAUCAGUGGAAACUCUAUGAGAUUAACACAAUAGGAGAAAUUAAUAGUUACUGGACAAACAAAAUGAAGAUUGCUUGGAAAAGACCUAAGACUUUUGCAGCCCUCAAAAGACAACGCACUGAGAUACUUGAAAUUCUGGAUAGAUGAGGGAACACAAGCCAAGUUUGUAUAAUCCAAAAGAUAUGUUUCAACAUUUGGGGUUUCAAAUGGGCCUGGCAUCUUAAUGAAAUGUUGAGAAUGGCUGAGGUUAAUAGAUUUUAACUUGAAAGCUUCCUGCAAUAACAGAUAUAUAAAGACUAUAUUAAUUAAAAAGCAACAUUGAAUUCAACAAUUAAUUGCACGUAUAUUUAAAGAAAGAAAAAAUUAAUGUUUUAGUUUUAGUACAAAACUUACCUUUUCUCCUUCCCAAAGUUGCUCAACUUUACUACAACUCAAAUUCAGUGCAACAAGGUUCUUUGGCUUGAAAUUUGAUGGCAGUGUCCUUAAUGGAUAUGUGUCCCAAUGAAGAUAUCUCAAUUUUUUAGGAAGAUAAUCUAGGCCAUUUGGAAGCUGCACUUUAGAGUAUGAAAGAUGCUCUUCAAUGCUCAUACUUGGAAGCUUUUCAAUCCCAUAAAAUUUGAGCAAUCUCAUAUUAGACAUAUUUGUGAAGGCUCCGGGGUCUAAAUUGAUGCGUUUUAUUUUGGACAAAUCCAGAAAUAUGCCUUCAAUUGCAUCGGUCCCCUUAUUAAAAAAAAAAAAAAGAAUGAGUAAGCCUAAAACUCAAAAGAAACAUUCGUAAACUUUAUUAAUUAAGAGCUCCUUAAACAAAAAUAAAUUACGCAAUCUUUGAUUUUAUUUUUUUAAUAUAUUAAAUAUCUAUAUGCGAGAAAAGAAAAUUUUGGGGACCAUUGCAAAAUUAAACUAACUGAAAAAAAAUUCAAAAUUUCUCUAAUUUACAAACCUGUUAUCUUAAUAUCUAGAAGUUGAGAAGACAAGGCCUAUUUGAUUGGUAUAAGAUUUCGAUUUUUUUUUUUUUUAGUCCAUAGAAUCCAAAAUGUUAGUUCAAAAUUAGGGAAAAAGUCAUUUUUUUUCCACUAGCUGUAAUUGUAUCCAAGUCAAAUUGAGAUACGACCCUUUUCAAAAGGAUUUAACCAUCUUACAGCCUCCUUAAGGCACAUUUAAGCUAAAAGGAGUGAUUGGAGGCAGAACUAGGUGGGCCAAUCAGUCCAUUUUAUUAGUGACCGUUGCUUAAAAAAAAUUAUACUCUAAACCACACUUACUUUUUUGAAAAAAAAAUGUAAUUAUAUUGAAAUAAAAUCAGGUGGGCCAAUCCUCAUGGCACUCACUUUGUUCUAACACUCUUCACUAAAUUUGAAGAAAAAUAAAAUUAUACUCUUCACACUCGUAUUCAACAUUCCAAAAUUGAUAAAAUCGGGAGUUUUCUUUAAAAAUUUAAAAUUUGAAGACUUGUUCUCUUGACACCCUCAGUCAUUAAUUUUACCUAAUUAUGGUUUUUAUGAUUUUGGUUGUUUUGUUCAUAAAAAUGCUUUUACUAAAGGAUGUUCUGGUAAUAAUAAAAUUUAUAAAAAAAACAUGGGUGUGCUGAUAUAGUUGGAAAAAUAUGAGUGCAUAACUCCAAACAAAUAAAAGAUAUAUAUAUAUAUAUAUAAAUGGAGGAUUCUUACCUUAUUAUGCUUUAGUACGCGGCGGAUUUCCUUAGGAUCCCACAACCUGCUGCGUUUGCCUGGCUCUUUCUCAGAUUCUUGGCGAACAAUCUGUCGCCCCAUUUCUUGCAAUAUAUCAUGCAUCUGCAAGGAAUCACCUGAUAUUGAUAUGAGUGACUUAUCAAUAAGGACAUCCAGUCCAUCAGACUCAGAAUCAUCAAGAAUCCUUGCCAGAAAAUCUUUAUCCCCUCCCUCGAAGAAACACGCAAUAUCUAGAAAUAUGCUCUGCACCCUGGGCGUUAAUUCAUAAAAACUAAUCUUUAAUAUUUCAUAAAUAUUAUGAAUAUCAGAUUCACAAAUCCGAUUUAAGUCGUCCAAUACAUUUUCCCAAUGGCUUUUCCUCUUGAGAUACAGGGAGGAACCCAACACCUUAAGAACUAAUGGAUUGCCUUUGGCAUACUUUACAAACCUCCGUGAGUGCCGAUUGAGAUCUUCAGGACAAUGAUUUUCUUUAAAAGCGAAGUUACAAAAAUGCUCGAAAGCCUCAUCCAAUCUCAAUCCAUUGACCCUAUAUAUUUUCUCCACUCCAAAUUUUUCGAGGACUCGUUUAUCCCUGGUGGUUACAACAAUUCUACUUCCUGGACCAUAUUGAUCAAGCCCUCCAAUCAAACCCUCUAAUUGUUCAUCUUUAUUCACAUCAUCGAGUACAAUCAACACCUUCAUGCGUCGGACCCUCCCUUUAGUAAAUUGUGGAAUAUUGGGACCAGCUACUUCAAGUUUUUCACUUAAUAUUGUCGAAAGCAUUUCCUUUUGUAGGUCUUCUAGGCCACCCUCUGUUUCUGAUUUUCUCCUAACAUUUUUUGCAAAGUAUUUACCAUCAAACUCACCAGAGAAUUGAUCGAAAAUAGCUUCAGCAAGGGUAGUUUUGCCUAUACCACCCGUGCCCCAAAUUCCAACAAUUUGGACAGUAUCCCACAAAUCCAUACACAAAAAUGGUUUAAUCUGCUCAAUUCGUGAAUUUAAUCCAACUAGGCCGUUGGAUGAGUCCGUUGAGACUGUUAUUUUUUCCAACUUCUUCAAAACAUCUUCGACAAUUUUGUUUACAAGUUGCGCAUCAAGCCUAAUAUGAAGGUGCAAAGAUGCAAAAACAUUGAGUCAAAUCGGGCCAAGACAGAAACAGAGAAAAGAUGAAUUAGGAAAGAGAGUUACCUGAAUUUCGUGGAUUCAUGGCCGGCUAGAUGGGAUGUUUCUGUCAGUGCAUCCCUCCACUUCUGAACCAUUUCUGGUUUAUCUUUGAACUGUUUUUUGAGCUCAUCAAAACGGUCUCCAAAUGUUCCGUUUUGAUGCCGCACAUCAGAUGGACUUACUCCAUAGAAGACUGGAAUAAUAAUUUGGCCGUUUGUGUUCUUGCAUUCAAGAAUCUUGACAAGUUCAUUCAGGCACCAUUUUGAAGAAGCGUAGUCCUUUGAGAAAAUGACCACCGAAAUUUUUGAACCUUGGAUUGCGUACAAAAGGGCGGGUGAAAUCUCAUCUCCUCGCCUAAGCCCUUCAUCAUCAAUAAAUGUUUUGAUUUUCUUUCCUUCAUACAAUUUAUCAUAGAGAUAGCAAGUAAAGCUCUUACGAGUGUCCUCCCCUCUAAAGUUGAGGAAGACUUCAUAAUUGCCACAAGAAGAAGAGGAAGCCAUGAAGGAAAUUUUAGAAAAUUGGUGACAGAAACAGAGAAUUAAUCUUGAGAGUUGAGAGAGGAGAUGUAAGAAUGAACAUGUGUGAAGAUUCUUGCGAGUACAUAGUAAAUAAUUGAAUGGCUGGAGCUUUCUUAGUUUCCUGGAAAUUUCCUGGAGCUUUCGUAUACAUGAUUUGUCAAGUCAUGAAACAUAAUCAUGAUAAUGGGGCAGACCAAAAAGAAAAGCAACAAUUCAAAUAUUUGAUUCAACCAGUAUAAAAAGGAAGGAAAAGCAAAGAAAGGAAAUGUUGAAAGUAGAGUUAGGGAAUUAUAAAAAGCUGAAGGAAAUUGGAAUUUUGUACAAUUUCUCCAGCGAGGAACUUUCACAGUCGUUACCUCAUUGUUACAGUUUAGAUUAAGAUUUGAGGGUGCAAGCAUUUACCUAGAUUUUACCUCCGCACUAAAUUCUUAAGUUUGAAAAAUUAUGAGACCUUUAUAUUGGAAGAUAUUAUAAUCGAAUCAAAACUUAAAAUUUUAAUAUUGUUAAUCUUUAAUCUUUAAAAAAAAUUACCUUGCCGUUACAAUUUGGAUUAAGAUUUGAAUAAGCAUUUACCUAAAUUUUAUCUCCGCCUGUAAAUUCUUAUGUUUUAAAAAUUAUGAGACCUUUAUAUUGGGAGAUAUUAUAAUCGAAUCAAAAUUUUGAAUUUCAAUAUUAUUAUUCUUUUAAAAAAAUUUGAGAUAACAGAGUGAUUGAUAAUAGAGAACUUGUCUAGGCAAACACAUGCAUACACAAAAAUGUGAUGGAUUCAAAAAGAAAUUAAAGUGAUAAUGUACGUGGAUCCUUAAAACAAAAAGCGAAAUCGCUUGGUGGCCCAGUAAAAUUAAGACUGAAUAUUUUUUACACGAGAAGUCAAGCUCAUAAAUGGCAAAAGCCAUUUCAUUUCACUUUUACGCGUCAUUGACUUUUGUAACACGGUGUAUGCAUCGUCAAGUGGGGCAAAAGGGUUUCGAUUACAGUGGGAAAACAUGAACAAGAAUGCAUAAUGAAUAAUUCUUUCGAUAAAGCGAAAAUUAAACACAGAAUAAUCCUAAAAUUUAAACUCUAAUAUCUUAUAAUGUAUUGAUUAAAAAUAAUCCUAAGAGUUCCCAAUUGAAACUUUCAUAAGUAUUUUUAUUGUUUUGGAUAAACAAAUUGCACUAGGAAAACAAUUUGGCAAAUUCAGAGGAUAAUGAAAAAUAGCUAUGCUUCAAUAGGCCAAAGAUUAGAGAACAAAGAAGAAUUAGUUAUUGAUAUACGAAAGAGAAACACUCCAAAAUUUCAAGCAAAAUAUUUUCAUAUACCAUUUCGAUUUUGGAAGGGGUGUGGUUUUGAACUUCAAUAGUUUCCUCUAAAAUCAAAAGGCAGCAAUUAAGCUAGAAAGAGCAAAGAAGACUUUUUGGUACCUUAUUGAAGGUAAACAUUAUGGAACUUCCAAUGUCAUUACCUCACUGUUUAAUUUUUAUUGAGAUUUGUGCAAGCAUUUACCUAAAUCUUACCUCUGCCUGUAAAUUCAUAAGUUUUGAAAAUUAUGAGACCUUAUAUCGGGAGAUAUUAUAAUCGAACUAAAACUUAAAAUUUCUUUUCUUUUCUUUUUUUAUCAUAAAAGGGCUCUUAAGAGAGCUACGACAACACUAAGUGGGAGUGUGCAACCCCAUGAACAUCAUUAAUCAAUAUGUUUAGCGUAUUUGGAGGAAUAGAUUGAAAGCAAUGUAAACCCAAAGGAAACAAAAAGCUGUACGAAGUAAGGAAAUCUGCUGCUACAUUGGUUUCUCGGUAGAUAUGAUCCACUUUGAUCAGCCAAUCACGCCAAAGGAGUUCUUCGAUGGCCUGAAUGAGAAUAAAAUGCUCAUUGACGGGAGGGUUUUAGUUAGAGAUUAACUUCAUAACACACAUGCUGUCUACUUCCACGUAAAACUUAAAAUUUCAAUAUUAUUAUUCUUUAAAAAAAAAAUUGAGAUAUCAGAGUAAUAUCACAUAGAAAAACUUGCCCACGGACGGUAAGCCAAAUGUCUAGUCAACCACAUGCAUAAAGCUAAGUAGAACAAGAGAACAGAGAAACGCGUGGGUCCCUAAAGAAAAGGCAAGCACAUAAAUGAAAAAGCCAUUACAUUUCUAUUAACACGGUGUGGCAGCAUAUGCACAAUCAAGUGAGGCAAAAGGGAUUCGCUUAUCGUGGCAGAACAUGGACGAGGACGCGUGACGAAUAAUUCCUUCGAUAAAACGAAAAACAAACGCAGAGAAAAGAAUUUCUUAUAUGACAAGAAAUCAAAGAAAUGUGAAGGAACAUGAUGAAGAAAUUGCAGACUGAUCAAUUAUCCCCAUGGACUCCUAUAAAUUCAACCAAAAUAACAAUUCGAAUCUUACCAAAUUCUUGAGUUAAAUUUAUUCAAUGCUUUUAUUUUUUUAGAGAAAUUUUUUCCAUUGCUACUUUCCCUUUUUUGGGGAAAUUAGAACCGCGGCAUGUAUAGAAAACAUUGAGGUGUAAAGCAACAUUAAUUUCAUGGGAUAUGCGUUAUACGCAUAAUAUAUUUUCAGUCCAAAUUCAACUAUACAAAGAGGCUUGAGAACUUAAAAUUAAGCACAAACUAAACAGACGAAGUAAAUACAUGAUUAUGCAACAUAACAUUAAUUCUCUUAAUUUAUAACUGUUUUUGCCACAUGAAUCUUGCACAGUUAAUCCUAAUUGAAGACUAAAAAAGAGCAAUUGGAAGAAGGUUUUGGAAUAGAAUGGUAUACAAUCGAUAUGAUCCUUUUCCAGUAGUCAACGCUAAUUAACUGCAGUUUCUAGACUCCUAAUUAUACUAGCCAUAGAAAACUGGUGAUCAAAUUAGAUUUUGAAAGGAAAUAAUGUUCAUUUUCCCUUCGCUGCCUUUUUUUUUCUUUUCUUUUUAUAGCAAAGAAUUAUAUCAUGAAAAGAAUCAAUUUAAUCACCUUUUCCAGCAGCACAAUUUUUCUUUUAUAAAAUUUGACCACAGAGACAAAGAAGAAUUAUUCAUACCUUCAUCAGUGAGGAAAUACUUUUCGGUAUGGCUAGGGUGAGAAAAGGCUUUCCACAAACACUUGUACUUUGUAUUCCUGUAAAUUUUCUUUAAAGUCAAUAAAAACCAUAAGUUCUUUACAAUAACCACCUCUUUGAUAAAAAAGUGCCGUAUUCCUUUAGAAUUUAAAACCGGCAAAAUCGGAAUCAGUGUCUUUGAAGAGACAUAAUGGUCGUAAUUCUUUAAAUGAGUUGGCUAUGGAAAUCCUUAUCCAAGAUUCUUUUACGCCAUAUUCUUUCGUAAACCAAAAUUCAUUUUGGAAUACUCUGUUGAGAAUGUCAAAUAAAACGGCAUUGAAGGAAGUUUUCAAAGGUAGAAUCCGCACUUGUCAAAGGGAUGAUCUGCACUUGUCAAAGACACGAUCCGCGUCAAACGAAUCGACACAUUUCCUUUCGUAUUCGCAUAUGUAAUCUUUGAAAAAAUGUAGCUUCUGCAUCUAUAAAUAACGCUCAGUGUAUAAUGUUUUAUUCAAGAAAAAAAACAAGUUUCUUCAUACUCGUCGUCCGAACAUACAGAGACCGUCUCUCAUAACUUCAGCCGAAUACUUGUGAUGAUGAUCAUUUGUGAUUUCAUCAGGCAAAGGGUUGAUGGUGAAAAUUUUUGUAUGUGUGAAGAAUUGAGCUGUGGAUAUAGGGGACUUAAGUGUAAUCGAAAGAGAGUUAUUAGGUCAUAGUGCAGAUUGCAUUCAGUUUAUGGGUCGCUAUGCAGAUAAUUUGUUGACGUGGCGAAAUCUGUUAUGGUCGUUAGUAUUGUUUCUGGAAAUUUUCUAGAAACCUCAGCAUAAAAGGGGCUUUUGCAUAGCCUCUGGUGUGCGUGUGAUUUCUCUUUCGUUUCCUCAUCAAAUUCUGUAAUUCUUGCUUUGAUAAAAAGCUUGUAAUCUCUUCUGUAAUGUGUGAUCAGUGCGUAAUCAUUUUGAGCAAUAAACGCUUGUGGGUUUUUCCUUCAAACAGUGUCGUUUUGGUCAGUUUGUUAGUUUGAUCUGUUGGUGGAAUUUUCUUUGGUUAUUUGUUCUCAAAAUUCAACCGUAUAUAAAGUUUGAACUCUAAUGGCUUAUAAUGUAUUGAUUAAGAAUAAUCCUAAGAGUUCCCGAUUGAAAUUUUUAAUGACUAUUUUUAUUGUUUUGGAUAUACAAAUUGCAUUAAGAAAAAAUAUUGUCAAAUUCAGAGGAUAACGGGAAAUAAUUAUGCUUCAAAAGGCCAGAGAUUUGAGAACAAAGAAGCAUUCAUUACUGAUAUACAAAAGAGAAACACUCCAAAAUUGCAAGCAAACUAGUUUCAUAUACUGUUUGGAUUCUGGAAGGGGUGAAGUUUUGAACUUCAGUUGUUCCUCUAAAAUCAAAAGCAGCAAUUAAGCGUUCUCAAUUAGAAAUAGCAAAGAAGACUUAUUCGUACCUUACUGAAGCUAACAUUAUGGCACGGUUGUUCAUAUGUAAUGGCUGCUCUGUUAUGCUAUAUGCUCUGUUAUGCUAGCUUCUCUGUUUUUGCUUACAGUUUUGAACAUAAAUUCUUGCUCAAAUAACCCAUAAUUAAAUAACACUAAUAUGGCUCCUGAAAUCCCAUAAUAGCUAAUUACGCAACUUUCUCCUCCUCCUCAAUUAUGUCUUCCCCUGCUCGGACACUAACUUCAAAAUUCAAUGCCCCGAAAAACAACACAAGAAAUCUUUGAGUUAAAUCGUGACCAGUUUAUAUAUCGUAGCAAUUGAAAAAGAAAAAGAAGAAAAGAGUUAAUUAUUAUUCAGACCUUCACUUAUUAGGAAGUUUGUUCUGCUAUUGGGUGAGAUCAAGCUCUCAGCAUAUACUUCCACAUGAUACUUUCUAACAUUUUCUUGAAAGCCAUCAAUCAUAAAAUCUUCAUACUUUUUUCCAUCCUUUGGAUCAAUAAGUACAAAUUUCUCAUCUAAAACAGACAAAAUAAAAUCACUGUCCUUCAUGGAACAUAAUGGCUGCAAUGCCUGAACUGAAUUGGCUAAUGAAACAUAGUCUUCUUUUCUUUCUCGACAUGGAACAUAGUCUUCUUUUCUUUCUGGACAUAUGUCUCUGUACUUUUCUCUCUCUACUGAUCCACACUUUUUCAUACUUCUAACUAUCAUUUUGUUUUUUUUUUUGGUUAAGUUGUGAUUUAUUCAAUUAUUUUGUAUUUUUAAUGACAAUUAUUUAAUAUUUAGUUAGUUUUGAUAUUGAUUAGUGAUUGAAAGUGUAUUUUAGAAGACUUCCGGUCUCUUGGAAAAAGGAAAAAUGGAGACGAAGAAGAAGUGUUCUUGAUUUUUUUGUAGGCAUUAAAGUUAAACGGUUUGAAAUGAUAUUUUGUUUUAAUUUCACUCAUUAAUCUCAUUCAGGAUAAAAUUAUAAAUGCAAAUAAAUGGGGUUUCAUGAGUUUUUUUUAAUAGUGUUAAAAGGUCUACUCACUAAAUAAACAUGUUUUACCCAAACCAAUCCGAUUAAUAAAGUUAUUGGGUUGGGUUGAUCAGGUUAAAAAUCAAAAUUAAAAAUUAAAUAAAUAAAAAAGGCGUUAAAACUAUCUGUUACUUGAAAAUAAAAAGAAUUUCAAAUAGUUAGUUCUAAUGUCCCAUAUCCAAAACAUGCAUAUUAAAUAAAUAUUAUAAGUUAGAGAUAAAAUAUCCAAGAAAUAAUGAAUGAAUGAAAUACCAUAUUUUUGUUGAGAAUUAAGAGUGUGAUUUUAAUUUUGAUAUUGGAGUCUAAAGCAAUAGAUAGUACAAUGAAAUCAUGAAUGCCACAUUUAAAUAAUGUCUUUUAUAAAAUAAUAAAAAGAAGUUAAAAAUUAGGUUAGCCAUUUAGGCGUUUAGGGUUUAGCAGUUAAGGAUGAACAUAUUAUUAUUAUUGUUGUUGUUGUUGUUAUUAUAACAAUUAUUAUUUACAUAUUAAUUAAUCCAACCCAACCCAAUUAUUAACAAACUAGGAAAUAAAACCGCACUUCGUGCGGCUUUAAAAGAAAAUUAAUAUUAUUUUUUUAUUACUUUACAAUUGAUGAAACUAAUAAAAAAUAUGAAUUAUUUUUAAAAUGACGUAAUCUUAUAAAACUAAUGUUAUUUAUGAAAGUUAAUUAUUUUUUUGUUAACAUUAAAAAUAUAUAUUAAUGUGUAUAGUUAAGUGUACACAACUUUUUCAUCAAUAAAAAUUAUGUUCACAUUAAUCAACUCUCCAUUUUUCUUAGUAUUAACAGACUCUCACAUCUUACAAAGUCUGACCCUUAUUAUUCAACUAUCUUUAUCAUAGUUUAACUCAUGAAGAAAAUAGUACUCCAUGAAGCAUACAAUACUAAAAAUUUAAAUAAGUCAAAAAAUAAAAACACAAAAACAUUUCUAAAGAGAAUGUUGGUUAAAUAAUAAAAAAAACUCAAACAUAACAAAUCUUAAAUGCUUAAUAUUUAUAGAGCUUGAAGAAGCCAAAAGAUACUAAAUAAAAGGUUGCAUAAUUAAAUAUAGGAUUAUAACAUUAAAAUUAGGUCAUAAGGCAUUGGUGAGGGAAGAGGAAGGAACAUUCCUUCUUAUAUUAAUUAGUUGAUGUAUUUUAAACCACUAAAGUUUAUUUGUUGGCUUAAUAAAAUAAAUGAAUGUUUCAAAACUUAUAAUUAAUUUAUUAUUAAUGGUUAUAUAUUGUUGAAUUUAAAUAGAAAGAGAAAGAGACAUGUAAUCUUUUGUAAUCUAUUAAUUAUUUUAUAUUUUUAAUAUUUUGUAAUGUAAUUAUUUUUUAAUCUCAACCAAUAUGUUAGAUAAUAGAGAAUAUAAAAAGAUGAGAAAUAAUAAUGCCACAAAUCUUAACUACUUAAUAUUUAUAGAGUUUGAAGAAGUCAAAAGGUACUAAACAAAAGGUUGCAUAAUUAAAUAUGAGAUUAUAGCAUUAAAAUUAGACCCCACUGGCAUUAUUGAGAGAAGAUGAAGGAACAUUCCUUCCUAUAUUAAUUAAUUGAUAUAUUUAAGCUACUAAAAUUUAAUUGUUGGCAUAAUAAAAUAAAUAAAUGUUUCAAGAUUUAUAAUUAAUUAUUAUUAAUGGUUACAUAUUAUUGAAUUUAAAUAGAAAGAGGAAGAGACAUGUAAUCUUUUAUAAUCUAAUAAUUAUUUUUAUUUUUAAUAUUUUAUAAUGUAAUUAUUUUUUUAAUAUCAACUAAUUUAUUAGAUAAUAGAGAAUACAAGAAGAUGAGAAAUAGUGAUGUCACAUCACCUCCUCUAGUCCCAACUUUAUAUAUAUAUAUAUAUAUAUAUAUAAUAUUUUGUAAUGUAAUUAUUUUUUAAUCUCAGCCAAUAUAUUAGAUAAUAGAGAAUAAAAAAAGAUGAGAAAUAAUGAUACCACAAAUCUUAAAUAUUUAAUAUUUAUGGAGUUUGAAGAAGCCAAAAGGCACUAAACAAAAGAUUGAAUAAUUAAAUAUGAGAUUAUGACAUUAAAAUUAGACUCUAAUGGCAUUGUUGAGGGAAGAUGAAGGAACUUUCCUUCCUAUAUUAAUUAAUUAAUGUAUUUUAAGCCACUAAAAUUUAAUUGUUGGCAUAAUAAAAUAAAUGAAUGUUUCAAGACUUAUAAUUAAUUAUUAUUAAUGGUUACAUAUUGUUGAAUUUAAAUAGAAAGAGGAAAAGACAUGUAAUCAUUUAUAAUAUAAUAAUUAUUUUCUAUUUUCUAUUUUAAUAUUUUGUAAUGUAAUUAUUUUUUAAUUUCAACCAAUUUAUUAGAUAAUAGAGAAUAUGAAAUGAUGAGAAAUGGUGAUGCCACAUCACCUCUUGUAGUCUCAACUUUAUAUAUAUAUAUAUAUAUAUAUAUUAAUUCAUGUCUUUUAUACCACUAAAGUUUAAUUGCUAGCAUAAUAAAAUAAAUAAAUGUUUCAGAAGACUUAUAAUUAAUAUUAUUAAUGAUUACAUAUUGUUGAAUUUAAAUAGAAAGAGAAAAAAAUUACAAAGAAUAUCCACCAAUAUUUUAGAUAUUUUAGAUAAUAGAAAAUAUAAAAAGAUGAGGAAUGAUAUAUAUUAAUAAAGUUACUAUUUAUUAAAUGAGUUAAAUACAAUCAAAUUAAUUAUGAGAAGAUGAAAAGCCAAAUCUAAAAAAAAAAUCUCUAUUUAUUAGAUAAUAGAGAAUAUAUAAAGAAGUAAAAUGGUGAUGCCACAUCACCUACUCAAGUCCUAGCUUUAUAUAUACACUAGAAAAUAGAACCGCGUUUCACGCGGCUUUGAAAAAAAAUUUUAAUGUUAUCUUUUUUUUUUAUUUUGCACAUGAUGAAACUGAUAAAAAAUAUGAAUUGACUUUUUUUUAAGAUGAAGCAGCCUUAUUAAAAAAAAACUAUUAGCCAGCAAUACAAAUAAAGAAGUAAUGUAAGAUAAAAAAUAAAAUGAGAGAAUAUAUUAUAGAAUGAUUUUAUUCAUUCUAAUUGUGUGGUACAAAACAAAAAGAUGAGCUCUCAUUUUAUAGUUACAUAAUCACUCCAUGAAAUUAAUGAAAAAUUAUGGAUCAUAAUUCCUUGUGAGAUAGUGGGAGUUAUAGGGAAGCUAAAGGUUGCUAAUGGAAGAUAGUGGGGAGACUAAGAGAUAUAUGUUAUGAACAUCUACAUUUAUUUUAAUAAAUUCAUAACACUCCCCCUUUGAUGUUCAUUAUAAAAAAUAUGCCUCAUUAAAAUCUAUUAGCCAACAAUACAAAUAAAAAAGCCACACAAUAUAAAGAAUAAAAUGAGAGAAUAUAUUAUAGAGUGAUUUCAUUCAUUCCAAUUAUGUGUGUACAAAACAAAAAGAUGAGCUCUCCUUUUAUAGUUACAUAAUCACUCCAUGAAAUUAAUGAAAAAUUAUGGAUCAUAAUUCCUUGUGAGAUAGUAGAAGUUAUAGGAAAGCUAAAGGUUACUAAUGGGAGAUAGUGGAGAGAGUAAAAGAUAUAUGUUAUGAACAUCUACAUUUAUUUUAAUAAAUUCAUAACACUCCCCUUUGGAUGUUCAUUACAAAAAAUAUGUCUCAUUAAAACCUUUAUAUAAUUGUUAUUGUGUAAUAACAAUCAAAUUAAUUAUGAGAAGAUGAAAAGUCAAAUCUAAAAGAAAAUUUCUCUAUUUAUUAGAUAGAUAAUAGAGAAUAUACAAAGAUGAGAAAUAGUGAUGCCACAUCACUCUCUCAAGUCUCAACUUUAUAUAGAUAUAUAGAUUUGAAAUGAUUGACUCAAUUAAUCCACAAUAAUUCAUUCAACUCGUCUAAAUUAGAUUAUGUUGAAUUUGAUUUGCUACACCUACAUUGAGCAACAAACCUCAACGACAUUCUACGAGCUCUUUGAUUGUUUAUAAAAUUGAUUUAGAGUACAUAAAGUGUAUCGACAAUGAAAGUGCAAAACAAAUUAUUGUACAUAUUAAAAUGUGCAAAACAAUGAAUUAUAUGUACAAACGAGUGCAAACACAUUUUUCAAUAAGAAGUUAAAAGAUAUUUAUGCAUGAAAAAGCCUACGUUUGUAGUUAUUCUAAAUUUUAAAAACAAAAUUUACAUUUAGAUCCCUAAAAUUUACGUAUAAGUAUAAAAGUUUCAAAUAUUGUCUAUUAUUUUUUUAACAUGCCUAUUCCUUAUGGAUAAUUCUGUCUCAUCACUAAUGUUGUUUCUUGCUUAGAAAAAAUAAAUGUCAUCUCCUUUUACAAUUUUUAUAGCGUCUCGAAAUAGACAAUAGGGGAUUUUGAAUUUUUUAAGUCUCAAGAUAGUCUCUAAUCGUGUGAGAAAGAUUUUCUUUCAAUAAUUUGGAGCUAAACAUAACAUAUUUUUUAGACUAAAAUCUAACUCUGCUGGUUAGUAGUUGGUGGUAUCCUUUUCAAGACUUGAGUCUUUAGAUUCGAGUUUUAUAUAGUGUACAUGUGUAUUUAAUUAAUAAUUUUUUUCAAAAAAAAAAAUUACAUCAAAUACUAAUAUUCAUGACAUAAUUUAGUUCAUAAUUUUUUUAAAUACAUCGAAAAAUAUAAUUUUUUAACAACUUAUAGGCACGACAAAUUUCAAGAUAUAAAUAUCAGUCAAAAUAAAUGAAAGAAAUAAUGGUGUCAAUUCUAAUUUCUUAACUAAAUUAAUUAUUGCAUGAGCCCCGAAUACGACAUGAGAGUUUGAUGGGCUAACUUGGCACAAGAACGCGAAUAGUUAACUCAUUUAAGAAAUAAUUCAACAAAAAAUAUAAUUGAUAAGAAUUCAGUAUUGAAAUGAAUUUUUUACGAAACAUUGAAUUAAUGAUUAUUAAGCAAGAACAAUAAAAAAAUAAAAUAAAAAUAAAUAUUAACCAUUGAUAAGCUUCAACAAGAACUUAACACAACCCUCAAUCCUAAUUCAAAUCAUAAAUGUCAUUCAUAUAUUCAUUAUAAAUCAAUAACAAAGGUUAUAAAUGUUUAGAAAUUCUAGAGGGAAGGAAGCUAUCUCCGGGGAAUCAACAACUAAAUUUGAUGUAAUUGUGGCACACGAUGGAAUAUGGAAACUACACCAUAAUUUCAAAUGCCGCCAUAGACAUUGACUUAUCUACAAUAACAAUGAUCUAAUUAAAAUUAAAAUAAAGUUUAUGGGCAUUUAUUAUUUUGCCAUUUCUCAUUUGCAAACAGGGAUAUAAUUAUAAUUUUACUUAGUCAAAGCAAUCAGUAAUUUUCUUCAUUAUCGGAGUGAAGUAAAAACAUUUAGAUUUUAAUGAGUGUACGGAAAAUUUAUCUUUAAAAAUACUUUCUUAAUGUGUGUGUAUAUAUAUAUUGAAAUAUUAUGCUAUCAAAAGUUAAUUUUAGAAAUUCCAAAUCCAAUAGCUAACACAAUUCUUUAAAGAAAAAAAAAAAAAGGUUGAUAAUCAGCAAUUAGUAUUACUUUCUAAACUUACUUCAACUGGUCGUUAAUGAGGGGCCUUGGGCAAGAGUGAUGAAUGUUUAGUCGGUGCAUUUGAUUGAUAGAUAUAUAAAGGGCCGAAACUUGAGAUUAUAUUACUUUUACAAAUUUUAAUCCAAUCACAUAUUUACUGAAACACAAAAUGAGUUAGGAUACUUUAUUUAGAACCCACAUUUUAAUAAGGCUUCAUUUGAUGUAGUUUUUCAAACAGUGAUUAUUUGAGUAAAGUUUCCUCAAUAGAGUUUUUAUCAAAUAAAUUUUAUUUAUUUGGUUGUCGAUAAGAACUUUUAUUAAAAAUUAUAAAAUUAUUUAAAUAAACAUAUUUUUUUAAAAUUACAUUAUAAAAAGAAUUAAAUAAAGUUAUAAAAGUAAAAUAUAUUUUAGAUAUUUUAAUAUUUAAGAAAAAAAUUUUGAAUCUCUACUUUCAGAAGCUCAAAUUUUUAGUUUUUAGUUGUAGAGACAAAAUAUCUUAUUUAAUCUUUAAAAGUUCUGCUAAAAACAAUCAAAUAACUAUAAAAUUUUUAAUAAGAGUAUAUAAAAUUAAAUAAGCAUUUAUUAAUAAUCACUUUAGUGUACUUAUCUAAUGACCAUAAGUGUUUAUUUAAUCUCAUAAGUUCUUAUUUAAUCUCAUGAGCUCUUUUCAAUUUUUUUUGUUGUUUGCUUUUUUUAGUAGAGUUUUUGAAAAUUAAAUAAACUAUUUUGUCUCUAUUAGGAAAAACUCAAAUUUUAGGUUUUUGUGAGUAAAUGUUUAAAUUUUUUUAAAAAUAUUAAAAUAUUAAAGUAAAAGUUGUAGAGACAAAAUAUCUUAUUUAAUGUUUAAAAGUUCUGCUAAAAAUAAUCAAAUAACUACAAAAAUUUUAAUAAGAGCAUAUAAAAUUAAAUAAGCAUUUAUUAAUAGUCACUUUAGUAUACUUAUCUAAUGACCAUAAGUGUUUAUUUAAUCUAAUGAGCUCUUUUUAAUUUUGUUUGUUUGUUUUUUUAGUAGAGUUUUUGAAAAUUAAAUAAACUAUUUUGUCUCUAUUAGGAAAAACUUAAAAUUUAGGUUUUUGUGAGUAAAUGUUUAAAUUUUUUUUAAAAUAUUAAAAUAUCUUUUCUUUAUUUCAUAAUCUUAUUUCAUUCUUCACAACAUAACUUUAAAUAACUCACCUAUUAAAAUAAUUUCACAAUUUAUAAUAAAAAUUUUAAUUGACAAUCAAAUAACAAAUUUUUUUUUAUAAAAACUCUAAUAAUAAAAAUUCUACUUAAAUAAAUUAUAUUUGAAAAGGUAUACCAAACGAACCUAACAUAAAAACAAAAAUUUUUACAUCCACACAAUUAAGCUUAAAACAAUUUCAAAUGAAUUUUAGACUACUCAAAGUACAAUACGUACCAAGUUUGGUAACUUAUUGGGGUCCGCUUGUAAUACAGCUCAUGAGCUCUUUUUAAAAAAAUUUUGAAUCUCUACUUUCAGAAGCUCAAAUUUUUAGUUUUUAGUUAUAGAGACAAAAUAUCGUAUUUAAUGUUUAAAAGUUCUGCUAAAAACAAUCAAAUAAUUACAAAAAUUUUAACAAGAGCAUAUAAAAUUAAAUAAGCAUUUAUUAAUAAUCACUUUAGUGUACUUUAUCUAAUGACCAUAAGUGUUUAUUUAAUCUCAUGAGCUCUUUUUAAUUUUUUUGUUGUUUUUUUAGUAGAGUUUUUAAAAAUUAAAUAAAUUAUUUUGUCUCUACUAGGAAAAACUUAAAAUUUAGGUUUUUGUGAGUAAAUGUUUAAAUUUUUUUACAAAUAUUAAAAUAUUUUUUUCUUUAUUUCAUAAUCUUAUUUCAUUCUUCACAACAUAACUUUAAAUAACUCACCUAUUAAAAUAAUUUCACAAUUUAUAAUAAAAAUUCUAAUUGACAAUCAAAUAACAAUUUUUUUUUAAUAAAAAUUCUACUUAAAUAAAUUAUAUUUGAAAAAGUAUACUAAACAAACUUUUUUUAGACUAAUCAAAGUACAUCUUCUCAUAAAAUAAUUUCACAAUUUCUAAAAAAAACUCUAAUUGACAAUUAAGUAACAACUUUUUUUUUUUUGUAAAAACUUUAUUUAUAAAAAAUCUAAUAAUAAAAAUUCUAUUUAAAUAAAUUAUAUUUGAAAAUGUAUACUAAACCAACCUAACAUAAAAACAAAAAUUUUUACAUCCAGACAAUUAAGCUUAAAACAAUUUCAAAUGAAUUUUAGACUAAUCAAAGUACAAUACGUACCAAGUUUGGUAACUUAAUUGACAUCUUCUCAUAUAACCUUCGAUCAAGUCGAUUCUGACCUGACGACUAAUUGGUACAUCACCGUUGUUCUCUAUACUCGCAUGCAUCCGAUCACAAAUCUCACUCCAAUUGUCGUCUUUCUUCGGCGUUUUAGCGCAUCCUUCUUGAAUUUCCCGCAUUUCGUUCCCUCCUGUUACAAGUCUCCGGUCAGGUCAGUUCACUUGACGAUUAAUUCGGCAAAUCUCGAAUCUCUUCUCUAUCCCUCUCGUUUUCUCGUGUCUCCUUUCAGUUUAAGUGAUUGAAUCAAUUUUAUCGCAGUCUUAAGAGAAAUUAAGUAAUGCUCUUGGAUUUAAAAUUUUUUUGCUUUCGACUUUAGAUCUCGAAAGUCAAACUCUGCUACGAAUCCAUAGAUUCUCAAUGUUUAUAAUCUUAUUUGUGUUUGACCAGGUAACUGGAUCGUGAAAUUCGUCGUUUUGUAUCAAUUCAGGCUUUCGCGAGCUCAUGGAAUCACCUGGUGAGUUGUGGUGAAACGUUAUCGUUUCAAUUUUCGCUUAAUUCUUUAUUGCAUAUUUUUUCUCUAACAUUUCAGUUUAAUUUAGAAAAGAAAGAGGACCCAAAAAGAGAGAGAGAGAGAGAGACUCUACCAUACUCAAUUCCUUGCUCAUUCUGAUUUGGCCUGAAUGUUGGCAUUGACUAUUAUUUGUUUUCAUUUCGAUUUAAUUCUCAUUUAGACAGUCUUUACUAACGGUCAAUAAUAGUUUAAGGAAAAUGAUAAUAGGGAUUCUGCAAUAAUCUUUCUGCAUUGUUCAAGUUAGUAGACGAUGAAUAGGAUGUUUAUGUUUACCUCAUUUUGAACCCUGAGGGCUUCGUUGAGUAGUUGAUUCAACAUAUCCAGCAACGGUUGAUGUGAGAACAGGAUGCCACUUAGAUAGGCUUAAACUGAUUUUGGAGGUUUGUAUUGGUUCUAUUGUACGUCUUGCUUACAAAUUUUUUAUUUUUUAUUUUUAAUUUUGUAUAAUAUGCUCUUUGUUGGUAAAUCUCAUUUGACUUAGAAGAGAUAGUUUUAUCCCAACAGUGGGAUAAAUCAUUGAGAUGCAUGGCAGUGUGAAUAUAGUAGACAAAAUCAUUGAGACACAUGGUGGUGUGAACAUAGUAAACUUCAUGGAAGCAAUGAAGCUUGAAAUUGAACGUCUGCAGCUGAAUCUUUCUGCAGCUGAAAGGGAUAGAGCUUUAUUGUCAAUCGGAACUGAUCGUGCCUCUAUAAAUCCAAAUGUAUUGCUUGAUGAAUCUUACAUGGGAAGACUGUGUCGAGUAGCAACCACUCUUGCAUUACUUGGCCAAACUUCCCUAGAAGACAAAAUUGUUGGUGCAAUUGGCCUUGAGAAUAGUGAUGAUAGUGUUUUAGACUUCUGGAAUAUUACUAGAAUCGGAGAGAGUUGUUCUGGUGGCUGGUGGCGGGUGCAAGGUUCGUGCAGAAACUAAGGUGCCUGCUCUUGCUUCCUCAACUGCAACAUCUGUUGGAGCUUCACAAUCCCCUUUGUUGUGUUCUCAAUGUGAAAGAAAAGUUUGCAAAGUUUGUUGUGCAGGAAGAGGAGCUCUACUGUUUUCAAAUUAUAAAUCAAGGGAUGUGACCAACUACAAUGGCUUCUCAAGUCAGAGUGGAUCAAGCCAUGGAAGCCAAGUUGAUGUACCUACCAGUCGUUCACUAACACUGGAUGGCGUUGUCUGUAAACACUGCUGCCAUGAGAUUGUGCUUGAUGCAUUGAUGUUGGACCAUGUUAGGGUCUUGAUUAGCUUGCGAAGAAGUUCCCGUGCAGACAACACAGCAUACAAUGCUUUGAAUGAGGUUGUUGGAUCCUGCUUAAAGGAUAGUCUUUCUGAAAGGAUUCAGUCUUCCGAUAACGUGCAAGCUGCUGAAGUCCUUCACCAAUUAUGUGGUGGACAGGAAUCAGUUGCUGAAUUUCCAUUUGCUAGCUUUUUGCACUAGGUAUGUUCUUGGUUUGUAUUCAGUUCUCAUCAUGUUAUGUUUUCCUUUUAAAUUUCUUUUCUUGAUUAAAAUUUUUAGAAAUAUGUUUUAGUAUUUGUUCUUAUGAUAUAUGCCCAGAACAUUCAUCCCACUUAUCCAUGAGAAUCCUUGUCUGGUUUGAUUUUCAAUUGAGACAUUUUUGGGAACCCUGAGCAGGUUCCAUAUGCUAAUAAUCUUUGAGGUAAGGUGUUGUAGGAUGCCUUGAGAAGCUAAAAACCAAUUACAAGGAAAAGCUCUUGCAUUGUUUUGUGCAAUCUGUGUGCUAGCAAGUCAUGUCUCUAAUAAUUUCAUAGUUCGCUUGAUUGGAAUUUUUUAUCUUGAUAUGGAUUGUUUAUUCUAGAUUCCUUGGUGCCACUGUAGGUUGAAACAGCAAAAGAUUCAGCACCGAUUUUGUCACUGCUUGCUCCAUUAAAUUCUGGAUCAAGGCACUCAUAUUGGAGAGCUCCACCUAGUACUACUUCUGUUGAAUUUGUUAUUGUUCUCGGUUCUGUUUCUGAUGUCAGUGGGGUUAUCUUGCUUGUUAGUCCUUGCGGCUAUCUGUGGCUGACACUCCGAUGGUAAGUGCCAUAUUUAUUCCCUUAUUUCCUUGUUGUUCAAUAAAUUUGGUGAUAAGCCAAGUGGCCUUAAUAAUGAAGCCCAGUACCAGGGGUGGUGGGUAAUCGAUAUUCAACUUGUGAAUAUUCCUAAGCAAGCACGGAAUCAACAUAGACGUCGGCAAAAAUUCUCCAUGCUAUUAUAACGAAAGUCAUAUUUUGAAAUGAUUAAAAGAGUCCCUUUGUAGUGCCAUUGCCAAAGAAAUUGCAGCUGGGGGUUUAGUUUCAUGUAGGUUAGUUUCCGAUAAUAAACUUUCCAUUUCAUUAAUUGCUGAUGAAAAAACCAAGUAAGAACAGUUUCGUUGCUCGUCAUUUAUGUAUAUUUUGGUAAACUGUAAUUUUAAAUUCUCAACGAUCUUCCCUUGGUAGGUAAGAAGAUGGUCCACUCACUUUAUAUUUAUGAUUGUAGAUCAGGUUUCUAUUGGUUUGCCUUUAUCAUUGGGAACCCAAGUUUGAUAUUAACAGAGAUCACGUCAAUAAUAUCCUAUUUGGGUAGAUGUGGGUGAGGAUUUAAAAUCAAAUUUGAAAUUGGGGGAAAGAAGAGAAAAGGAACCACAAUAAUUAAACAAAAUAUUAGGAACUAUUCUGAUGAGUUUUAAUCUCGAGAGGAACAAUUUUCAAAUGCAAAUUUAACUGCUAGAGAAAUUGUAGCUUUUUGUCAUUAGUUAAGAGGAAAGAGAAUAAGAACUAUCCAGCCCUUUCCUUCAUGAAUGUGUGUUGAGGUUGCUGUAUUAUUUAGUCAGUAUUUGUAAUUUUCUUCCCUGCAGUGCUCUCUGCCUCCUGAAUUUGCUACUGAGUCCAUAUUUUUCUUUGAGCUGUUGCUUCCUAUUGCUGUUACAAGUACAAAUCUGGGCAAGCAAUAAGAUACACCGGGAGGAAAGGUCAUCAAUGGGAAAAUGGGAUGUCCAAUCCCUCAUCACAUCUUCUUCAGACUUGUAUGGUCCAGAAAAGACAGCUAGUGUUGAAAAAUUACCUAGGCAUGUAAAAUUUACUUUUAAGAAUCCUGUUAGGUGCCGCAUUGUUUGGAUCACAUUACGUCUUCAGAGACCUGGUUCGGCUUCAGUUAAUUUCGGGAAGGACUUCAGUCUUUUGUCUCUUGAUGAAGAUGAAAACCCCUUUGCGCAAGUAGACAGACGUGCUUCAUUUGGAGGAGCAGUUGAAAAUGAACCAUGUAUUCAUGCCAAAAGAAUUCUUGUAGUCGGAAGCCCAGUAAAAAGGGAGGGGCUUACCUCAUCACAGAGCUCUGAGCAGCUAAGUAUUAGAAACUGGUUGGAUAGAGCUCCACAAAUGAGUAGAUUCAAGGUAUUAGUUGCUUUCACUCUUUGUUCAUUCAUAAUUCCAGCUUUCUGCUUGAUGCCCUGCCUCUGAUAAACCUCUUUUUUUCUCUUCAGGUCCCAAUUGAGGCCAAGAGAUUGAUGGACUACGAUCUCGUCUUGGAACAAUAUCUACCUCCAGCGUCACCUUUGCUUGCCGGAUUCCAUCUAGACGCUUUCAGUGCAAUAAAACCUAGGGUUACCCAUUCACCUUCCUCAGAUUCAGAUAUCUGGGACAAAUCAGUAACAUUUUUAGAAGACAGGUACAUCUCUCAAGCUGUGUUGUAUUUACAAGUAUCCGCACUCCAGGAACCACAUAACAUGGUAACUAUUGCGGAAUAUCGACUGCCGGAGGCUAGAGCCGGAACGCCAAUGUACUUUGAUUUCCCAUGACCGAUACAGUCCCGACGAGUUUCAUUCAAGCUUCUUGGAGAUGUUACAGCAUUUGCAGAUGAACCUUCAGAACAAGAUGAUUCAGGAUUGAGAGCUCCACUUGUGGCCACAGGUUUGUCUUUGUCAAACAGAAUCAAGUUAUAUUAUUAUUGUGAUCCUUAUGAGCUCGGAAAAUGGGCAAGCCUUUCUGGAGUUUGAUCGUUAUUUAUAUGUCAGAGAAAGGGUUUUGGGUUUGAUUUUGAUUUUGAUUUGUAAUUUUUGUCAGUUUAUUGAAAUUUUUUGUUGUAUAAAAGCAGAAUGUAAAGGUAUAAAAAUUCAUUGAUGCUGCAAUGUCUGUGCUUUUGAGAAAGAAGAAUUAAUUGUCUUUUCUAUGCCAUUGGAGUUUCCCACUGCUUGUAUACUUGGGCUGUCGAAUGCUCUGUGAACCUUAAGGGCUAUAAAGUAAUUUUCAAGACUGAAGGAUUUAUUAAUCGAGUUCAAAAGAUUGUAAGUUGGUGACUGGUGAGCGUUGGCAUUUAAAAAUCAAUUGUUAUUCUCUCAAUAAUCUCUCUCUUCUCCUCGUGAAGUGUUUUCUUUUUCGAGUGAAGGUGGUUUUCCACUUGCAUACGUCGGGGGUCUUAUGAUAUGUAAUGUGUGAAAUUUCUUUCUCAUUUUACCAUAAAGAAAAAUGUUGUAAUAAUCUAAAGCUCGAGUCUUAAAUUAUCUUAAAUUUAUAUUUAGAGUGGAGCUAUUCGCAACCCUAUAUUAAAAUUACAAUUAAAAACAAUUGAAAAUUAAACACUUAUAGAUUCUUUUUACAGCAAAUUACUUAAUUCAUAAUCAAUCCUUUAAAAAAAAAAUACAUAUGUUAUUUCUUAUCUAACUAAAAUAAAUUGUACAAAUUUAGAAUAAUCUAUUGUUCUCUUUUGAUUUCUUAUUAUUUAAAUAUUUUUAUACAUAAAGUUACUUUGAAAUUAUAAUUUGAAAUAUGUGUUAUUUCAGCCAAUGAUUAACACUAAAAAAUUUAUCACCCAUAUAACUUUUUAAUUUGUGUGUAGGGUAAUAAUAAAAUCGAAAAUAAUUAAAAAAAUAGUACAAUAAUGAUUUUUAACAAUAAAACAAAUCAAAUGAAAAUUGAAAAUUUAGAAAAGUGUAUCUAAAAAAAGGAACGUUUUCAAAAAUAAAAUGAAUAUAACUAAAAAGAGAUUUUAUGAGGAGAUCACUGGGGUGCCAAUAGUCCAACUUGUAAUUAAGAAUCUCCCAUUAUAUUGUCAACCAAAAAGACACUUGAAUAAGAAGAAGAAUUUAUCAGUUUGAUUUUAUUUGUAGAUCCAACAUUUCUCAUAUCCUGAACGCCUUUUCGUAUCAAAUUAAAACAGUAGUAGCAAAAUCGUAGUAUUAAAAUCGUAGUGCACAUUCAAUUAACCAACUAAUAGUCUUUGGUAUAAGAUUUUAUAUUAGGUAGCCAAGUAGGUUGUCCAUCCCACUCAGACAUGCACGAAAGCUAAAUUCAUCAAAUGAAUUACUUAAGAAGUAUUUGAUAAUUUUGAAAUUAUCAAAAGGUGUUAUACUAUUAAAUAUUUUUAUACUUAAAAUUGUUUUGAAAUUAUAAGUUCAAAUUAAAAUAAUAGUAGCAAAAUCGUAGUGCACAUUCAAUUAACCAACUAAUAGUCUAAGAAGCAAAGAGAGGAUUACAAGUUCACAACACCAUUACAAAGGAUUCAAAAUUCCCACACGAAUACAUCAAUGUACAGAUUAUAAACAAUCCGAAUUGGACACAAGAAAAACCCUUCAAUAGAUUGCUUGCCUUCCCAAUGCUAUAUACUGUGCAAACUGCGCAUUGGCCAAGAAAAUGUUUUCAAUUUAGUGUAUUUUCAAAAUGCUUAUUUUCUCAUAGUAUAAAAAAUAAAAAAAAUAAGAAAGAAUUCUCACAUGUUUCAUCAGCAUGAUUAAAAUCAAAGAAGAAAGCGAGACAUAAUGUCUCUGACAUAAUAAAAUUACAAAAAUUUCAAGGAAAAAAAAAGGUUAAAACAUGUAAUCUUCAGAAGCAUAUAAUAAAAGAACACUUCCACAAAUUACUACAAUUUCAUGCAGUAGAGAUUGAAGAGUUGAAUUCCACUAAUUUUAAUAAUGAAAACAACAACAGAGGAUUAACUGAUGCUUUGACUUAUUAGUUCUGCAGAGCAUCUCCAAAAGCCUAUAUAAAUUUUACUCUUCAAAUACUUAUUUGCUUACCUAUGUGGCAAAUAAAAGGGUGAAAAAAUAUGAUAUUCUCCAAAAGACUCUUCAAAUAGAAAAAAGUUAAUAUUAUUUUAAUCAUAUAAUUAAUUUUUUAAAGAAAAAGUCAAUAGCAAUUAAAGCACUUCUCUCUCUUUCUUCAAUGAAAAGUAAUAAAAUAUAAAUUGAAGAGGGAGAAAUUAACUCUCCAAAUUUGAAGAGAGAGAAUUAAUUCUUAUUUAAAGAAUCUUAAUUGAAGUGUCUUUUGGAGCUUUAAAUAUUGAUGUGGCUCUUCAAAUAAGUAAUAAAAUCUUAUUUGAAGAGCCUUUAAAUAAGGUGCUUUCAAAAGCAAAAUGGAAUACAUAGAUAAAAACAUCAUCUUAAACAAAUCACAAUCUAGAAUUAGAGCAUUUUCGACAUACCUAAGGAAAACGAAUACGUGAAAACGGGUGAUUCAUUUGUUAAGGAGUGUUGAUUUGGUCGUCUCUGCAAAUUCUUUAGGGACUCGGUUCCAAUUCCUCAUCAUCAAAACUGUAAUAUAAUUCCCCUUCAUCAGAACUCGAAUCGAUGCAAUAUAAUUCCCCUUCAUCAGAACUCGAAUCAAAUUCACUUGCAGCAGUUCCACUCGCGCUUGGCAAAUCAUCCAAUUUCCAAACUUCGGUAGCAAAAUUGAGAGUAAAAGUGUUGGCUUUGAUCUCGCUGGGAUUUGCAUAUACUGGACAUACUCCGCAACGUUUUAUCUUCUGACCCUUUUGGACCUUUAUUAUGUUUCGGUAACGCUCAUUGAAGAACUUAAGUGAGACAGUUGUAUGAUGGUAACCAUCAGGAAAGCCAACAUUCAAGCAAGGUUUAAAACCAAGUAUGACAUGAUCUGAAUCAUGGGGGUCUUUAAUAGAGUCCCAAUAGAAACUCAGAUCAACAUGUUUGGUUUCAGAGAGAGUCUUUAUUUCUAAGUCGGAUCGACAGUAAACGUAAAAAUAACGAGAACGAUCAGAAUAAAGUUGCUUAAAAUCAAGAACAGCACAAAAAGCAAACCCGAUUAAGUUUCUGCAAAAAGAGUGCGGUGGCAGUUGAAUACGUAUCGAAGAUCCUGAACUUUGAUUGCUGAACCAGUCAGGAAUUUCGCUCCCAGGUAAAACAAUUUGGGAUUCCCUGAGUUCAGAAAGUUUCUGUGAAACGACAUUUAAAAAAAGAAAAUUGUAAAAUGAAAACCAUGAUUUCAGAUAUAACAAAGAGGGACAGAGUAAACAAGAGAGGGAAUUUGAUACCUCGUUGUAUGCAUUUUCAUAGCCCAGUCUCAGUGAUGCUGCAAUUGCCAUACGUAGUGAAUCUGCCAAAAUCUUGUUGUUUGCUUUUCCAUCAAGUUUCAAGCAGUUAGUAAACCCAAAAUAAAUUGGUUGUGGCGUCACAUAUUCCGGAUGCCAUUGACGAAGGUCAGGAGAGGGUUUGGAUAGCUUUUCGAGUACGGAUGCAUCUAGUUCUUGUACACAUGACGGAAUCUCUGGCAAAGAUUGAAGCCGGUUGCAGUUCAUUGCAAUUAGUGACUGUAGACACAAUGGAAGUUCAGGUAAUGACCGAAGCAUGUUACAAUCCUCCAAGUGAAGAGUUUCUAAACCCAAUGGAAGUGCUGGUAAUGACUGAAGCAUGUUACAACGCCACAAGUGAAGAGUUUCUAGACCCAAUGGAAGUUCUGGUAAUGACUGAAGUAUCUUACAAUCCCUCAAUUCAAGAAAUUUUAGGCCCAAUGGAAGUUCUGGUAAUGACUGAAGCAUAUUACAAUCCUCCAAGUAAAGAUAACUUAGCCACGACAGUUGCUUGAUACUUGCAGGUAAACUCUCAAAGUUAUUUCCAUUUAAAUUGCCAAUGUUAUCCGGCAACUUAUCAAGUACAGAGCAACCACUUACGGACAAAAGUACAAGCCCCGUUUGCAAUGCCUCAAAUCCAACUUUUCAAGAUCAGUUAGGCACUCUACUGAUGAUGGAACUUCUUCUAUUGCAGUCUGGCCCAAGUUUAGCGAUGUUACUUUCCCAGAAAUCUGUGGAAACUCUAUGAGAUUAACACAAUAGGAGAAAUCAAUAGUUACUGGACAAACAAAAUGAAGAUUGCUAGGAAAAGACCUAAGACUUUUGCAGCCCAUAAAAUCCAACCUACUGAGAUACUUGAAAUUCUGGAUAUAUGAGGGAACACAAGCCAAGUUUGUAUAAUCCAAAAGAUAUGUUUCAACAUUUGGGGUUUCUAAUGGGCCUGGCAUCUUAAUGAAAUGUCGAGAAUGGCUGAGGUUAAUAGAUUUUAACUUGAAAGCUUCCUGCAAUAACAGAUAUAUAAAGACUAUAUUAAUUAAAAAGCAACAUUGAAUUCAACAAUUAAUUGCACGUAUAUUUAAAGAAAGAAAAAAUUAAUGUUUUAGUUUUAGUACAGAACUUACCUUUUCUCCUUCCCAAAGUUGCUCAACUUUACUAAAACGCAAAUUCAGUUCAACAAGGUUCUUUGGCUUGAAAUUUGAUGGCAGUGUCCUUAAGGGAUAUGUGUCCCAAUGAAGAUAUCUCAAUUUUUUAGGAAGAUAAUCUAGGCCAUUUGGAAGCUGCACUUUAGAGUAUGAAAGUUGCUCUUCAAUGCUCAUACUUAGAAACUUUUCAAUCUCAGGUACAUAAAAUUUGAGCAAUCUUAGAUUAGACAUUUUUGUGAAGGCUCCAGGGUCUAAAUUGAUGCCUUUUAUUUUGGACAAAUCCAGAAAUAUGCCUUCAAUUGCAUCGGUCCCCUUAUUAAAAAAAAAAACAAAGAAUGAGUAACCCUAAAACAGAAAAGAAACAUUCGCAAACUUUAUUAACUAAGAACUCCUUAAACAAAAACAAAUUCUGCAAUCUUUGAUUUUAUUUUUUAAAAAUAUUAAAUAUCUAUAUAUGAGAAAAGAAAAUUUUGGGGACCAUUGCAAAAUUAAACUAACCAAAAAAAAAAUUCAAAAUUUCUCUAAUUUACAAACCUGUUAUCUUAAUAUCUAGAAGUUGAGAAGACAAGGCGUAUUUGAUUGGUAUAAGAUUUCGAUUUUUUUUUUAGUCCAUAGAAUCCAAAAUGUUUGUUCAAAAUCAGGGAAAAAAACGAAAGUUAUUUUUUUUUCCACUAGCUGUAAUUGUAUCCAAGUCAAAUUGAGAUACGACCCUUUUCGAAAGGAUUUAAUCAUCUUAUAGCCUCCUUAAGAUACAUUUAAGCUAAAAGGAGUGAUUGGAGGCAGAACUUAGUGGGCCAAUCAGUUCAUUUUAUUAGCGACUGUUGCUUAAAAAAAAUUAUACUCUAAAACACACUUACUUUUUUGAAAAAAAAUAUAAUUAUAUUUAAGUAGAACCAGGUGGGCCAAUCCUCAUGGCACUCACUUUGUUCUGACACUCUUCACUAAAUUUGAAGAAAAAUAAAAUUAUACUCUUCACACUCUUAUUCAACAUUCCAAAAUUGAUAAAAUCUGGAGUUUUCUUUAAAAUUUUAAAAUUUGAAGACUUGUUCUCUUGACACCCUCAGUCAUUAAUUUUACCUAAUUAUGGUUUUGGUUGUUUUGUUCAUAAAAAUGCUUUUACUAAAGGAUGUUCUGGUAAUGAAAAAAUUUAUAAAAAAACAAACAUGGGUGUGCUGAUAUAGUUGGAAAAAUAUGAGUGCAUAACUCCAAACAAAUAAAAGAUACAUAAAAAAAAAAAAGGAGGAUUCUUACCAUAUUAUGCUUUAGUACGCGGCGGAUUUCCUUAGGAUCCCACAACCUACUGCGUCUGCCUGGCUCUUCCUCAGAUUCUUGGCGAACAAUCUCUCGGCCCAUUUCUUGCAAUAAAUCAUGCAUUUGCAAGCAGUUAUCUGACACUGUUAUAAGUGACUUGUCCACGAGGACAUCCAGUCUGUGAGACCCAGAAUCAUCAAGUAUCCUUAACACAAAAUCUUUAUCCUCUCCCUCAAGGAAACACGCAAUAUCUAGAAACAUACUCUUCACCCUGGGCGUUAAUUCUUUAAAACUAAUCUUUAAUGUAUCAUAAAUACCAUGAAUAUCAGAUUCACAAAUCCGAUUUAAGUCGUCCAAUACAUUUUCCCAAUGGCUUUUCCCCUUGAGAUACAGGGAGGAACCCAACACUUUAAGAACUAAUGGAUUGCCAUCGGCAUACCAUACAACCCUCCAUGAGUGCCGGUAGAGAUCUUCAGGACAAUGAUUUUCUUUAACAGCGAAGUUACAAAAAUGCUCGAAAGCCUCAUCAAAUUUCAAUCCAUUGACCCUAUAUAUUUUCUCCACUCCAAAUUUUUCGAGGACUCGUUUAUCCCUGGUGGUUACAACAAUUCUACUUCCUGGACCAUAUUGAUCAAGCCCUCCAAUCAAACCCUCUAAUUGUUCAUCUUUAUUCACAUCAUCGAGUACAAUCAACACCUUCAUGCGUCGGACCCUCCCUUUAGUAAAUUGUGGAAUAUUGGGACCAGCUACUUCAAGUUUUUCACUUAAUAUUGUCGAAAGCAUUUCCUUUUGUAGGUCUUCUAGGCCACCCUCUGUUUCUGAUUUUCUCCUAACAUUUUUUGCAAAGUAUUUACCAUCAAACUCACCAGAGAAUUGAUCGAAAAUAGCUUCAGCAAGGGUAGUUUUGCCUAUACCACCCGUGCCCCAAAUUCCAACAAUAUGGACAGUAUCCCACAAAUCCAUACACAGAAAUGGUUUAAUCUGCUCAAUUCGUGAAUUUAAUCCAACUAGGCCAUUGGAUGAGUCCGUUGAGACUGUUAUUUUUUCCAACUUCUUCAAAACAUCAUCGACAAUUUUGUUUACAAGUUCCGCAUCGUGCCUAAUAUAAAGGUGCAAAGAUGCAAAAACAUUGAGUCAAAUCGGGCCAAGACAGAAACAGAGAAAAGAUGAAUUAGGAAAGAGAGUUACCUGAAUUUCGUGGAUUCAUGGCCGGCUAGAUGGGAUGUUUCUGUCAGUGCAUCCCUCCACUUCUGAACCAUUUCUGGUUUAUCUUCGAACUGUUUUUUGAGCUCAUCAAAACGGUCUCCAAAUGUUCCGUUUUGAUGCCGCACAUCAGAUGGACUUACUCCAUAGAAGACUGGAAUAAUAAUUUGGCCGUUUGUGUUCUUGCAUUCAAGAAUCUUGACAAGUUCAUUCAGGCACCAUUUUGAAGAAGCGUAGUCCUUUGAGAAAAUGACCACCGAAAUUUUUGAACCUUGGAUUGCGUUCAAAAGGGCGGGUGAAAUCUCAUCUCCUCGCCUAAGCUCUUCAUCAUCAAUAAAUGUUUUGAUUUUUUUUCCUUCAUACAAUUUAUCAUAAAGAUAGCAAGUAAAGCUCUUACGAGUGUCCUCCCCUCUAAAGUUGAGGAAGACUUCAUAAUUGCAAGAAGAAGAAGAGGAAGCCAUGAAGGAAAUUCUAGAAAUUUGAAAGUAGAUUUAGGGAAUUAUAAAAAGCUGAAGGAAAUUGGAAUUUUGUACAGUUUCUCCAGCGAGGAACUUUCACCUCCGCACUAGAUUCUUAAGUUUUGAAAAUUAUGAGACCUUUAUAUUGGAAGAUAUUAUAAUCGAAUCAAAACUUAAAAUUUUAAUAUUGUUAAUCUUUAAUCUUUAAAAAAAAAUUACCUCGCCGUUACAGUUUGGAUUAAGAUUUGAGCAAGCAUUUACCUAAAUUUUAUCUCCGCCUGUAAAUUCUUAUGUUUUAAAAAUUAUGAGACCUUUAUAUUGGGAGAUAUUAUAAUCGAAUCAAAAUUUUGAAUUUCAAUAUUAUUAUUCUUUUAAAAAAAAAAUUGAGAUAACAGAGUGAUUGAUAAUAUAGGAGAACUUGUCUAGGCAAGCACAUGCAUACACAGAAAUGUGAUGGAUUCAAAAAGAAAUUAAAGUGAUAAUGUACGUGGAUCCUUAAAAUAAAAAGCGAAAUCGCUUGGUGGCCCAGUAAAAUUAGAGAACAAAGAAGAAUUAGUUAUUGAUAUACAAAAGAGAAACACUCCAAAAUUUCAAGCAAAAAUAGUUUCAUAUACCAUUUCAAUUUUGUAAGGGGUGAGGUUUUGAAUUUCAAUAGUUUCCUCUAAAAUCAAAAGGCAACAAUUAAGUUAGAAAGAGCAAAGAAGACUUAUUAGUACCUUAUUAAAGGUAACAUUAUGGAACUUUCAAUUUCAUUACCUCACUCUUCAAUUUUUAUUGAGAUUUGUGCAAGAAUUUACCUAAAUAUUACCUAAAAUUGAGAUAUCAGAGUAAUAUCAAAUAGAAAAACUUGCCACGGUAAGCCAAAAGUCUAGUCAACCACAUGCAUAAAGCUAAAUAGAACAACUAACAAGAGAACAGAGAAACGCGUGGGUCCCUAAAAGAAAAGGCAAGCACAUAGAUGAAAAAGCCAUUACAUUUCGAUUUUACAUGUCAUUAAUUUCUGUAACACGGUGUGUGGCAGCAUAUGCACAAUCAAGUGAGGCAAAAGGGAUUCGAUUAUCGUGGCAGAACAUGAACGAGGACGCGUGAUGAAUAAUUCCUUCGAUAAAACGAAAAACAAACGCAGAGAAAAGAAUUUCUUAUAUGACAAGAAAUCAAAGAAAUCAAAGUAAUGUUUCAUUUUCCCUUCCCUACCUUUUUUUUGUUUUAUUUUUAUAGCAAAGAAUUAUAUCAUGAAAAGAAUCAAUUUAAUCACCUUUUCUAGCAGCACAAUUUUUCUUUUAUAAAAUUUGACCAGGGAGACAAAGAAUAAUUAUUCAUACCUUCAUCACUAAGGAAAUACUUUUCGGUAUGGCUAAGGUGAGAAAAGGCUUUCCACAAAAACUUGUACUUUGUAUUCCUGUAAAUUUUCUUUAAAGUCAAUAAAAACCAUAAGUUCUUUACAAUAACCAUCUCUUUGAUAAAAAAGUGCCGUAUUCCUUUAGAAUUUAAAACCGGCAAAACUGAAUCAGUGUCUUUGAAGAGACAUAAUGGUCGUAAUUCUUUAAAUGAGUUGGCUAUGGAAAUCGUUAUCCAAGAUUCUUUUACGCCAUAUUCUUUCGUAAACCAAAAUUCAUUUUGGAAUACUCUGUUGAGAAUGUCAAAUAAAACGGCAUUGAAGGAAGUUUUCAAAGGCAGAAUCUGCACUUGUCAGAUGGAUGAUCUGCACUUGUCAAAGACACAAUCCGCGUCGAACGAAUCGACACAUUUCCUUUCGUAUUCACAUAUGCAAUUUUUGAAAAAAUGUAGCUUUUACAUCUAUAAAUAACACUCAGUGUAUAAUGUUUUAUUCAAGAAAAGAAAACAAGUUUCUUCAUGGUAUCAGAGCCAUGAAUACGCUCAAGUUUCUUCAAGUUUCGCUGCUCUGUUUGUAACAAAAACAGAGAAAACCAAAAUCUUCCCACAACCAUUUUUUCCACCAUUUUCUUCCUUAAAAUCAUUCCUACCAUUAUAGAAAUCCAUGCCGAUCAAAAAACAAGCCACCCAUACGUAAAAAACUUGAGUUUACAAAUUUAUCAACAAUCUCAUAAAUUAGAUACAAAACAACGUGAUGUUAAAUCUCCAGAACUGCAGCAGUCUUAAAACGACAUGUCGUUUCUAUUCCAUCAGAACCGACAUAUCAUUUCUUUAAGCAGAGGCCAAACGACUUGUCGUUUUUUUUUUUAUCUAAAAAAGUUAUUUUUUCUUAUUUCAAUCUAGACGCCAAAAAAAAAACAAAAAAAUGGAGAAAACUCCAACUGAAUCUGAUCCUGUUGUCAUUCAAUCUGUUCAAUCUGAUGAGUAUUUAAUGUUGGAAUUAUCUUCACUGAGACAAACUACGAUAUUUGGUCUUAAAUAAUGGAGUUGCAUCUCGCAGAAAGAGAAAAACUCUCAUAUAUUUGUAGCAACACAAAGUCAUCUGAGGAAUCUUCAAAGGAAUAUGAGAAAUGGUAUAGUGAGAAUGAAAAGGUAAAAAAAUGGUUACUCAUAUCCAUGUCUCUGGAUAUCAUGAAGUGAUAUUUACGAAUUCCUACAGCCUACGAAAUAUGGGAUGCAUUAUCAAAAGCCUUCUAUGAUGGAAUCGAUGAAUUACAAGUUUUCACUCUAAACCAGAAGGCGUCUCUACCAAGAAAAAUUGACAGCCACUAUCUAAAUUCUACGGAGAAUUGAUCGAAAUAUUUUGAGAACUUGAUCACCGAGAUAAAGUGAUCAUGAAGGAUCCAGAAGAUGUUGUAAUAUACAAAAGGUCUGUUGAAAGAUUGAGAGUUCACAUUUUUCUUGUUGGGCUAGAUGAAGAAUUUAACCAAGUUCGUGGAGAAAUUCUAUGAAAAGAUAUUAUCCCAGACUUAGAAGAAUGUUAUUCUUUGAUCUGAAGAGAAGAUGUACGGCAAAACAAACUAAACAAGAAGGUCGACUCAGAAACGUUUGCUAUGAUAGCACGACAACAGCCUCAAAGGAAGCUUGUUGACAAGUCAUCACUCCAUUGCACUCAUUGUAGGAAGAAGGGUCAUAUGAAAGCACAAUAUUUUGAAAUCAUUUGAUAUCCUGACUGGUGGGAUACUUGAAAGAAAAACAUCAAGCAGGGAUAAAAAACUGCAGUAGCUGAAUCCACAUCCACUACAGAUCUUAGAAAAGAAUCUUCAGUGCAAAUCGCAACCUCUGUUAGUCCAGGUAAGGCCCUUAAAACUCUUAUACUUGUUAUUAAUAGUACAUGGAUAAUUGAUUCUGGGGCAACUGAUCAUAUGACUUUUGAUUCUCGACAAGUUUCUCAAUUGAUACCAUCUUCACAAAAACAUGUUUCCACUCCAAAUGGAACCACAACCUUAGUUAUUGGGGAAGGAUCUUUACGACUCACAUAUAAAUUAAAUUUAGACUCUGUGUUAAUUGUUCCAUCUUUAGAUUAUAAUCUUUUAUCUGUGUCUCAAUUAACCACUUACUUAUCAUGUGUUGUAAUUUUUUGGCCUGAUCAUUGUGUGUUUAAAGACAUCCAAACGAAGCAAACGAUUGGUUAUGGUAUUAGACGGGGCCACUUGUACUAUUUGGAGAUGACAUCAACAAACACUGGAAAGCUAAGCCCUGCACUAGUCGCAGAUAGUUCCAUAAAAAAAAGGAAAUCAGAAAUUUGGUUAUGGCAUAGACGUUUAGGGCAUGUGUCAUUUGGUUACUUAAAAAAAUUAUUUCCUAGUUUAUUUCUGAAAUUUGAUAUUUGUAACUUUAAAUGUGAUGUUUGUGAACUUUUAAAAAGUCAUCGAACUACUUUUCCAUUGUCCUUAAAUAAGAAUCAAGUUCCUUUUAUGGUAGUACAUUCUGAUGUAUGGGGGCCAUCGAAAGUUUCUACAAUUGGAGGUGCUCGUUGGUUUGUUACAUUUAUUGAUGAUUGUAGCAGAAUGACAUAGAUUUUUCUGAUGAAAUCGAAAGACGAAGUAAACUCUUUAUUUUAAAGAUUUCAUAAGAUGGUGACGACUCAAUUUCAGACACAAAUUCGAGUUCUACAUACUGAUAAUGGAGGCGAGUAUAUGAGCACAACAAUUCAACAGUUUCUGAAAUCACAAGGAACUGUCCAUCAAACCACUUGUGUGGGGACACCCCAACAAAAUGGCAUUGUUGAACGAAAAAACAGACAUUUACUAGAAGUUGUUCGAGCAUCACUAAUCCAGGCCCACAUGCCACUAUCUUAUUAGGGAGAAGCACUGGCAUCCGCAGCAUACUUGAUCAAUCGAACACCUUCAAGCUCCCUUGGAUUCCAGACUCUUUUCCAGGUUCUAAAUGAUGCAAUUAUGUCACCAAAUGUGCCGAAUUUACCCCCACAUGUGUUUGGCUGUGUUGCCUUCGUUCAUUUGCCGCAACAAGACAAAUUAUCUCCUCGAGCACUACGUUGUGUGUUUGUAGGGUAUGCCUUACAGCAAAAGGGAUACCGAUGAUAUGAUCCACCAUCAAGAAAAAUAUACAUCACCAUGGAUGUCGUCUUUCAUGAAGAUAUCAUAUACUACUUGUCAAAGCCUGAAUUUCAGGGGGAGUAUAAUGAAGAGGAAAUUCAUAAUCUUAUAUAUCUUCCACCUAAAGAAGAUCAAUCUUCCAUUGAGGUUGUAAACCUUCAAGAUACUGGAAAAGAAAAUGGUGGUGAUUCUCAGGCUGAGAUAAGUGAAGACACAUUUGGGGAGCAAAAUAACUUAGACACAACUGCAAUCGAGAAUGAGUCACAUGAAGAAAUACCUAACUAAUCGUCUGCAGAGGAUGUUCCUACCACAAGUCCUAGUCUAGUCAGAAGAAUUCUUCCUCAGCGUCAAAAUAGAGGUAUCCCUAAACCCACAUAUGAGCCCGACCUUUCUAGUAGAGUCAAAUACCCUAUGAUUUAUUUUGUGUCUAACCAUCGCUUGUCAGAAUCAAAUCAGUCAUUUGUGAAUCAAUUAUCUACUGUAUCUAUUCCUAAUAGUGUGCAGGAAGCCUUAAAAGACCCAAAGUGGAAAGCGACUAUGAAUGACGAAAUGUGAUCUCUUCAAAAAAAUCAAACAUGGGAACUAGUUGAUCUUCCACCUGGAAAGAAACCAGUGGGUUUCCGAUGGAUCUACACUAUAAAGUACAAAGCAGAUGGCUCUAUUGAACGAUACAAAGCAAGGCUCGUAGCUAAGGGUUACACCCAAACCUACGGGAUAGAUUAUGCCAAUAUGUUUGCACCGGUAGCAAAAAUUAAUACUAUUCGUAUCUUAUUAUCAUUAGCAGUCAACUUGGAUUGGCCAGUGUAACAGUUCGAUGUAAAGAAUGCUUUCCUCCAUGGAGACCUGUCUGAAAAAAUUUAUAUGGAUAUGCCACCAGGAUGUAGUGGACCAGAACGACUCAAUCAGAAAGUAUGCAAAUUGAAGAAAUCAUUGUAUGGGUUGAAGCAACCCCUAAGAGCAUGGUUCGGGAAAUUCACAAAGGCUAUGGUUCUUUUUGGGUAUAACCAAAGCAAUUCAGAUCAUACCUUGUUCAUUAAAAAAUGACAAGGUAAAAUCACUGCCCUCAUUUUCUAUGUGGAUGAUAUGGUAGUCAUAGGUAACGACGGGGAAGCAAGAGAGGCUCUUCAGAAGUACUUGUCGAGAGAGUUUGAGAUGAAGGAUUUAUGAGCCUUAAAAUACUUUCUUGGAAUUGAGGUUUCUCGAUCUAAGGGAGGAAUUUUCCUGUCUCAAAGGAAAUAUGCUUUAGAUCUAUUAAACGAAACGUGAAUGACAGCUUGUCAGCCUAUUGACACCCCAAUAGAAGAAGGACUGAAGUUUUGUAUUACCUCAGACUAAGUUCCAGUAGACAAAGGAAGAUAUCAAAGGCUGAUUGGAAGAUUGAUGUACUUGUCCCACACAAGGCCAGCUCUUGCUUAUGCAUUGAGUGUUGUAAGUCAGCUUAUUCAUAAUCCCGGAGAACAACACAUGAAAGCAGUAAUGCGGAUCCUAAGGUACCUGAAGUCAAAUCCAGGAAAAGGAAUCCUAUGUUCCAAAAAUGGAGAUUACAGCAACAUAGAAGUUUAUACUGAUGCAGAUUGGGCCCGGUCAGUUAGUGAUAGACGCUCUACCUCAGGAUACUUUACCUUAGUGGGAGGCAACCUUGUCACAUGCUGCUUCACUUGCUGCCAAUCCAGUUCAUCAUUCAAGAACAAAACAUAUAGAGAUUGAUGUUCACUUUGUGAGAGAUAUAAUUUCCAACGGCGGAGUGGAAGUAAGAUAUGUCCCUACUGAAUAUCAGCCUGCAAACAUCUUCACAAAAGCUCUUCCUGCUGAUAUGUUUCAACAGUUGCGAGACAAGCUACAUAUUCUUCCUAGAACAUUGCGCUUGAGGGGGCAUUAUGAAAAUAUUGUAGCAGAGCUACCAAACUUGAGUAAUACGAAUUCAAAGUUGUUAGAUGACAUGGCAGCACACUUGGCAUUCAUUGGUGUUUUGGAAAGUUAAAGUGAUCAACCUUAUCUCUUAGCUUAUCAUUAAUUCAAGCUGCACUUUUGUAUUUAUCAAGAUCAAGAUAAAGAUAACAAUUGUGCUAGGCUUGAUCUUAUUCUUGGCAUUAUCGUGUUUCCUGUAGAGCAUUAUAAAUGUAAUGAUUAUGAGAUGAAUAAAAUAACGAAAAUGUGUUUUGUUUCUUCUUUAAGCUCAUCUUUAUAAUUUAAGUUGGUAUCAGAGCAUGGCGAGCUCCAAUUCUGCGAAAUUAGUCAAUAUGAAUACUGUAAACCAAACACCACAAAUUUCUAAUUUUUUGACUCCUGUCAAAUUGGAUAGGCAAAAUUUUAUGAUAUGGAAGUCUCAAGUGCUACCUUCCAUUCGUGGUAACAAUCUUGAAAGCUUGAUCAAUGGAGCAAAACUUGUACCCACUAAAUUCUUGGUGCAAGUAGAAGAGGAUCAAACAGUAACGACUGUGGAAAAUCCAGAAUAUAUACAAUGGCUGAGACAAGAUCAGCUUUUACUUAGUUGGCUUUUGUCCACUAUGACUGAAUCAGUUUUAAGCAUAGUGGUGCAGUAUACAACCUCUUUUGAGGUUUGGAAUGCCUUGAAGACAUUGUUUGCAUCUCAGUCAAAGGCUAGAAUUUUGUAGCUCAAGAUGCAACUCCAAACCACGAAAAAGAAUGCUAUGACCAUGAGUGACUAUGUCAACAAAAUGAAAAAUUUAGCUAAUAGCCUGGCAAUGGCUGGAAAAUAUGUUACUGAAGAUGAUUUAAUUUCUUAUAUUCUUGCAGGUUUAGGAACUAAAUACGACCCUGUGGUUGUAAAUAUUACAGCAAGAACAAAUGAUUUAUCUCUGCCUGAAGUAUCCUCUCUUUUGCUCAAUCAUGAAAGUCGAAUGGAACAACUCUCAGCUGCUGCAAAUCUUGAGUCUAAAGGCAGUUUUAAUGCAAAUUUUGCAGGAGCUUCUUUUCACAAAAGGAAAGUUAUAAGAAAAGGCUUUAUGUCAGGAAGUUUAUGAGGCAAUGAACGUGGUAGAGGCAAAGGAAGAACCAAUUUUAGCCGUGGUGGAAAUAGGCCAACCUGUCAGAUAUGUGGCAAAUAUGGACAUUCAGGAUAUCAAUGUUUCUUCCGCUUUGAUCGGGGGUUCUCUGCAAGACAAGAGGCAACACAAGCAGGUCAAGCCUCUGCCUAUAUGGCACUCCCUGCUGAAGAAAUAGAUAAUGGAUGGUAUUUGGACAGCGGAGCAACACACCAUGUUACAAAUGAUUUAAACAAUCUGCAGAUUAAGUUAGAAUUUAAGGGAGGUGAGAAGCUGGUAGUAGGUAAUGGUAAAACUUUAGCAAUAUCUCACAUUGGCAGUGCACUUAUUUAUAUUCCAAACCAUGAACCAUUGUUGCUUAAUGACAUUUUAUAUGUGCCCAAAAUCACCAAGAACUUAAUUAGCAUUUCAAAAUUACUUUCUGAUAAUAAACUAAUGCUUGAUUUCUGUGACAAUGUUUGUACUCUUAAGGACAAAGUUCUGGGGAAGAAGCUGCUGCAGCGAAAAAUUGAAAGAGGCUUAUAUCGGCUACCAGUGCUUUCAAGACAAGCCAUUCUAUCUGAUUCAAAAAUUAUUUCCAAUAAAUCUUAUUAGUCUUCUCUUCCAUUUAGCUGUUUCAAUUCUAGCUCAACAAUAAGUUCUGUAAAUGAACAAGAAUUUAUUUCCAAUUCCAAGCCUAGCAGUUUUAUAAAUCUUUUGCACAGAAGGAUGAGACAUCAUCAUCUUGCUGUACUAAAACAAAUUCUACCUUUGUGUAACAAAACAAGUCAGUUAAAUAAAAAUCUCAUUCCUCAAUUCUGUGAUGCAUGUCAACAAGGAAAAAGUCAUAGGCAAACUAUCAAAGCAUCAAAUAGUAGAGCUUCAGAACCUUUAGAAUUAUUGCAUCUUGACUUGUGGGGGCCUGCACCUUUAAUGUCUAGAAAUGGCUACAAAUAUUAUUUGAGUAUUGUAGAUGACAACACACGUUUUACAUGGAUAUUUCCACUUAAAGUUAAAUUACAAGCGUUUGAAGCUUUUAAGUAUUUCAAAGUUCAAGCCGAAAAACAAUUAGGAAAGAAAAUCAAAAGUUUACAAACUGACGGUGGAGGAGAGUUUCAAGCAUUUACAAUUUUUUAAAAGAACAGGGUAUUAUUCACUGACUUUCUUGCCCACACACGCAUCAUCAAAAUGGUAGAGUGGAGCGAAAACACCAACAAAUUGUAGACACUGGUUUAACACUUUUGGCAUAGGCUGGCAUGCCACUCACUUUUUGGUGGGAUGCUUUUCAAACAUCUGUUUAUUUAAUUAAUAGAAUGCCUACUUCCAUCUUAGAAAACAAAUCACCAUUUCAAAUACUUUAUGAUGAAGAAUAGGAAUCAAUAUUAUACUAGGAUUAGUUUCCUUAUUAACUAAAGUUUAAGACUUUUAAAUUCCUUUCUAAUUUAGAAUUUUGUUUCCCUUUCAAUUUAGGAUUUUGUUUUACUUCAUGAAUUAGGAUAAUUAUUACUACUAUAAAUAGCUCCCUCUUGUAGCCUUUAAAGGCAGAGAAUUUUGAGUUUAAUAAUAUUUCAAUUUUCAAAUCUCUUUGUGAGUAUUUGAACAGUUAAUUCUCGGUAUUCUGCGAAAUCAACGAGUCUUAAAUCCCUAAGUUCGCGGUAUUCUUUUGAAUCAACAUGAAUUUAGUUGUUCUUUUAUUCUGGUAUUCUCUAGAAUCAACGGAAUAUUUUGAAUAUUAAACUUCCACUGCAUCACUUUACAAGAAAAUACCUGAUUAUUCUUUUCUAAAAGUUUUUGGAUGUGCUGUAUUUCCUCAUCUUCGAGAUUACAACAAACAUAAAUUAGAUUUUUGAUCAGAUAAAUGUAUAUUUUUAGGCUAUAGUACAGCUCAUAACGGGUAUAAGUGUCUCCACAAGUCAGGAAAAAUUUUUGUAAUGCGACAUGUUGUCUUUAAUGAAUAUGAUUUUCCUUUUAAAAGUGAUCCCUCCUUCAAAAUCUCAAAGAGUUAUCCAAAUCAUGAUUCUAGUACUCUCUUUCAGUCUCCUAUGUUUGCAGGUUUUGAAAGUCCUAGAGCCUAUAAGACUCUCUCGGUUAUUCAUGCAACAGACUCUCUACUAGAGUUGGUUCAUAACACAAUAGUUAUAGAUCAGGCAUCAAGUCAAGAUGAGGAAACCAAUUUUGAAUCCAACACCAAAAGCCCACCUGGAAAAGCCAACCUUGAAUCAAGCACUGAAAUCCAAGCAACUGAAAACACCACACAAUCUUUAUCUAUCCCCGCGUUUAUCAAUCAAGAAGCCGAUCACACAAUCUCUCAACCACCUAGUUCAACUCCUCAUUCUCAACAGCCAACACAUACACAAUCCACUCAUCCAAUGAUCACUCGUGCCAAGGCCGGCAUCUUUAAACCCAAACCUAGACUUUACCUAACAACCUCUCAUACCAAAAUAAGUGUACAUGCCAGUGUUAGUGAAGCUUUGGAAGAUCACAAUUGGCGUAAUGCUAUGACAGAAGAAAUGAAUGCUUUGGCUAGGAAUAACACACGGUGUUUAGUUCAACCUACUUCUGACAUGAAGAUUGUGGGAAAUAAAUGGGUUUUUCGGAUAAAACAAAAGGCUGAUGGUUAGAUAGAGCGAUAUAAGGCUCGGUUGGUUGCAAAAGGAUUUCAUCAGACCCCAGGAAUCGAUUUCAACGAGACUUUUAGUCCUGUUGUUAAAGUUGCAACAAUUCGAUUGGUGUUAAGUAUUGCUGUGAUGAAAAAUUAGGGUGUAAUACAACUGGAUGUGAACAACGCCUUUUUAAAUGGAGACUUAGUAGAAGAUGUUUACAUGAUGCAGCCUGAAGGCUUUAUCAACAAAGCACAACCAAAUCAUGUGUGUAAAUUGAGAAAAGCAUUGUAUGGGCUUAAGCAGGCUCCAAGAGCUUGGUUUGAAAAACUCAAGAGAGCAUUGAGUGACUGGGGUUUCACAAAUUCUAAAUUAGACACAUCACUAUUUAUUUUGCAGCAAGGAAGGGAUAUAAUAUUUGUCCUUAUUUAUGUGGACGAUAUUUUAAUAACAGGAAGUAAAGAAAGUUUGGUGCAAGAAGUUAUUGAACGACUUAAUUGUCAGUUUGCUUUAAAAGUGCUCGGACCAUUAAGCUAUUUCCUUGGUCUUGAAGCUCAUCGCACAGAGAAUGGCCUACAUCUUAGCCAACACAAAUAUAUUUGUGAUCUCUUGAAGCGCACAGAUAUGGAUGGCUGCAAGGAAACAUCUACUCCUAUGAGUGUAGUACCGAAACUUUCAGCUGAAGGUGGUAAGCAAUUUUCUGAUCCUACACUUUAUCGUAGCAUCGUUGGAGCCUUAUUAUACGUAACUAUUACUCGGCCUGAAAUUUCUUAUGCUGUUCAUCGUUUAAGUCAGUAUAUGCAAAAUCCUUUACAGCCGCAUUGGCUUGGGUGUAAAAGAAUCCUUAGAUAUUUACAAGGAACAGCUGAUUAUGGAAUUUAUUAUACUACCAAAGGAAGAAUGACGCUCACAGGCUAUACAGAUGCAGAUUGGGCAAACAAUAUUGAUGAUAGAAAAUCAACUGGAGGCUACUGUAUUUAUCUUGGCAAUAACUUAAUCUCAUGGAGUUCAAAGAAACAAAAUGCAGUAGCAAGGUCUUCAACUGAGUCAGAGUAUCAAGCACUUGCAAAUACCACAGCAGAAAUUUUAUGGCUUCAAUCUGUGCUUAAAGAGUUGCAGGUGCCACUAACUGAAAUUCCAAUUAUUUGGUGUGACAACACUGAAGCUGCUUCACUUGCUGCCAAUCCAGUUCAUCAUUCAAGAACAAAACAUAUAGAGAUUGAUGUUCACUUUGUGAGAGAUAUAAUUUCCAAAGGUGGAGUGGAAGUGAGAUAUGUCCCUACUGAAUAUCAGCCUGCAGACAUCUUCACAAAAGCUCUUCCUGGUGAUAGGUUUCAACAGUUGCGAGACAAGCUACAUAUUCUUCCCAGAACAUUGCGCUUGAGGGGGCAUCAUGAAAAUAUUGUAGUAGAGCUACCAAACUUGAGUAAUACGAAUUCAAAGUUGUUAGAUGACAUGGCAGUACACUUGGUAUUCAUUGGUGUUUUGGAAAGUUAAAGUGAUCAACCUUAUCUCUUAGCUUAUCAUUAAUUCAAGCUGCACUUUUGUAUUUAUCAAGAUCAAGAUAAAGAUUACAAUUGUGCUAGGCUUGAUCUUAUUCUUGGCAUUAUCGUGUUUCCUGUAGAGCACUAUAAAUGUAAUGAUUAUGAGAUGAAUAAAAUAACGAAAAGGUGUUUUGUUUCUUCUUUAAGCUCAUCUUUAUAAUUUAAGUAAAGGGACUUUUGCAUAGCCUCUGGUGUGUGUGUGAUUUCUCUUUCGUUUCCUCAUCAAAUUCUGUAAUUCUUGCUUCGAUAAAAAGCUUUUAAUCUCUUCUGUAGUGUGUGAUCAGUGCGUAAUCAUUUUGAGCAAUAACAGCUUGUGGGUUUUUCCUUCAAACAGUGUCGUUUUGGUCAGUUUGUUAGUUUCUGUGUUCGUCUGAUUCCAUUGCUCUUGUUCUCUGUUCUUGAUCUGUUCGUGGAAUUUUUCUUUGGUUAUUUGUUCUCAAAUUUCAACUGUAUAUAAAGUUUGAACUCUGAUUGCUUAUAAUGUAUUGAUUAAGAAUAAUCCUAAGAGUUCCCGAUUGAAAUUUUUAAUGACUAUUUUUAUUGUUUUGGAUAUACAAAUUGAAUUAAGAAAAAAUAUUGUCAAAUUCAGAGGAUAAGGGGAAAUAAUUAUGCUUCAAAAGGCCAGAGAUUAGAGAAUAAAGAAGCAUUCAUUACUCUAUCAAAAAAAAAAAAAAAAAAAAAGCAUUCAUUACUGAUAUACAAACUGCUUUUAUUUGGAUUUUGGAAGGGGUGAAGUUUUGAACUUCAGUUGUUCCUCUAAAAUCAAAAGCAGCAAUUAAGCGUUCUCAAUUAGAAAGAGCUAAGAAGACUUAUUGGUACCUUACUGAAGCUAACAUUAUGGCACAGUUGUUCAUAUAUAAUGGCUGCUCUGUUAUGCUAGCUUCUCUGUUUUUGCUUCUAUUUUUGCUUACAGUUUUGAACAUAAAUUCUUGCUCAAAUAACCCAUAAUUAAAUAACACUAAUAUGGCUCGUGAAAUCCCAUAAUAGCUAAUUACGCAACUUUCUCCUCCUCCUCAAUUCUGUCUUCCCCUGCUCGUACACUAAAUUCAAAAUUCAAUGCCCCGAAAAACAACACAAGAAAUCUUUGAGUUAAUUCGCGACCAGUUUAUAUAUAGUAGCAAUUGAAAAAGGAAAAAGAAUAAAAGAGUUCAUUAUUAUUCAGACCUUCACUUAUUAGGAAGUUUGUUCUGCUGUUGGGUGAGAUCAAGCUCUCAGCAUAUACUUCCACAUUAUACUUUCUAACAUUUUCUUGAAAGCCAUCAAUCAUAAAAUCUUCAUACUUUUUUCCAUCCUUUGGAUCAAUAAGUACAAAUUUCUCAUCUAAAACAGACAAAAUAAAAUCACUGUCCUUCAUGGAACAUAAUGGCUGCAAUGCCUGAACUGAAUUGGCUAAUGAAAUUUGAGUCCAGGAUUCUCUCAGCCCAUAUUCUUUCAUAAUCCAAAAUUCUUUUCUUUCUCGACAUGGAACAUAGUCUUCUUUUCUUUCUGGACAUAUGUCUCUGUACUUUUCUCUCUCUACUGAUCCACACUUUUUCAUACUUCUAACUAUCAUUUUGUUUUUUUUUUGUUAAGUUGUGAUUUAUUCAAUUAUUUUGUAUUUUUAAUGAAAAUUAUUUAAUAUUUAGUUAGUUUUGAUAUUGAUUAGUGAUUGAAAGUGUAUUUUAGAAGACUUCCGGUCUCUUGGAAAAAGGAAAAAUGGAGACGAAGAAGAAGUGUUCUUGAUUUUUUUGUAGGCAUUAAAGUUAAACGGUUUGAAAUGAUAUUUUGUUUUAAUUUCACUCAUUAAUCUCAUUCAGGAUAAAAUUAUAAAUGCAAAUAAAUGGGGUUUCAUGAGUUUUUUUUAAUAGUGUUAAAAGGUCUACUCACUAAAUAAAUAUGUUUAACCCAAACCAAUGCGAUUAGUAAGUUAUUGGGUUGGGUUGAUCAGGUUAAAAAUUAAAAUUAAAAAUUAAAUAAUUAAAAAAGGCAUAAAAACUAUCUGUUACUUGAAAAUAAAAAGAAUUUCUAAUAGUUAGUUCUAAUGUCCCAUAUCCAAAACAUCCAUAUUAAAUAAAUAUUAUAAGUUAGAAAUACAAUAUCCAAGAAAGAAUGAAUGAAAUACCAUAUUUUUGUUGAGAAUUAAGAGUGUGAUUUUAAUUUUGAUAUUGGAGUCUAAAGUGCCACGUUUAAAUAAUCUCUUUUAUAAAAUAAUAAAAAGAGAUUAAAAAUUAGGUUAGCCAUUUAGGCAUUCAGGGUUUAGCAAUUAAGGAUGAACAUAUUAUUGUUGUUGUUUUUUGUUGUUGUUGUUGUUGUUGUUGUUGUUAUUAUUAUUAUUUAUAUGUUUACUAAUCCAAUUUACGUAUAAGUACAAAAGUUUCAAAUAUUGUCUAUUAUUUUUUUAACAUGCCUAUUCCUUGUGGAUAAUUCUGUCUCAUCACUAAUGUUGUUUCUUGCUUACAAUUUGUAUAGCGUCUCAAAAUAGACAAUAGGGGGAUUUUGAAUUUUUUAAGUCUCAAUAUAGUCUCUUAUCUUGUGAGACAGAUUUUCUUUCAAUAAUUUGGAGGUAAACAUAACAUAACUUUUUGGACUAAAGCCUAGCUCUGCUAAUUAGUAAUUGGUGGUAUCCUUUUCAAGACCUGAGUCUUUAAAUUCGAGUUUUAUAUAGUGCGCAUGUGUAUUUAAUUAAUAUUUUUUUAAAAAAAUUACAUCAAAUACUAAUAUUCAUGACAUAAUUUAGUUCAUAAUGUUUUUUUAAAUACAUCGAAAAUAUAAUUUUUUAACAACUUAUAGGCAUGACAAAUUUCAAGAUAUAAAUAUCAGUCAAAAUAAGUGAAAGAAAUAAUGGUGCCAAUUCUAAUUUCUUAACUAAAUUAAUUACUGCAUGAGCCCCCAAUACGGCACGAGAGUUUGAUGGGCUAACUUGGCACAAGAACAAUAGUUAAUUGAUUUAAGAAAUAAUUCAAUGAAAAAUAUAAUUGAUAAGAAUUUAGUAUUGAAAUGAGUUUUUUUCGAAACACUGAAUUAAUGAUUAUUAAGCAAGAACAAUAAAAAAAAUAAAAUAAAAAAUAAAGAUUAACCAUUGAUAAGCUUCAACAAGAACUUAACACAACCCUCAAUCCUAAUUCAAAUUAUAAAUGUCAUUCAUAUAUUCAUUAUAAAUCAAUAACAAAGGUUAUAAAUGUUUAGAAAUUCUAGAGGGAAGGAAGCUAUCGCCGGGCAAUCAACAACUAAAUUUGAUGUAAUUGUGGCACAAGAUGGAAUAUGAAAACUACACCAUAAUUUCAAAUGCCGCCAUAGACAUUGACUUAUCUACAGUAACAAUGAUCUAAUUAAAAUUAAAAUAAAGUUUAUGGGCAUUUAUUAUAUUUGCCAUUCCUCAUUUGCAAAUAGGGAUAUAAUUAUAAUUUUACUUAGUCAAAGCAAUCAGUAAUUUUUAGGGGUGUUCAAAAUUCAAUCCGAUCCGCUCAAUCCGUCUGAUCCGUAGAAAUCCGAUCCGUAAAAAUCUGAUCUGUGGAUUGGUAGAUUGGAUUGAAUUGAAAAUUUGAUAAUCCGCAAUCGGUGGAUUGGGUAUGGAUCUACUUCUGUAAAUUCGUAAAAAUCCGUGAAUCGGCAAAAAAUAAAAAGUAUUUAUUUAUUAAAAAAUAAAACUUGUAAAUAUGGCAAUAGUACUUACUAGUAAAUAAAUAAGUUAAAAUAUAGUUACAUUAACACUAUAUUAUAUCUUAUCCGAUAAUAAUAAAAAAUAAAAAAUAAUUAAAUAAACAAAUAUAACUUUCUAAAUAGUUAAUUUUCAUGUACUGAUCUAAACGAAUGAGAUUUUUUUUUUUUCAUUUUGGUGUGUUAUGUUUUGAACUUUAAAUGUAAUUUUUAGUUUUAUUUAAACAAGUAAUUUAUUUAAAUCUUAUUUAAUUUUAAAUUUGAUCGGCAAUAAAAUUAUUUAUAUUAAUUUUUUUUUAUUUAGUUAGUUCGUAGAUUGGACAGUAUUAAAAAUUUUCAGUCCGUAAACCAAUUCGCAAAAUGGUGGAUUGGAUAUGGAUUGGGUCAAAUCCGCAUCCAAUCCGCAGAUGUAUGAAUUGAAUUUCACCAAUCCAUGAAUUGGAUUGGAUUAAAAAUUUAUAAUCCGCAAAAUCGUGGAUCAGAUAUGGAUUGAGGUCCAAUCCGUAAAAUUUGAUCCGGAAACACCCCUAGUAAUUUUCUUCAUUAUAGGAGUGAAGUAAAAACAUUUAGAUUUUAAUGUAUGUACGGAAAAAUUUAUCUUUAAAAAUACUUUCUUAAUGUGUGUAUAUAUAUUGAAAUACUCAAACCAAUUUUGGUUAUUAUAUAAUUAAACAAAUUUUAAAAUAUGAAAAAUAUAAUGUAGUUAUAGUGGAUAAACAAUAAGUGAGCGCAAUAUAAUUAAUCAAAUAUCAUGCCAUCAAAAGUUAAUUUUAGAAAUUCCAAAUCCAACAGCCAACACAAUUCUUUUAAAAAAAAGCUGACACAAUUAAUAAAAUUAGUGACAUGAAUUUCACACCAUUGAUAAUAAGCAAUUAGUAUUACUUUCUAAACUUGCUUCAACUGGUCGUUGAUGUCCGGGGUCACCAAAAGUAUAAGCAAUAAUAAGGGGCAUUGGGCAAGAGUGAUGAAUGUUUAGUCGGUGCAUUUGAUUGCUAGAUAUAUAAAGGGCCGAAACUUGAGAUUAUAUUACUUUUACAAAUUUUAAUCCAAUCACAUAUUUAAUGAAAACAAAAUGAGUUAGGAUACUUUAUUUAGAACCCACAUUUUAAUAAGGCUUCAUUUGAUGUAGUUUUUUAAACAGUGAUUAUUUAAGUAAAUUUUCCUCAAUAGAGUUUUUAUCAAACAAAUUUAUUUAUUUAGUUGUCGAUAAGAGUUUUUAUUAAAAAUUAUAAAAUUAUUUAAAUAAACAUGUUUUUUAAAAUUACAUUAUAAAAAUAAUUAAAUAAAAUUAUAAAAGUAAAAUAUAUUUUAGAUAUUUUAAUAUUUAAGAAAAAUUUUCAAUCUCUACUUUCAAAAGCUCAAAUUUUUAGCUUUUAGUUGUAGAGACAAAAUAUUUUAUUUAAUCUUUAAAAGUUAUGCUAAAAACAAUCAAAUAACUACAAAAAUUUUAAUAAGAGUAUAUAAAAUUAAAUGGUAAUUUUUAAAAACCUCCCCUGAGGUUUGGGCUUGUUGCAAGUAGAUGGCGAGAAUCCAUUUAUUUGUAACAAACCCCCUACCGUCAGUUAAUUUUUGCAUUAACCGUUAGUUGACUGUGCAAAGACAAUAUUGUCCCUAAUGACAGUUUGUAGACUGACAUAGCUAAAAAAAAUGCUGAGAUUGUCGGCACGAAAAUCACAAAUAAUUUUUUUUUGACAAUUUUGUCCUUGUUAAUUCCAAGAUUUACAAUGUCAUAAGUAAGGAUUAUGACUAUUUUACCCUCUUAAAAUUAUUGAUAAUUCCUUAAAAUUUCUACAAAAAAGAUAAAAUUAAAAACUUGAAGAAAAAUAAAGUUCUCAAGCCGGCUAACCAAACACAUAGAAUAAAAAAUCCAUCGUUUGACAACAAAAACAACUUUCCAUAAACCCAAACAAAAAUAAACAAGUCCCCAUUACUCUAAUUGGCUUUGCUUGGAGCUGUUACUAUUGUGCAUACAUUUCUAGGCAAAGCAAAAUGACCCCAUGAUAUAAACCUUAUAAAACAUGCCUCCACUAUUCUUAAUUUUGGUAUAAUAAUAAUAAUAAUCACAAAAAAUUAAUUGAAAACUUGACUAAUUAUCUUUGGUGGAGAAUUUUAAACCGAAACCGAUUCAGGAACCUUAAAUUGAUCAAAAGGAAGCUAAUAAUGACAAAAAAGUAACCGAUCAAAAAUCAUUAAGCAUAAAAAAAUAUUGAAUUUAAAUAACUAAAAAUGCCAUCGGAAAUUGAAAUUAAUUAUUUAACAUAUAGCAUGAAAACAAAUCUUCACUAUUGGUGCUAGGCGGCUGUCGUUUAGCUUGGUUCUAAGAGGUGGCAGUCAGUCAACUUCGAGACGGUGCGUUCGAAGUCAACUAAGCUGCAGCAGAGGUUGCAGGGGGCAGAUUGCAGCGAAGUCGCGGUGGAGCAGAGGUCGCGUCGCGGUGGAGAAGAGGUCGCGUUGCGCUGGCUUGGCUUCACGGUGGUGGGAUGGCUGGGCGGGCUGGCCAGCUGUGUGCGCAUUGUAUAUGAUUGUUUUUCACUUUUUUAAUAUUUUCUUGUGCAUUAGUUCAGAUUAGAUUAGUGAGUUUGUGUGUGUGUUUGCAGUUGAUUUGGUUAAGAUAUUUAGGUUAAAAUAAUUUUUUUUAAUAAAUUUUUUUUUUCAAAAUGUCAACAAUGCCCACAACUACCCAAAUGGCAACUAAGCAGAGUAAAAACGUAGGGGUUUUUUUUUAUAAAUAAAUAGAUUCUCGUCAUCUAUUUGCAACAAACUCAAAUCUCGGGGGAGGUUUUUAAAAAUUACCCUAAAAUUAAAUAAGCAUUUAUUAAUAAUCACUUUGGUAUACUUAUCUAAUGACCAUAAGUGUUUAUUUAAUCUCAUAAGUUCUUAUUUAAUCUCAUGAGCUCUUUUCAAUUUUUUUUGUUGUUUGUUUUUUAGUAGAGUUUUUGAAAAUUAAAUAAACUAUUUUGUCUCUACUAGAAAAAACUCAAAUUUUAGAUUUUUGUGAGUAAAUGUUUAAUUUUUUAAAAAAAUAUUAAAAUAUCUAAGAUAUCUUUCCUUUAUUUCAUAAUCUUAUUUCAUUUUUUCAUAACAUAACUUUCAAUAACUUACCUAUUAAAAUAAUUUCACAAUUUCUAAUAAAAACUCUAAUUGACAAUUAACAAUUUUUUUUUGUUUGUAAAAACUCUAUUUAUAAAAAAUCUAAUAAAAAUUCUAUUUAAAUAAAUUAUAUUUGAAAAGGUGUACUAAACCAACCUAAGAUAAAAACAAAAAUUUUUACAUCCAGACAAUUAAGCUUAAAACAAUUUCAAAUGAAUUUUAGACUAAUCAAAGUACAAUACGUACCAAGUUUGGUAACUUAUUGACAUCUUCUCAUAUAACCUUCGAUCAAGUCGAUUCUCACCUGACGACUAAUUGGUACAUCACCGUUGUUCUCUAUACUCGCAUGCAUCCGAUCACAAAUCUCACUCCAAUUGUCGUCUUUCUUCGGCGUUUUAGCACAUCCUUCUUGAAUUUCCCGCAUUUCGUUCCCUCCUGUUACAAGUCUCCGGUCAGGUCAGUUCUCUUGACGAUUAAUUCGGCAAAUCUCGAAUCUCUUCUCGCGUCGUUUCACUUCAAUUUUUUGUGUCUCCUUUCAGUUUUAGUGAUUGAAUCAAUUUUAUUGCAGUCUGAGAGAAAUUAAGUAAUGCUCUUGGAUUUAAAUUUUUUUUGCUUUCGACUUUAGAUCUCGAAAGUCAAACUCUGCUACGAAUCCUUAGAUUCUCAAUGUUUAUAAUCUUAUUUGUGUUUGACCAGGUAACUGGAUCGUGAAAUUCGUCGUUUUGUAUCAAUUCAAGCUUUCGCGAGCUCAUGGAAUCACCUGGUGAGUUGUGGUGAAACGUUAUCGUUUCAAUUUUCGCUUAAUUCUUUAUUGCAUAUUUUUUCUCUAACAUUUCAGUUUAAUUUAGAAAAGAAAGAGGACCCAAAAAGAGAGAGAGAGAGAGAGACUCUACCAUACUCAAUUCCUUGCUCAUUCUGAUUUGGCCUGAAUGUUGGCAUUGACUAUUAUUUGUUUUCAUUUCGAUUUAAUUCUCAUUUAGACAGUCUUUACUAACGGUCAAUAAUAGUUUAAGGAAAAUGAUAAUAGGGAUUCUGCAAUAAUCUUUUUAAGGAAAAUGAUAAUAGGGAUUCUGCAAUAAUCUUUUUAAGGGAUGUAUAACUUAUUAAUCAGAGUCCUGUUAUUAUGGUUUGACACUACUGACAUAUUGUGUUGGUAUUUAUUUGUACUUCCCUUGGUUGAAUUAUUUGCUGUCCCCAUGCCAUUCGAUAUGGUGCUACUUGGUUUUUGAUCAUCCAUGACGCUAUAUAUAUGUAAAGGAUGAAUUGAUUGUUUUGGCUUGUAUUCUCACAUUUUAUGAUUGAUCGAUGGAAAGGUCUUCAUGUAUUAAAUUCAACCUCACAAGCGUAAGAUUGACAGAUUCUGGGCAAAUUUUCAGGAAAAGAAACUAGACUUCAUGGAAGCAAUGAAGCUUGAAAUUGAACGUCUGCAGCUGAAAGGGAUAGAGCUUUAUUGUCAAUUGGAACUGAUCCUGCCUCUAUAAAUCCAAAUGUAUUGCUUGAUGAAUCUUACAUGGGAAGACUGUCGAGUAGCAACCACUCUUGCAUUACUUGGCCAAACUUCCCUAGAAGACAAAAUUGUUGGUGCAAUGGCCUUGAGAAUAGUGAUGAUAGUGUUUUAGACUUCUGGAAUAUUACUAGAAUCGGAGAGAGUUGUUCUGGUGGCGCGUGCAAGGUUCGUGCAGAAACUAAGGUGCCUGCUCUUGCUUCCUCAACUGCAGCAUCUGUUGGAGCUUCACAAUCCCCUUUGUUGUGUUCUCUGUUGUGUUCUCUGUUGUGUUCUCAAUGUGAAAGAAAAGUUUGCAAAGUUUGUUGUGCAGGAAGAGGAGCUCUACUGUUUUCAAAUUAUAAAUCAAGGGAUGUGACCAACUACAAUGGCUUCUCAAGUCAGAGUGGAUCAAGCCAUGGAAGCCAAGUUGAUGUAUCUACCAGUCGUUCACUAACACUGGAUGGCGUUAUCUGUAAACACUGCUGCCAUGAGAUUGUGCUUGAUACAAGUUCACAACACCAUUACAAAGGAUUCAAAAUUCCCACACGAAAACAUCAAUGUACAGAUUAUAAACAAUCCGAAUUGGACACAAGAAAAACCCUUCAAUGGAUUGCUUGCCUUCCCAAUGCUAUAUACUGUGCAAACUGCGCACUGUCCAAGAAAAUGUUUUCAAUUUAGUGUAUUUUCAAAAUGCUUAUUUUCUCAGAAUAUAUAAAAAAAAAAAAAGAAUUCUUACAUGUUUCAUCAGCAUGAUUAAAAUCAAAGAAGAAAGCGAGACAUAAUGUCUCUGACAUAAUAAAAUUACAAAAAUUUAAAAAAAAAAAAGUUAAAACAUGUAAUCUUCAUAAGCAUAUAAUAAAAUAACACUUCCACAAAUUACUACAAUUUCAUGCAGUAGAGAUUGAAGAGUUGAAUUCCACUUAUAGACACCGACCUCUUAUUUUGUCUAAUGUUAACAAUGAAAAUAACAACAGUAAUGAAAACAACAACAGAAUACAACAACAGAAAACAACAAUCCGCUCUGCAAAUUCUCUUGGGACUUGGUUCCAAUUCCUCUUCAUCCGAAGUUCCACUCGAAUCAAAUUCACUUGCAGCAGUUCCACUCGCGCUUGGCAAAUCAUCCAAUUUCCAAACUUCGGUAGCAAAAUUGAGAGUAAAAGUGUUGGCUUUGGUCUCGCUGGGAUUUGCAUAUACUGGACAUACUCCGUAACGUUUUACCUUGUGACCCUUUUGGUUUUGGUAACAAUUAUUGAAGAACUUAAGUGAGACAGUUGUAUGAUGGUAACCAUCAGGAAAGCCAACAUUCAAGCAAGGUUUAAAACCAAGUAUGACAUGAUCUGAAUCAAGGGAGUAUUUAUUUCUAACACUUGUGGUUGCGGGCCCACUGAAACCUAGAUCAACAUGUUUGGUUUCAGAGAGAGUCUUUAUUUCUAAGUCGAGUUGAGAGCGGCCGAAAACAUUGCAGCAAUAACAAGAACCAACUUUCUUAAAAUUAAGAACCGCACAAAAAGCAAACCCGAUUAAGUUUCUGCAAGAAGAGUGCGGUGGCAGUUGAAUACCUAUCGAAGAUCCUGAACUUUGAUUGUUGAACCAGUCAGGAAUUUCGCUCCCAGGUAAAACAAUUAGGGAUGUCCUGAGUUCAGAAAGUUUCUGUGAAAUGACAUUUAAAAAAAGAAAAUUGUAAAAUGAAAACCAUGAUUUCAGAUAUAACAAAGAGGGACAGAGUAAACAAGAGAGGGAACUUGAUGCGUUCUAAAUGUUCCAUUUUCUCCAAGAUUUCUGGGAAACGCUCAAGGUUCAAGCAGCCAUGAAGAAAAAGCUCAACCAAAGAUUUCAAUUUACAAAACCUAGUUGAAAUCCUCUUCAGCCGUUCGCAAUCCCUCAAAUCCAACUUUUCAAGAUCAGUUAGGCACUCUAUUGAUGAUGGAACUUCUUCUAUUGCAGACUGGCUUAAGUAUAGCCGUGUAAUUUUCCCAGAAAUCUGUGGAAACUCUACGAGAUUAACACAAUAGGAGAAAUUAAUAGUUACUGGACAAACAAAAUGAAGAUUGCUUGGAAAAGACCUAAGACUUUUGCAGCCCACAAAAUCCAACCUACUGAGAUACUUGAAAUUCUGGAUAGAUGAGGGAACACAAGCCAUUUCUCCUUCCCAAAUUUGCUCAACUUUACUAAAACGCAAAUUCAGUCCAACAAGGUUCUUUGGCUUGAAAUUUGAUGGCAGUGUCCUUAAUGGAUAUGUGUCCCAAUGAAGAUAUCUCAAUUUUUUAGGAAGAUAAUCUAGGCCAUUUGGAAGCUGCACUUUAGAGUACGAAAGUUGCUCUUCAAUGCUCAUACUUAGAAGCUUUUCAAUCUCAUACUUAGGUACAUAAAAUUUGAGCAAUCUCAGAUUAGACAUAUUUGUGAAGGCUCCGGGGUCUAAAUUGAUGCCUUUUAUUUUGGACAAAUCCAAAAAUAUGCCUUCAAUUGCAUCGGUCCCCUUAUUAAAAAAAAAAAAAAAACAAAGAAUGGGUAAGCCUAAAACAGAAAAGAAACAUUCGUAAACUUUAUUAACUAAGAGCUCCUAAAACAAAACAAAUUCUACGAUCUUUGAUCUUAUUUUUUUAAUAUAUUAAAUAUCUAUAUGCGAGAAAAGAAAAUUUUGGGAACCAUUGCAAAAUUAAACUAACCGAAAAAAAAAAUCAAAAUUUCUCUAAUUUACAAACCUGUUAUCUUACUAUCUAGAAGUUGAGAAGACAGGGCCUAUUUGAUUGGUAUAAGAUUUCGAUUUUUUUUUUAGUCCAUAGAAUCCAAAAUGUUAGUUCAAAAUUAGGGAAAAAAAUGAAAGUUAUUUUUUUUCCACUAGUUGUAAUUGUAUCCAAGUCAAAUUGAGAUAUGACCCUUUUCGAAAGGAUUUAAUCAUCUUAUAGCCUCCUUAAAGGAGUGAUUGGAGGCCUAACUAGGUAGGCCAAUCAGUCCAUUUUAUUAGCGACUAUUGCUUAAAAACAUUUAUACUCUAAAACACACUUACUUUUUUGAAAAAAAAAUAUAAUUAUAUUGAAGUAGAACCAGGUGGGCCAAUCCUCAUGGCACUCACUUUGUUCUGACACUCUUCACUAAAUUUGAAAAAAAAUAAAAUUAUACUCUUCACACUCUUAUUCAACAUUCCAAAAUUGAUAAAAUCUGGAGUUUUCAUUAAAAAUUUAAAAUUUGAAGACUUGUUCUCUUGACACCCUCAGUCAUUAAUUUUACCUAAUUAUGGUUUUUAUGAUUUUGGUUGUUUUGUUCAUAAAAAUGAUUUUACUAAAGGAUGUUCUGGUAAUAAUAAAAUUUAUAAAAAAAAACAUGGUUGUGCUGGUAUGAUUGGAAAAAUAUGAGUGCAUAACUCCAAACAAAUAAAAGAUAUAUAAAAAAAAAUGGAGGAUUCUUACCAUAUUAUGCUUUAGUACGCGGCGGAUUUCCUUAGGAUCCCACAACCUCUUGCGUUUGCCUGGCUCUUUCUCAGAUUCUUGGCGUCGCCCCAUUUCUUGCAAUAUAUCAUGCAUUUGCAAGCGGUUAUAUGACACUGUUAUGAGUGACUUAUCAACAAGGACAUCCAGUCCAACAGACUCAGAAUCAUCAAGAAUCCUUGCCACAAAAUCUUUAUCCUCUCCCUCAAAGAAACACGCAAUAUCUAGAAAUAUGCUCUGCACCCUGGGCGUUAAUUCAUCAAAACUAAUCUUUAAUUUCUUAUAAAUAGCAUGAAUAUCAGAUUCACAAAUCCGAUUUAAGUCGUGCAAUACUUUUCCCCAAUGGCUUUUCCCCUUGAGGGAGGAACCCAACACUUUAAGAACUAAUGGAUUGCCAUCAGCAUACUUUACAACUCUCCGUGAGUCAGGUUUGAAAUCUUCAGGACAAUGCUUUUCUUUAAAAGCGAAGUUACAAAAAUGCUCGAAAGCCUCAUGAAAAUCCAUUCCAUUAACCCUAUAUAUUUUCUUCUCCUCCACUCCAAAUUUUUCGAGGACUCCUUUAUCCCUAGUGGUUACAACAAUUCUACUUCCUGGAACAAAUUGAUCAAGCUCUCCAAUCAGACCCUCUAAUUGUCCAACUUCAUUCACAUCAUCGAGUACUAUCAACACCUUCAUACGCCGGACCCUCUCUUUAGUAAAAUGUGGAAUAUUGGCACCAGCUACUUCAAGUUUUUCGCUUAAUAUUGUUGAAAGCAUUUCCUUUUGUAGGUCUUCUAGGCCACCCUCUGUUUCUGAUUUUCUCCUAACAUUUUUUGCAAAGUAUUUACCAUCAAACUCACCAGAGAAUUGAUUGAAAAUAGCUUCAGCAAGGGUGGUUUUGCCGAUACCACCCAUGCCCCAAAUUCCAACAAUUUGGACAGUAUCCGACAAAUCCAUACACAAAAAUGGUUUAAUCUGCUCAAUUCGUGAAUUUAAUCCAACUAGGCCGUUGGAUGAGUCCGUUGAGACUGUUAUUUUUUCCAACUUCUUCAAAACAUCUUCGACAAUUUUGUUUACAAGUUCCGCAUCGUGCCUAAUAUAAAGGUGCAAAGAUGCAAAAACAUUGAGUCAAAUCGGGCCAACACAGAAACAGAGAUAAGAUGAAUUAGGAAAGAGAGUUACCUGAAUUUCGUGGAUUCGUGGCCAGCAAGACCGGAUGUUUCUCUCAGUGCAUCCCUCCACCUCUGAACCAUUUCUGGCUUCUCUUUGAACUGUUGUUCGAGCUUACCAAAGCCGACCCCAAAAAUCCCAGUUUGAUGCCGCACAUCGGACGGACUUACGCCAUAGAAAACCGGAAUAAUGAUUUGGCCGUUUGUGUGCUUGCAUUCAAGAAUCUCGACAAGUUCAUACAGGCACCAUUUUGAAGAAGCGUAGUCCGUUGAGAAAAUGACCACCGAAAUUUUUGAACCUUGGAUUGCGUUCAAAAGGGCAGGUGAAAUCUCAUCUCCGCGCCUAAGCUCUUCAUCAUCAAUAAAUGUUCUGAUUUUCUUUCUUUUAGACAAAGCAUCAUAGAGAUGGCAAGUAAAGAUCGCACGAGUGUCCUCCCCUCUAAAAUUGAGGAAGACUUCAUAAAUGCAAGGAGAAGAAGCCAUGAAGGAAAUAUUAGAAAUUUGGUGACAGAAACAGAGAAUUAAUCUUGAGAGCUGAGAGAGGAGAUGUAAGAAUGAACAUGUGUGAAUAUUCUUGCGAGUACAUAGUAAAUAAUUGAAUGGCUCGAGCUUUCUUAGUUUCCUGGAAAUUUCCUGGAGCUUUCGUAUACAUGAUUUGUCAAGUCAAGAAACAUAGUCAUGAUAAUGGGGCAGACCAGGAAGAAAAGGAAAUUGGAAUUUUGUACAAUUUCUCCAGCGAGGAACUUUCACUGUCAUUACCUCACCGUUACAGUUUGGAUUAGGGUAAUUUUUACCCCGCACCCAAAUGUUUUGACAUACAGCACAACGCACCCAAUUCUUUUGCCCAUGAGCACCGCGCACCCAUUUCCGUUUAUUUUUCAGUUAACUGUAACAGAUCAGGGUAAAAUUGGAAUAACGCAUCAAAAUUUAAAAAUAAAAAAAUAGGUAAACUCGAUGUUUGCGCCAAAAUAAUUUCACAUCACUGUGCUUAUGUUCACUGCGUUUGCGUGUGAGACCAAGAAGCAUGGCCACACCUCCAUUGAUGCCAAAAUCGAGGAGGUGGGUGAAGAAGAAUUGGCGCCAAAAUCAUUCACAUAUGAUGUGCAAGGAAAUUAUUUCAGCCUUUAAAUACUUUUUUAUUACAGCAGCAUCAGCUAUUGCUCUGUUUCGAAGAUCUGCUCAAUUUCUAAGACAAUAGUUGGUUUGAGAGUUUAAGGGAAGUGAAUCCACUGAGCGUGCUAUUGAAGAAGUGGAGGUCAGUUUCAUUUCUUGCUCAAUUGUUUUAAUUUAUUCCAUUUUGUUUGCAUGUCAAUUAUUUACACAUUUUUAGCUGGAUUUUGCUUAUCUAUAAAACUUGAAUCAUUGUUAAUCAAAUCAGCUAUAAUUUACGCCUCAAUGUGGUUUGUAAGUUUAAGUUAUGUUGGAUUAUACCUGAAUAAUGUGGUGUUUGCGUUAUUGAUUUCAAUUUCUAUUGAUGAUUUUGAGUAUACAUAUUAGUGGAUGAAAGUUUUUAAUUAGGAUGAUUGGUCACGCAUAUAUGUCAUAGCAACUGUGUUUUUUUGGGUUAUGGUUGUACUGUAGAUCAGUAGUAGUAGUGAUUUGGAUAUAAACGCUAGUGCUUUUAUUGUAAAUGAUAGUGAUGAAGAUCCAGUGUUACAGAAUUUGAUGUAAAAGUUAUUGGUUUUUGGCUAAAUAUCUUAGAUAAAUAUGAUGCUCAUGCAAUCAAAUCCAAUGCUUAUGCAAUUUACACCAUGUUUAUGAUAAGUAAUUAAAAAAAUAAAUGACUAUUCCAGGUGAAAAUGGAUGAUGAUGAUAUUACAACUGUUCUUUGUACAUUCAAGGGCAAGACAUAUAAUGUUGGUGUAAUUGAUCCAGAUAAGUUUAGUAGAGUUUCUGUAAUUAACAAGGUUUUAGUUAGAGUCUAUGGAAGAAAGAUGAGGCCUGAUGAGAAGUUUACACUAAGUGUUUGGGUACCAUGGGUCUAUAAGGAAGUAGAGAUUAUGUCUGAUCAUGACUUAAUAUUCCAGCUGAGAGAGCAUAAUAAGAUGUUGUUCUACUGCAUGCAAUUGUAUAUUGAAGAAAUCCAUGUACCUCAUGAGUUUGUACCUAGAAGGGCUUUGUUUCAGCACUCAGCAGAAGAAAGCUUACAAGGGUAUGCUGAAACAAACUUUCCAGCCACUACUGACCUGCACAAACCUUAUACACAUGCUACAUCCACCAACACAAAUCCUUAUGAAAAUGACAGUAAUGACCAUUCGAACCAUGAACCCCCUGUCAAGAACUCCAGCAGCAUAAUGAUGCAUAAUGUUGCACUUGAUAGCAUCCAAUCACAGACCAAACCAGAUACCAACCCUGACCUAUAUCAAGACUUUUUGGAUACCUAUUUCAGAUCAUCACCACAACAGAAAACACCAUCAGCUGCCCAAACUAAUGCCGAAAAUAGUGAUAGUGAUAACACAUCUUCAUUUGGUACAAAUAAGACUCCUACUGAGCAGCUUCAACAAAACUUUGCCAUCUCUUCUGAGUUGUCCCCUUUAUUGCAGCAACAUGGACAUCAUGCAUCCCAAAAUGAACCUAUACCUUUUCACCAACCUGAGUUCUCAUCUCAACCAAUAACUCAAAACCCUCAGUCACAAGUUGUACAAGCAGAAAACUUCCAGCAACCAGAAGCCACUACACCAGCACUAGUAGAUUAUAACUCAGAUGAUAGCCAUUAUAGUGUAACUGAUAGUGAGGAAGAUCCAGAUCAUCCAUUAGGUGCUCCAAACAUUAAUAAUACUCCUAGGAAACCUUCUGUUAAUGUUGACUUAGGCUCUAUGCCUUCUGAUGAUAGUGAUGAAGAUUGUAUGCUAUCUGAUUGUGAGAGUGAUGACAAUGAGUUUGGGGAAGAAUCUGAUGAAGAGAUUGAUCAAGUGCUGGUCAGAAUGGAUGCUGUUAUGAGAGAGAACAUGUACAUUCCUAGUGAUACACCUGUUCAAUUCUUUAUUGGGCAGUGUUUUAGGAACUUCAGGCAGCUGGCAUGGGCAAUAAGGACUUAUGCUGUGGAAAACAAGUUCAAGGUUUAUAAGCACAAGUUUGAAAAAUCCAGAGUAACUGUUGGAUGUAAUUAUUUCAGGUGCCCAUGGUUUUUACAUGUUGCAAAAACUAGAUUUGGACAAACCUUUAUUGUUAGGAGGCUUCACAACGUACAUACAUGUCAGAGAGACUUAAAGAAUCCUGAAUGCACUGCAGAGUUCAUUGUUGCCAAGUUUGCUGCAACUAUAAUUGAGCAUCCAGAUACAAAGGUUGGGUGGAUUCAAAGUGAACUUAGAAGGAUGUAUGGAGCUAAGAUACACAAGUAUAAAAUUUAUAGAGCAAAGAAGAAGGUUUUACAGAGACAAUGAGCUGAUUAUGAGUCUAGUUACAUGUUGAUCAGAAAUUAUGCUCAGGCCAUACUUACUAAGAUGCCACAGGCCUUGGCAUUGGUUAAGGUUUUCAGGAUGCAUGGUCAACAACCUCAAACUCACUUUGACAGCACUGUUAUAUCUUUCCAUGCCCUCAGAGAUGGCUUCAACCAAGGUUGUAGACCCUUCAUUGGUAUUGAUGGAUGCCAUUUGAAGGGUCCAUAUAAGGGUGUUCUUUUAUCAGCAGUUGCUAUUGAUGCCAACAAUGGAAUCUUCCCACUUGCAUUUUGUGUAUGUAGUGUCGAGAGUACAACCAGCUGGACAUGGUUUCUAAGCCACUUUAGGGAAUUUUUACAAGAUACAAGACAACUGACCUUUAUGUGUGAUAGGCAGAAAGGAAUUCAGAAUGCUCUUGCCUUAGAGUUUCCUAAUGCACAUGUUAGAUUCUGUGCUAGACACAUCUUAGCAAAUAUUAAGUUAAAACAUCCUCAAUCUGACUUUAAAGCAUAUUUCUGGGCAGCAGCAAGAGCAUCAAACAGAAGGGCAUUUGAUGAUGCUAUGCAAAACAUAAGAGCAGCACAUGAGGGUGUAUAUGAGACUCUUAGGAGGAUACCACCAAAUUUCUGGUCAAGGCAUGCCUUUGACAAUAAUUGCAAGUCUGAUCAUUGCACUAACAACGUAACUGAAUCUUUUAAUGCAUGGAUUGGGAUUCAAAGAAAGUUGCCAAUAAUCUCAAUGCUGGAGUGGAUUAGGAAGAAGCUGAUGAAAAGAAUGAUUGGAAGAAGAAAUAAGGCAGAGUCUUGGGACAGUGAUAUACCAAGAAGAAUUUAUGCACAAAUGAUGAAGAAUUUACAGAUUGGCAGUGCAAACCCUAUCUGUAGAGCUAGUAAAUGGCUUUAUGAAGUGGAUGAAAAUACCAAGACUUAUAUCGUUGAUCUUGAACACCAUAUGUGUGACUGCGGACAAUGGCAAGUUAGUGGGAUUCCAUGUGUACAUGCAAUGCCUUGUAUUGUGAAUAGUCAAAAAGAUCAAGCUCAGUUCAUUAGCCAAUGGUUGAAGAAAGAUACUUACCUAAGGUGUUAUUCUGGAUUGAUUAAACCAAUUCCAGAUAGAACGUCAUGGGUAGAUGCUGGUGGUGAUGAAAUACUGCCCCCUUUAGUGAGAAGACCACCUGGACGACCUAAGAUGACAAGAAGAAGAGAAGCUGAUGAGGUACCAGCACAUAAUAAACGAUACAAGAUGCAAUGCACUAUUUGCAAGGGAUUUGGACACAACAGAAGGGGUUGUCCUGUUAACCCUCAUAAUGCUCACAAGACAACAAGACAAUAUAAGGUGAGUGUGUAUGCUUGUAAGAGAAUAUUCAAUUAUUUUUUGAACCAUGUUCCUCCCAUGUGAUGACAGCUAAUGUGCCUUGUUUGUUUGUGCUUUUUUAUAGAAUAACCUGAAGAAGCACGUGACAAGGACAAAUGGGGAGCAAAGUGAAGGUAUAAGAGUAAUUUACUAAGUUAUAUUACUAUAUUACUUUACAGCUGUAUUAGAUAAUUAUAUAGUUGUGUAUCACCAAACUAUAUUAAAUUAACUUAUUUAUUUAACGUUGCUUUAUUGGUAAUUUAUAAGGCCAAGUUCACGGAAUUACCUCAACUAUUUUGGAAAGCCAAGACAAUGACAUGGUCCAAGUAACUGUCUCAGGCCAAAACAUAACAAAGAACCAGCAGACUGCAUCUAACAAACGCAAGAUUGGCAAUCAAGCAGGGCCAUCAAAAGCAAAUGAAGUCAUUGGCAAGAGCAUGAAUGGGGUCAUAUCUGUAGCUCCAUGGGUAGGUGAACAGGGAAGAAAAGUAAUGUCAGCCGCUGGAUUAACCUUCAGCAAAGAGGAUGAAGUCGGCAACUAUACUGAAAUGAAGCAUUUGGACAAAGGGAAGGCACCAGCCUUCCCUUCGUAAAGGGUAAAACCAUAGUUUUCUAUUGAUAUAAAUUAAUAUUGGUUUUGGAAAUGAUAUUUAUAAUUUGUAACUUGUUUUGUAGUGAUUCUUUGGCUAUGAUGGAGACAUUGGCAGCAAACUUAUUAACAAACAGUGGAGGCAACAUUAUCAUUUUUUGACACCUUCCACAAUGCCACAUCAACCCACCAGGCACAAGGUUAAGGUUAUCUGGAUGCUGAUUUCAUUAGGAUCAAGUGGCCAAGUAAUGACCAGGCAUGUCAUUGUUUUCUUUUUCUUUUUUAUUUUGGAGCUGAAAUUGGUGGAAGUUGUUGGACAUUAAGCUUAAGCAUUAUAGAGCUGGAAGCUGUGAUGACCUACUAUAAGUAUGAUUGGAAGGGUUUAUGGCAUUUUGAAAGUUUUUGGGAUUAAGAUACAUAUAGGACUGAUAUCAACCAAACCAACACUUUUUUUUUUUGUUUUUUGGUCACAUGUAUGUAAACACCAGAUUGGAUGUGACUAACAUUGUAAGUUGCUGCCAAUAUGCAUUUAUAGAUAAAAUAACUUAUUGCUAUUAUUGAUAUCAUAUUUGAUUAAAUGGUAUAUGUCAAGAAACGAAUGCAUUUUAUUGAUCAUAAGAUUUCAUUUUACACAUUGUUCUAGCAUUCCUUACAGUACAAUACAAGCAAUACAAGUAUAGUUAUCACUAUAAUCGUGAUUUGAUACUUCUUAUUUUUAUGAAGUAAACCUUCAAUAUUGAUGAACCUGUUGUGGAAGUCCUCAAUGUUAAAUUGUUGAAUCUCACUUGCCCUGUCUGCAGCUUCUUCUUCAAACCUUUGUAACGCUGCUUCAAUUUCUAUAGCCUCACCUGUAGAUGGUUUCCACCAUCUAAAGAAACCACAAGAUGGGUCAUUAGGGCAUGUGUAAUAUAGUUUGUUGGGGUUUGUUUUUGAUUCUGACACUUUGAUUUCUGCCCUUCUUCGACAGUAGCAUACUGUGUUAUAGAACUUGAUGAUGCCCCCAUUGAUUUUAGGUAAAUCCCUUCUUCUGUUAUAAGUUGAUGAACUUGAUGCAUUCCUUGAAGUGGACAUUUUCUUCAAAUUUCCAAUGUCGUGUCUGUUAUAUUCUUUUUGAAAUACAGCACAACGUAUCUGAACUUCAAGUUGUUGUGCUUGUUUUGUGUGUGAAUGAAGCUGCUGUUGAAGUUGUAUUGUUUCGGUGGGUAAAACCAAAUGUUGUACUACUGUAAGUUGUUGCUGAGUAAAAAAAAUGGUGGAGUUUCCAGGUGAGUCAAUGAAAAUCACUGAGGUGUGAAGAGGGUAGGAAUUUAUAUGUGUUAAACAUCACAGCUUGUGGUGAUGCAUCAGCUCAAAUUUAUCAAUUUCUUUUACUGUUCUUGUAACCAUAUAGCCGUUAUUACUGUUGCUCAGAUUUUAUAGCCGUUGGAUUUUUGAUGCGCAUGGUAAUAAACCAAUAUGCUAAGGGCAAUAUAGUCAAUAUAAUUUAACAGUUAUAGUUGGUCUUCGUGUGUAAAUACACCUUUAAAUAAUGGCCAGUGGUAAAUUCCUUAGUUCAAUGACUCACCUGGAUGCAUUUGAAUUCAACGCAAGGGUAUAUUUGUCAUUUAAUCAAAAUAUAGACUGAUCCGUUACAAUUAACUAAAAAAUAAACAGAAAUGGGUGCGCGGUGCUCAUAGGCAAAAGAAUUGGGUGCGUUGUGCUGUAUGUCAAAACAUUUGGGUGCGGGGUAAAAAUUACCCUUUGGAUUAUGAUUUGAGGGUGCAAGUAUUUACCUAGAGUUUACCUCCGCACUAAAUUCUUAAGUUUUGAAAAUUAUGAGACCUUUAUAUUGGGAGAUAUUGUAAUCGAAUCAAAACUUAAAUUUUUUAUAAUGUUAAUAUUUAAUCUUUUAAAAAACAAUAACCUCGCCGUUACAGUUUGGAUUAAGAUUUGAGUAAGUAUUUACCUAAAUUUUACCUCCGUCUGUAAAUUCUUAAGUUUUGAAAAUUAUGAGACCUUUAUAAUCGAAUCAAAAUUUUGAAUUUCAAUAUUAUUAUUCUUUAAAAAAAAUUUUGAGAUAACAGAGUGAUUGAUAAUAUAGGAGAACUUGUCUAGGCAAGCACAUGUAUACACAGAAACGUGAUGGAUUCAAAAAGAAAUUAAAGUGAUAAUGCGAAAUCGCUUGGUGGCCCAGUAAAAUUACGACUGAAUUUUUUUUUUUUUUUUUACAAAAUUCAAGCUCAUAAAUGACAAAUUUCAUUUCCCUUUCACACGUCAUUAACUUUUGUAACAUGGUGUGUGCAUCGUCAAGUGAGGCAAAAGGGUUUCAAUUACAGUUGGAAAACAUGAACAAGAAUGCAUAAUGAAUAAUUCCUUCGAUAAACCGAAAAUUAAGCACAGAAUAAUCCUAAAAUUUAAACUCUAAUAUCUUAUAAUGUAUUGAUUAAAAAUAAUCCUAAGAGCUCCCAAUUGAAACUUUCAUAAGUAUUUUAAUUGUUUUGGAUAAACAAAUUGCACUAGGAUAAAAAUUUGGCAAAUUCAGAGGAUAAUGGAAAAUAGUUAUGCUUCAAUAGGCCAAAGAUUAGAGAACAAAUAAGAAUUAUUUAUUGAUAUACAAAAGAGAAACACUCCAAAAUUUCAAGCAAAAAUAGUUUCAUAUAUCAUUUCGAUUUUGAAAGGGAUGAGAUUUUGAACUUCAAUAGUUUCCUCUAAAAUUAAAAGGUAGCAAUUAAGCUAAAAAGAGCAAUGAAGACUUAUUGGUACCUUAUUAAAGGUAAACAUUAUGGAACUUUCAAUGUCAUUAUCUCACUGUUCAAUUUUUAUUGAGAUUUGUGUAAGCAUUUACCUAAAUCUUACCUCCGCCUUUAAAUUCAUAAGUUUUGAUUAAUUAUGAGACCUUAUAUUGGGAGAUAUUAUAAUCAAACUAAAACUUAAAAUUUCAAUAUCAUUAUUCUUUAAAAAGAAAUUGAGAUAUCAGAGUAAUAUCACAUAGAAAAACUUGCCCACGGACGGUAAGCCAAAAGUCUAGUCAACCACACGCAUAAAGCUAACUAGAACAAGAGAACAGAGAAACGCGUGGGUCCCUAAAAGAAAAGGCAAGCACAUAAAUAACUUUCAAAAUGCCCAAGCAAAUACCGAUGAAAAUCACUGUUUAAGAAUAAUUUAUUAUGUGGUUGAAGCUUUCUUUUUAUCAAUCUUCUUUCUACCCAUUAAUUUUCCCACGACUUUCCCGUUUCAUUUCUUGAAUCUCCAUGGAUUAACUUUCAAUAAACCAUAAAAUAAACUAAGGAAUCAUUUUCUCGAAUACAGCUAUGAUUUUAAUAAAUGGGCGGACCAUCUAGAAUAGUAUAUAUAAUUCUGUUUAAUUAAUAAGUUGAAAAAACCAUCAAGAGAAAUUCUAAUAUUAUGAGCUUGACACGAAUUCUUCACUAAUUCCAAAACAAGGAGCUGUUUUAUAAGAACUGUGGUUGGAUUAUUAAGUUUUACAAUUUGAAUAUAAAUAAGAAAAUAAAAUCAGUCGCGUUGAUGUUUUCGAUACAUUUCGCUGCUAACUUUUUUUUUUUUUUUAUUACAUGAGACUAUUGCUCAAAUUACAACUCAUAUUACAUGAGAAUAUAACUGAUAUUUACAAAUCAGACUAUAACUGGGACCAAUAUACAUCAAUACUAAUGGAGCGCUGCCCAGAUUUUAACCCUCUCAAAUAUUCAAGGGAUGUCUACACCUCACACUUGGGUAAGGAAACAGACUGUCUUCACUUAAAUUUACUUGAGGAAUGAAGACCCCCACAAUACAUUGUGGGGGUUCACCACUCGACCAAAGGCCGAGUGGCUCAUUUCGCUGCUAACUUAAUUAAUUACUUUACUUCAACUUUAUUUCCUUAGGGGCACUUUAUGGUGGGUCCAAGAUGGGACCUACAAUAAUCAAUCCUAAAAUUUAGUAUGGUUACCAAAUAGCUAGUAGCUAGUGUUAUUUUGUGUUUGGUGGAAGAGAUUGAAUAUUUAGUUUUAACUUAACCAUUCAACUAAUUAGAAAAUAAAUAAAAUUAAAUGAAAUGUUUAGAUAUCAAUUUAAAUAUUAAUAUCGGGGAUAUAAAUUAGUUAUAAUAUAGUUCAUUACAUAAAAUUGAUUAAAUUAAUAAUUACCCGUGAACAUAGAUGUAUAUGCUUUCCAAUUUCCAAAGUGCUCAAAGCACUUUUCUCACCAAACUUUCCUCUGAAUUUCCCGUAGCUGACUCCUUUGUUUGCGUUUUGUGAAAUUUCUAGGAACUUUUUUCGAUUUAGAAUAUUGUACAUUUUUCUUUUCAGCUGAGAUUAAUUUAACUUAUAGAAAAUCUUAUCCUUUUUUAAUAUUAUUUAAAUAAAAUUUGUCUAUCUUUUAUUUUAUUAGUCUACUUUUUACCCAUUAAUUAAGACUUUUCAAUUUCUUUUUUACCUGAGGUUUUCAGUGACUAUCUUUCAAUAAACCAUAAAAAUUACUUAGUCAUUUAUCGAACAAUUAGAUGACCAUAUUUCAAAAUAUCAACUAGAAGUUGUCCUGAAAUAUUUAAUUAAUAGUUGAAGAAUUGUGAUUAGUGUGGGCAUCUACAUAAAAAUUAUAUUAAAACACCGCUAAAAGAUAAAAAUAAAAUAAAAUAGUACAAACAUACACCCAUAGGUUAAAACAAAGAAAAAACACGAACCAAUACACUAAAAUGUUUUAGCUGUAGUUAGUUUUCAGUUUCAUUACUUAAGUCCCACGUGCAUGUCACGUGACUGAGGUCAAAAAAUGAUUGUCACAUUAAAGUUCAAAAUACGGAGCAGGGUAAUUAAGGAGUGGAGCUAUUGGCACCCCUCCAUUAUUCUUACAAAACUCCACUUUAAAUCAAAAUAUAAUUAAGAAUAAUUGAAAAUUAAACACUUAUAGAUUUCUUUACAACAUGUUGAGUGAUAAAAAAGCACCAGUCGGGCAUGUCCCCAUUUCUUACCCGGUGCCGAAUCUCCACGGUCGAAUGGUAUGAGUAGACUCUUGGUGAUGUCUUCUAUGUGGAGCACGUAACAACAGACCAGGAACUAGUACCAACCAAAAACGAGUACUGAUCGAAACAAGCAUGACCAGAAACGCAUACCGACCAGAGACUUGUGGGUCCGUAAAAGAAAAGGCAAGCACACAAAUGAAAAAGCCAUUACAUUUCUAUUUUACAUGUCAUUCCUAAUUUUUGUAACACGAUGUGGCAGCAUAUGCACAAUCAAAUGAGGCAAAAGGGAUUCGACUAUCGUGGCAGAACAUGGACGAGGACGCGUGAUGAAUAAUUCCUUCGAUAAAACGAAAAACAAACGCAGAGAAAAGAAUUUCUUAUAUGACAAGAAAUUAAAGUAAUGUGACGGAACAUGAUGAAGAAAUUGCAGAUCGAUCAAUUAUCCCCAUGGACUCCUAUAAAUUCAACCAAAAUAACAAUUCCAAUAUUACCAAAUUCUUGAGUUAAAUUUAUUCAAUGCUUUUUUUUAAGAGAAAUUUUUUCCAAUGCUACUUUCCCUUUUUUGGGGAAAUUAGAACUGCGGCAUGUAUAGAAGACAUUGAGGUAUAAAGCAACAUUAAUUUCAUGGGUUAUGCGUUAUACGCAUAAUAUAUUUUCAGUCCAAAUUCAACUAUGCAAAGAGGCUUGAGAACUUAAAAUUAAGCACAAACUAAACAGACGAAGUAAAUACAUGAUUAUGCAACAUAACAUUAAUUCUCUUAAUUUAUAACCGUUUUGCCACAUGAAUCUUGCACAGUUAAUCCUAAUUGAAGACUAAAAAAGAACAAUUGGAACAAGGUUUUGAAAUAGAAUGAUAGACAAUCGAUAUGAUCCAUUUCCAGUCGUCAACGCUAAUUAACUGCAGUUUCUAGACUCCUAAUUAUACUAGCCAUAAGAAACUGUUUAGAAAACUGGUGAUCAGAUUAGAUUUUGAAAUGAAAUAAUGUUCAUUUUCCCUUCGUUACCCUUUUAUUUAUUUAUUAUUUUUAUACCAAAGAAUUCUAUCAUGAAACGAAUCAAUUUAAUCACCUUUUCCAGCAGCACAAUUUUUCUUUUAUAAAAUUUGACCACAGAGACAAAGAAGAAUUAUUCAUACCUUCAUCAGUAAGGAAAUACUUUUCGGUAUGGCUAGGGUGAGAAAAGGCUUUCCACAAACACUUGUACUUUGUAUUCCUGUAAAUUUUCUUUAAAGUCAAUAAAAAUCAUAAGUUCUUUACAAUAACCAUCUCUUUGAUAAAAAAAGUGCCGUAUUCCUUUAGAAUUUAAAACCGGCAAAAUCGAAUCAGUGUCUUUGAAGAGACAUAAUGGUCAUAAUUCUUUAAAGAGUUGGCUAUGGAAAUCCUUAUCCAAGAUUCUUUUACGCCAUAUUCUUUCGUAAACCAAAAUUCAUUUUGGAAUACUCUGUUGAGAAUGUCAAAUAAAACGGUAUUGAAGGAAGUUUUCAAAGGCAGAAUCCGCACUUGUCAAAGGGAUGAUCUGCAUUUGUCAGAGACACAAUCUGCGUCGAAUGAAUCGACACAUUUCCUUUUGUAUUCGCAUAUGUAAUUUUUGAAAAAAUGUAGCUUCUGCAUCUAUAAAUAACGCUCAGUGUAUAAUGUUUUAUUCAAAAAAAGAAAACAAGUUUCUUCAUACUCGUCGUCCGAACAUACAGAGACCGUCUCUCAUAACUUCAGCCGAAUACUUAUGAUGAUGAUCAUUUGUGAUUUCAUCAGGCAUAGGGUUGAUGGUGAAAAAUUUUGUAUGUGUGAAGAAUUGAGCUGUGGAUAUAGGGGACUUAAGUGUAAUCGAAAGAGAGUUAUUAGGCCAUAGUGUAGAUUGCAUUCAGUUUAUGAGUCGAUAUGCAAAUAAUUUGUUGACGUGGCGAAAUUUGUUAUGGUCGUUACUAUUGUUUCUGGAAAUUUUCUAGAAACCUCAGCAUAAAAGGGGCUUUUGGAUAGCCUCUGGUGUGCGUGUGAUUUCUCUUUCGUUUCCUCAUCAAAUUCUGUAAUUCUUGCUUUGAUAAAAAGCUUGUAAUCUCUUCUGUAAUUGUGAUCAGUGCGUAAUCAUUUUGAGCGAUAAAAGCUUGUAGGUUUUUCCUUCAAACAAUGUCGUUUUGGUCAGUUUGUUAGUUUGAUCUGUUGGUGGAAUUUUCUUUGGUUAUUUGUUCUCAAAUUUCAACCUUAUAUAAAGUUUGAACUCUAAUGGCUUAUAAUGUAUUGAUUAAGAAUAAUCCUAAGAGUUUCCGAUUGAAAUUUUUAAUGACUAUUUUUAUUGUUUUGGAUGCACAAAUUGCAUUAAGAAAAAAUAUUGUCAAAUUCAGAGGAUAACGGGAAAUAAUUAUGCUUCAAAAGGCCAGAGAUUAGAGAAUAAAGAAGCAUUCAUUACUGAUAUAAAAACUGCUUCUAUUUGGAUUUUGAAAGGGGUGAAGUUUUGAACUUCAGUUGUUCCUCUAAAAUCAAAAGCAAUAAUUAAGCAUUCUCAAUUAGAAAGAGCAAAGAAGACUUAUUGGUACCUUACUGAAGCUAACAUUAUGGCACGGUUGUUCAUAUGUAAUGGCUGCUCUGUUAUGCUAGCUUCUCUGUUUUUGCUUCUAUUUUUGCUUACAGUUUUGAAGAUAAAUUCUUGCUCAAAUAACACAUAAUUAAAUAACACUAAUAUGGCUCAUGAAAUCCUAUAAUAGCUAAUUACGCAACUUUCUCCUCCUCCUCAAUUCUGUCUUCCCCUGCUCGGACACUAACUUCAAAAUUCAAUGCCCCGAAAAACAACACAAGAAAUCUUUGAGUUAGUUCGUGACCAGUUUAUAUAUAGUAGCAAUUGAAAAAAGAAAAAGAAGAAAAGAGUUAAUUAUUUUUCAGACCUUCACUUAUUAGGAAGUUUGUUCUGCUAUUGGGUGAGAUCAAGCUCUCAGCAUAUACUUCCACAUGAUACUUUCUAACAUUUUCUUGAAAGCCAUCAAUCAUUAAAUCUUCAUACUUUUUUCCAUCCUUUGGAUCAAUAAGUACAAAUUUCUCAUCUAAAAAAGACAAAAUAAAAUCACUGUCCUUCAUGGAAUCAGAAUUGAGCUUACAAAAACCGAAGUGGACAGUUCCAUUCAGAUUGGUCGCCCGAGAACAAUGAUGAGAAGACUUAAAAUCAGUUUCAAAGGUUUUCCAAGUAUUGUUCCUCUAAACCACUUGUAUAUUUUACCAGAACUCUUGGUUAAGAAAAUCCUAGUCCAUGGAGUAUGAUAUAUCAAUCAUGCAACAAUGACCUACAACAUCUAUGUGGAUUGAUUUUUGCAAAAUAAAGAACAAUGCUGACUGAGGAAUAAGGUGCAUACCCGAUUAGCAAUAUCUCAGCAAGUAACCAACAAUUUUUUAUCUGAUAAGAAAAAAUUACAAUUUCUUGAAUAUACAUGAAACAUUUUGCAGAAAGAACCAUGUCAUAAUUAUUAGUCCAACUGAAGAAUUAUCAAUACUUAUCACAUGAAACGAAAGAUACCCGAGUUCACUUAAUGAAAUUCUCUUUUUUUUUUCUCUAACAUUGAGAUAAGCAAAAACUUUUAACUAAAGACAAUCAUCUAGUGAUCUCAAACAAAUGAGGUUAGUAUGAAACCAUCAUAAUUUGUUCGCUCAUUGCCUAAUUUUAUUAAUGCAAGAGCCUGGAAGCAACUCAAAAAGAAAAUAACCGACAUAGGAAGUGUCAUCUCAUAUCUCACCAAUGAAUGGGAACAGCUUGAUGUGGCUGAGCAAACUGGCAGAAUUGUCAUUUUAACACACGUUCAAGAAACUCAGCAAAUUCUCAUAUCUGUUUAAAUUCCACAGCAAAGAUAGUUACAAGAAAUCUAAUCAAAAUUUAAAAUGUCAGAAGGCAAAUCUUCCAAUUAGGAUCAAAAGAAGAUAAUUAUAAUUUGUCAUUUCAAUUCUGAAUGUACAAUUUUAUUUUUUUAUGUGUGCAUUAAUUAAGAUUCUACCUUCUCUGCAAAAUUGUGAUGGACUUGGUAAAUAAUGAAUUGUAUCGACUUGAAUUUUAUACAACUUAUUGAGAUAAUAAUACGCCAAAUUCAACACCGUCCAUCCCAAAUCACAACAAGAAACUCAAACUUUUAUCCCCUCAAGUGGGUUCUUGAAACUGAAGCUUUAGUGCCAGUACAAUUUUGAAAGAUUGUGAUCAAACUAAAACAUCAAAUAAAAUAAGACGUAACAAAAACACGUCUUCAGAAAAUUAGUAUAGGAAUAAGAUAAGCUACACAGACCUACUUCAAUGAAUUAGAAAAAUUAUGAUAAACUUGAUGCAUUUCGAAAAACAACAAACAAAUAUUCCCAGGAAAACAAAAAAAAGACAACUUUGUUUAAGCUUAGACAAAAAUAACUAAGGACAUAUGAAUGCAUCAUAAUAGUAUCUCUAUGGGUAAUUUUCAGAAAUCUCCCCUAAGGUAUGGUGUAUUCUUAGUUUGAUAGAAAAUAUCUAAGUAUUCUUAUAGACCUCCCCUACUGUUAGUAUUCCAUUUCGUAUAUGUUAGGUAGAUGAGGGUAAGAUCGUAAUUUGAAUAAGUUAAUGAUAAAAAAUCCAGAAAUUUUAAGAUUUUCACAUUGGCCUCUGGGCUUUAUUCAUCUCUUUCAUCCACCAAAACCAGAAAUACAACUCACCUCUCUCCUCCACCUAAAUCGAAGCAAGGUAGCUCAAAACUCAUUUCAAAAAAUUGAUCAAUUACUUGGGUCACAAACUAGAGACAAUGACGACGAAGUUGAUGACGCCAAUAUCGACGACGAAGCUGAUGACGCCAAUAUCGACGACGAAUGAUUCGCAACUGCCAGGUAAGAGAGUAUAGUAGGUUUCGCCAUCGAACGCCCAAUCAUCCAGUUGUUUUGGAGCCGCGUUAUUUUUAUUAGCUAAAAUUAGAAUUUUUAGUGAAAAAUUGAAAGUGGGUCUCAAAAUUUUUUGAGAGCGUAUAUGUUUCUCCUGAUUUUUCGAUCGAUUCGUGUUAGUUGCAGUUAAAUGAUUAAUCCAAUUCGUGUUGAAGAUAGAGCUAACUCGAAUAUCUCUAUAGUCCUGUAAUUGAUUGAAAAUGGGUCUUGAAAAUUGUUUUAGAUUUCAGCUGUGUGCUUCUGAUUUUUUCCAUGGAUUCAUGAUAGAUGAAAAUGGUUGAUGAAGAUUUGCUUGACAUGUAUAUAGAUGGUAUUUUGUUAAAGGGGUUUUAAUUUUUUCCUUUUUUGGUGGUUUCGAUUGUGGUAUUUACAUGCCUUAGGUUGAGAAAAACGAAAAUGGUUUGUUGCACUCUUUUGUGUUGGAUCAGUGAGUUUAGGCGAUUUGAAAUGGUUUGCGGCAUUCAAUUGAUUGUUUUAUUUAUGUGGUUUGAUAUGGGAAAAGUAUAAUAAAAUUCAAUUGUUCCAUAUGUCAAUUUGGAUGUUUUGAAAUUAUGAACUACAAAAAGUUAAAAUUAAUUUCUUAUUAUAUUUUCAAUUGAAAGUUACUAUUGUCUUCUUUUUAGUACUUAGUAUGCAUUUUUCCCCAUCUUCUAGUGGUGGUGUUGCACCCAUUUUGAAUUUGAUCGGCAUCUUCUUCUGUACAUGCAUGUUUCUUGGACUCCAAUUUUUGUUUCAUAUGAUGAAGCUAAUUUAAUUCCUCCUUUUUAAUAUCAACUUUGUUCAUCUAGGUUUGCGAUUUUGAUCUUUCUCAUUUGAAGGCAAACACAUUUAUGUCAUCAAAAUUUCCAAUAUUUUUUAUUUUAUAGUAUCCAAACUGCUUAUGGCAAUAUGAAAUUGAGAAUAUUUCUUUCAUCAUGUUAACCUAAGUGGAUGGUGGAUGAUGUUUGUGUAAGAGAUUUAAGUUAUUUGUAUUAUAGAAUAUGUCUUAUGUUUUGAUUUGCAAUUUCACCAUUAAAUUGGCUUUGUAAAUGAUUAGAAGCUAAAUGCAUAAAAUGAAAACAAUAGUAACAUUUCUGAGUGGGGUAUAAUCAGAUGCUAACAUGGCGAUCCAUGACUUGUAAUUUCUAUUGUCGUUAUAAUUGGACUAGAUCGAGGUAAACUGACUUUUCUUGUUCUGUUUUUUUUUUCAUUUCUUUGUUCUAGAUUUUUCUUUCUUUGUUUUACUUCUGGUUUCUUCUUCAGCAUAUUCAAUAACUAGCAUGAGCAAAUGGAGAGGAAAAGGGUAGAAUAUGCUUUUAAAAAAAAAGAAAAGAAAAAAAGAGAUAGCUCUAAUUCAAAAAUAAGGAGGAGAAAAGGGCAAUGAUUGAAGUUGUGGAGAAGAAAUUCUUAAUGCAUAGGAGAUGACAACAAAGUGUUGCAACUGGGAGCAGUUUUAAAGUGCUAUUCGAUUGCUUUUGUAAUCAAAUUGUCUUUUGUACCUAUUUAUACACACACAUAUUUGUAUUUGUAAUUUGAAUUUUACAUUUUCUCAAGACAACUAUGUUUAUUUUAAAAAAAAUCUAAAUGUAACUAAAAUAUUAAAGUUUUUGUACUUAUUACUCCAUUUGAUGAUUUUUUUUAUUUUUUUGCUGACGAAUAUUCCAUGUCAAUUUUUUUCCCUUCAGCUCGUUUAAGGUGUUUUAUUGUCUGAUGUGAUAUUUGGUGCUCGGGAGGAAGGGUGUUUUAAGUCUUUUUUGGUGUCAGGGGCAAUUUUGUCUUUACAUCAGUCAACAAAUAGUCAAUGGAUGGAAAUGCAAACAGCAGGGGAGGUGUCUGAUAAUACACGGAUACUUUCUAUCAAACUUAUAAUACACAAAAUCUCAGGGGAGGUUUUUGAAAAUUACCCAACUGUGCAAAAUUAUGAAAAAAAUGAGCUAAACAUAUAUAGCAUUUCAGAGGAGUGCUUACUUGACAAAUCACUAAUACAAAGCUGCGAAUGGGCAUUCGGAAUGUUUUGAGAGACUCGUAUGGAUAAAAUAUGUAGUUAUUUAAGUAAUGACAGAAGGAGAAUCGUGUGGCUUGUCAAAGCCGUUAGCUCCAUCUCAUUUGCCUCGUCCUCUCGUUUUGUUUCUGUGGGGACAUAUUUGAUAUUUUGGAUUUUGUCUAAAAUUCGUCAUGUUUUUGGAUACUAACAUCUGCGCCUCUAGACCAAUAGCCAUUUGAUUAAGUGGGAGAACCCUUACACUAGUGUAAGAAUUUGAACUUUUAUAAAAUUAUUUAUGAGAUUAUUUAUAAUUUUUUUUAAUUAUCAAAUAAUUGAGUAGAGUCAGUUUAAUCCUUACGAAAUAUUUACUAUUCAUAAAUAUCUUUUUUUUUCUCUAUCUUACAAUUGAAUAUUCUCUCUCUACUCCAACAUUAUGUAACCUAAAUAUUUAAUUUCACUCUUUUUUAAUUUAUUUUUUUGUCUUUUCUUAGUAUAUUAUAAUCUUUAUUUCAUGUUUUCUAUAUAUAAGAAUUUUUUUAUAUCUAUUAAAUUUUGUGUUUAGUGAAAAUUAAUUUCUUGAUAUUUUUAAUUUUUAUAAUUGAUAAAAAUAUAUCAAUGUUCAUUUUUAAAUGAUGGGUUUUGUUCAUUUUAGUUUGUUAUAUUAAUUUUUUGUAGGUAAAAGAAUAUAUUUGAAUGAAUUGAAGGAAAAUUGUGAAAUUGAGAAGAGAAAGAGAAGAAAAAGUUAAUUAAAUAAUUUUUUCAAAAAUUAUUUAAAUAAUAAAAUUCUUAAUUAAAAACAAAGAUGGAGAGAGAAAUUUAGUGGGUUCAAAAUACUUAUUUUAAAUCCAAAAAAGAACCAAUAAAAGAAAUCAAAAGAUGAUUCUUUUCUUUCUGACAUAUUUCUCUGUACUUUUCUCUCUCUACUGAUUCACAAUUUUUCAUACUUCUAACUAUCAUUUUAUUCAAGUAUUUUGUAUUUUUAAUGACAAUUAUUUAAUUUUUAGUUAGUUUUGAUAUUGAUUAGAGAUUUAAAGUGUAUUUUAGAAGACUUCCGGUCUCUUGAAAAAAGGAAAAAUGGAGAAGAAGAAGUGUUCUUGAUUUUUUGUAGGCGUUAAAGUUAAAUGGUUUGAAAUGAUAUUCUUUUUUAAUUUCACUCAUUAAUCUCAUUCAAGAUAAAAUUAUAAAUGCAAAUAAAUGGGGUUUCAUAAGUAUUUUUAAUAGUGUUAAAAGGUCUACUCACUAAAUAAACAUGUUUAACCCAAACCAAUGCGAUUAGUAAGUUAUUGGGUUGGGUUAAUCAGGUUAAAAAUCAAAAUUAAAAAUUAAAUAAAUAAAAAAGGUAUAAAAACUAUCUGUUACUUGAAAAUAAAAAGAAUUUCUAAUUGUUAGUUCUAAUGUCCCAUAUCCAAAACAUGCAUAUUAAAUAAAUAUUAUAAGUUAGAAAUACAAUAUCCAAGAAAGAAUGAAUGAAAUACCAUAUUUUUGUUGAGAAUUAAGAGUGUGAUUUUAAUUUUGAUAUUGGAGUCUAAAGUGCCACGUUUAAAUAUUCUCUUUUAUAAAAUAAUAAAAAGAGGUUAAAAAUUAGGUUAGCAAUUUAGCCAUUUAGGGUUUAGCAAUUAAGGAUGAACAUAUUAUUGUUGUUGUUGUUAUUAUUAUUAUUAUUUAUAUGUUUACUAAUCCAAUCCAAUCCAAUUAUUAACGAAUUUGAAAAAAUUGAUUCAAUCAAGCCAUAAUAAUUCAUUCAACUCGUCUAAAUUGGAUUAGGUUGAAUUUGGUUUGCCACCCUUGUUUUGAGCAACAAACCUCAAUGUGAUUCCAUGAGCUCUUUGAUUGUUUAUAAAAUUGUUUAUGAAAGUGCAAAAUAAAUUAUUGUAUACAUUAAAAUGUGCAAAACAAUGAAUUAUAUGUACGAACGAGUGCAAACACAUUUUUCAAUAAGAAGUUAAAAGAUAUUUAUGCAUGAAAAAGCCUACGUUUGUAGUUAUUCUAAAUUUUAAAAACAAAAUUUACAUUUAGAUCCCUAAAAUUUACGUAUAAGUACAAAAGUUUCAAAUAUUGUCUAUUAUUUUUUUAACAUGCCUAUUCCUUGUGGAUAAUUCUAUCUCAUCACUAAUGUUGUUUCUUGCUUACAAUUUGUAUAGUGUCUCAAAAUAGACAAUAGGGGGAUUUUGAAUUUUUUAAGUCUCAAUAUAGUCUCUAAUCUUGUGAGAAAGAUUUUCUUUCAAUAAUUUGGAGGUAAACAUAACAUAACUUUUUGGACUAAAGCCUAACUCUGCUGGUUAUGGUGGUAUCCUUUUCAAGACCUGCGUCUUUAGAUUCGAGUUUUAUAGUGUGCAUGCGUAUUUAAUUAAUAAUUUUUUAAAACAAUACAUCAAAUAUUAAUAUCCAUGACAUAAUUUAGUUCUUAAUUUUUUUUUUAAAUACAUCAAAAACAUAAUUUUUUUAACAACUUAUAGGCAUGACAAAUUUCAAGAUAUAAAUAUCAGUCAAAAUAAGUGAAAGAAAUAAUGGUGCCAAUUCUAAUUUCUUAACUAAAUUAAUUAGUGCAUGAGCCCCGAAUACGACACGAGAGUUUGAUGGGCUAACAUGGCACAAGAACCUGAAUAAAUAAUUGAUUUAAGAAAUAAUUCAAUGAAAAAUAUAAUUGAUAAGAAUUCAGUAUUGAAAUGAGUUUUUUAUGAAACACUGAAUUAAUGAUUAUUAAGCAAGAACAAUAAAAAAUAAAUAUUAAUCAUUGAUAAGUUUCAACAAAAGCUUAACACAAUCCUCAAUCCUAAUUCAAAUUAUAAAUGUCAUUCAUAUAUUCAUUAUAAUCAACAACAAAGGUUAUAAAUGUUUAGAAAUUCUAGAGGGAAGGAAGCUAUCGCUGGGCAAUCAACAACUAAAUUUGAUGUAAUUGUGGCACGAGAUGGAAUAUGGAAACUACACCAUAAUUUCAAAUGCCGCCAUAGACAUUGACUUAUCUACAAUAACAAUGAUCUAAUUAAAAUAAAAAUAGAGUUUAUGGGCAUUUAUUAAAAUAAAAAUAGGAGUGAAGUAAAAACAUUUAGAUUUUAAUGUAUGUACGGAAAAAUUUAUCUUUAAAAAUACUUUCUUAAUGUGUGUGUGCAUAUUGAAAUACUCAAACCAAUUUUGGUUAUAUAUAAUUCAACAAAAUUUAAAAUAUGAAAAAUAUAAUGUAGUUAUAGUGGAUAAGCAAUAAGUGAGCACAAUAUAAUUAAUCAAAUACUAUGCUAUCAAAAGUUAAUUUUAGAAAUUCCAAAUCCAAUAGCUAACACAAUUCUUUAAAGAAAUAACAAGGGGCAUUGGGCAAGAGUAAUGAAUGCUUAGUGGGUGCAUUUGAUUGAUAGAUAUAUAAAGGGCCGAAACUUGAUAUUAUAUUACUUUUACAAAAUUUAAUCCAAUCACAUAUUUAAUGAAAACAAAAUGAGUUAGGAUUGUUUAUUUAGAACCCACAUUUUAAUAAGGCUUCAUUUGAUGUAGUUUUUCAAACAUUGAUUAUUUGAGUAAUUACAAAGUACAAUACGUACCAAGUUUGGUAACUUAAUUGACAUCUUCUCAUAUAACCUUCGAUCAAGUCGAUUCUGACCUGACGACUAAUUGGUACAUCACCGUUGUUCUCUAUACUCGCAUGCAUCCGAUCACAAAUCUCACUCCAAUUGUCGUCUUUCUUCGGCGUUUUAGCGCAUCCUUCUUGAAUUUCCCGCAUUUCGUUCCCUCCUGUUACAAGUCUCCGGUCAGGUCAGUUCACUUGACGAUUAAUUCGGCAAAUCUCGAAUCUCUUCUCUAUCCCUCUCGUUUUCUCGUGUCUCCUUUCAGUUUAAGUGAUUGAAUCAAUUUUAUCGCAGUCUUAAGAGAAAUUAAGUAAUGCUCUUGGAUUUAAAAUUUUUUUGCUUUCGACUUUAGAUCUCGAAAGUCAAACUCUGCUACGAAUCCAUAGAUUCUCAAUGUUUAUAAUCUUAUUUGUGUUUGACCAGGUAACUGGAUCGUGAAAUUCGUCGUUUUGUAUCAAUUCAAGCUUUCGCGAGCUCAUGGAAUCCCCUGGUGAGUUGUGGUGAAACGUUAUCGUUUCAAUUUUCGCUUAAUUCUUUAUUGCAUAUUUUUUUCUCUCUAAUAUUUCAGUUUAAUUUAGAAAAGAAAGAGGACCCAAAAAGAGAGAGAGAGAGAGAGAGACUCUACCAUACUCAAUUCCUUGCUCAUUCUGAUUUGGCCUGAAUGUUGGCAUUGACUAUUAUUUGUUUUCAUUUCGAUUUAAUUCUCAUUUAGACAGUCUUUUUUAACUAGCAAUAAUCUUUUUAAGGAAAAUGAUAAUAGGGAUUCUGCAAUAAUCUUUUUAAGGAAAAUGAUAAUAGGGAUUCUGCAAUAAUCUUUCUGCAUUGUUCAAGUUAGUAGACAAUGAAUAGGGUGUUUAUGUUUACCUCAUUUUGAACCCUGAGGGCUUCGUUGAGUAGUUGAUCCAACAUAUCCAGCACCGGUUGAUGUGAGAACAGGAUGCCAUUUAGAUAGGCUUAAACUGAUUUUGGAGGUUUGUAUUCAUUCUAUUGUAUGUCUUGCUUACAAAUUUUUUAUUUUUUAUUUUUAAUUUUGUAUAAUAUGCUCUUUGUUGGUAAAUCUCAUUUGACUUAGAAGAGAUAGUUUUAUCCCAACAGUGGGAUAAAUCAUUGAGAUGCAUGGCAGUGUGAAUAUAGUAGACAAAAUCAUUGAGACAGAUGGUGGUGUGAACAUAGUAAACUUUGUCAAACACAGCUAAGAUAAACAAAUUGUUUCAUUAGCCUUUAUCUUAUCUGCUGUGAUGAUUCAAAUUAAUGCUGUUUGGUAGGUUGCAAAAAACGAAAUGAGCUGACUGUUCAUAUUAUUUAGUCAGAUCUAUUGCAAUAAGUUGAAGUUCACUGUCACAUGGGUUGGGAGUAGCGUGGGCUGUGAGUAGUAGAAUGGAUUUAUGGAGUUGAUACAAGUGCCCAUAAUCUAUCAUGUCAUUCUAGGAUUAAAUGGAUUGCACAUUACUGUAAAGAUGGAGGUUAAAUUUAUAUAAUUCGGAUUGAUUGUAAAAUGGGAGGCAGAGAUGAGUUAGAAAAAAAAUGACCUGUGUCCUUUUUGAGCUGUUUCUAAAUCUCCCUGGUGUGCUUCAUGCUUAACACGUGUCUGUCCAAAUAAUUUUGCUUAACCUGUGCUUGUCUACUUCUUGUGCUAUUCUGUGCCUGGUCCUGAGCUGUGUUGGUAGAUUGACAUAAUUUUGCUCUGCUAAAUGUAUAACUUAUUAAUCAGAGUCCUGUUAUUAUGGUUUGACACUACUGACAUGUUGUGUUGGUAUUUAUUUGUACUUCCCUUGGUUGAAUUAUUUGCUGUCUCCAUGCCAUUCGAUAUGGUGCUACUUGGUUUUUGAUCAUCCAUGACGCUAUAUAUAUGUAAAGGAUGAAUUGAUUGUUUUGGCUUGUAUUCUCACAUUUUAUGAUUGAUCGAUGGAAAGGUCUUCAUGUAUUAAAUUCAACCUCACAAGCGUAAGAUUGACAGAUUGUGGGAAAAUUUUCAGGAAAAGAAACUAGACUUCAUGGAAGCAAUGAAGCUUGAAAUUGAACGUCUGCAGCUGCAUCUUUCUGCAGCUGAAAGGGAUAGAGCUUUAUUGUCAAUUGAAACUGAUCCUGCCUCUAUAAAUCCAAAUGUAUUGCUUGAUGAAUCUUACAUGGGAAGACUGUCGAGUAGCAACCACUCUUGCAUUACUUGGCCAAACUUCCCUAGAAGACAAAAUUGUUGGUGCAAUUGGCCUUGAGAAUAGUGAUGAUAGUGUUUUAGACUUCUGGAAUAUUACUAGAAUCGGAGAGAGUUGUUCUGGUGGCGGGUGCAAGGUUUGUGCAGAAACUAAGGUGCCUGCUCUUGCUUCCUCAACUGCAACAUCUGUUGGAGCUUCACAAUCCCCUUUGUUGUGUUCUCAAUGUGAAAGAAAAGUUUGCAAAGUUUGUUGUGCAGGAAGAGGAGCUCUACUGUUUUCAAAUUAUAAAUCAAGGGAUGUGACCAACUACAAUGGCUUCUCAAGUCAGAGUGGAUGAAGCCAUGGAAGCCAAGUUGAUGUAUCUACCAGUCGUUCACUAACACUGGAUGGCGUUAUCUGUAAACACUGCUGCCAUGAGAUUGUGCCUGAUGCAUUGAUGUUGGACCAUGUUAGGGUCUUGAUUAGCUUGCGAAGAAGUUCCUGUGCAGACAACGCAGUCAUACAAUGCUUUGAAUGAGGUUGUUGGAUCCUGCUUAAAGGAUAGUGUUUCUGAAAGGAUUCAGUCUUCCGAUAACGUGCAAGCUGCUGAAGUCCUUCACCAAUUAUGUGGUGGACAGGAAUCACUUGCUGAAUUUCCAUUUGCUAGCUGUUUGCACUAGGUAUGUUCUUGGUUUGUAUUCAGUUCUCAUCAUGUUAUGUUUUCCUUUUAAAUUUCUUUUCUUGAUUAAAAUUUUUAGAAAUAUGUUUUAGUAUUUGUUCUUAUGAUAUAUGCCCAGAACAUUCAUCCCACUUAUCCAUGAGAAUCCUUGUCUGGUUUGAUUUUCAAUUGAGACAUUUUUGGGAACCCUGAGCAGGUUCCAUAUGCUAAUAAUCUUUGAGGUAAGGUGUUGUAGGAUGCCUUGAGAAGCUAAAAACCUAUUACAAGGAAAAGCUCUUGCAUUGUUUUGUGGAAUCUGUGUUGUGAAAAUAGGUAGAGAAAAAGUUUAUGGAAUAAUUCUCUUAUUUCAUAUGUUCAUGAGACUGUACACAGUCUUUAUAUAGGGAUACAAGAGACUAAGAAAGGAAAGAAAAAAUUAAAGCAGAAUAUUACACACUGAUUUCUAGGAAGCAAUAACUCUAUAUUUACACCAAAUAUACACCUAAAUAUAUAAGGAAAACCAAAUCAAUUUGAUUUGGUCAACCUUUCAACACUCCCCCUCAAGCUGGUCUAAAAAUGUCUUUCAUGGCCAGCUUGCAAACCAAUUUCUCAAAAUGUUUCUUAGGUAGUCCCUUGGUGAGUAUAUCAGCAAUCUGCUCAUUUGUAGGAAUGUAGGGCAUGCAGACCAAACCACUGUCCAGUUUUUCUUUUAUGAAAUGUUUGUCCACUUCAACAUGUUUAGUUCGGUUGUGGAGUACUGGAUUAUGUGCUAUUGCAAUGGCAGAUUUGUUGUCACAAUAUACUUUCAUAGGUAGAGAAUUAUUUGCCUUAAGUUCUUCAAGAACUUUUUUGAUCCAAAAAACCUCACAAAUUCCUAGAGCUACUGCUCUAUAUUCUGCCUCUGCACUACUUCUUGCUACCACAGUUUGUUUCUUGCUGCGCUAAGUGACCAAAUUUCCUCCGACAAAGGUGCAGUAACCCGAAGUGGAUCUUCUAUCGGUUACACUACCAGCCCAGUCAGCAUCAGUGUAGACUUCUACUUGUAGGUGCCCGUUUUUUCUAAACAAAAGACCUUUACCCGGAGAUCCUUUUAAGUAUCUAAGGAUUCUAUAUACAGUUUCAAAGUGUUCUGGUCCUGGAGCAUGCAUAAACUGGCUGACUAAGCUCACUGCAAAGGCUAUGUCCGGGCGUGUAUGUGAAAGGUAGAUUAAUCUACCUACAAGGCGUUGGUACCGAUCUAUGUUGGUCACAUCUUCAAUAUUAGCUGGCUGUAAUUUCAUAUUAGGAUCUAUGGGUGUCUCGGCUGCUUUACAUCCGAGUAAACCUGUCUCUUCAAGCAAAUCAAGAACAUACUUGCGUUGAGACACAACAAUCCCAUCUUUUGAUCUAGCAAACUCCAUGCCCAAAAAAUACUUCAGGUUGCCUAAGUCUUUGAUUUCAAAGUCACGUGCAAGCACUUUCUUUAAUCUGCAAAUCUCAACUAAGUCAUCACCAGUCAAAAUUAUAUCAUCUACAUAUACAAUUAACACGACUAAUUUCCCUUCAAUAGAAUGUUUGUAAAACAUUGUAUGAUCUGCCUGACUUUGGGAGUAGCCGUGUCCCUUUAUAACAUUACCAAAGCGUUCAAACCAUGCUCUAGGAGACUGUUUGAGCCCAUACAAAGACUUAUGUAGUUUACACACUUUACUGUUGCCAUGAUUUCCCUCAAAACCUAGUGGUAAAUCCAUAAAGACUUCUUCUUCUAGCUCCCCAUUCAGAAAAGCAUUUUUAACAUCUAACUGGUAUAGAUUCCAAUCAGAAUGUACAGCCAAUGAGAUAAGGACCCGGAUGGAAUUUAUCUUUGCAACGGGGGCAAAAGUUUCUUGAUAAUCAAUUCCGUAGGUUUGAGUGAAUCCUUUUGCUACAAGCCUUGCCUUAUAUCUCUCAACACUCCCAUCAGCAUUACAUUUAAGUGUAAACACCCACUUUCAACCCACAGUUUUCUUUUCUUUUGGUAAAUCCACAAUCUCCCACGUACCAUUCUUCUUUAGAGCAUUCAUUUCCUCUAAAACUGCUAACUUCCAAUCUGGGUGGUCUAGGGCUUCUUUUAUGGUUUUAGGAAUUGGUAUUUGAGAGAUUUUUGUGGUAAAGGCUCUUUGUUUAUUGGACAACUUUUCAUAGGAAACAUAUCUAGCAAUGGGGUGCUUAGUACAGGUUCGGGUUCCUUUCCUAUGUGCUAUGGGUAAGUCAAGAUCAGGAAAAAAAGUGCUGAAAUGUUUAGGAGAAGAAAUGUUACCUGAAUUUUCUGAGGAAUCAGUGCUUGGAGGCAACGAUUGAGGCUGUAUCGAGUUUAUGAGAGGGUCUUUACUGUUGUGAUGAUACUUUCGAGUAUAAACACGCAGCUCUGGUGGUGGAAUUUUAUCUUGUAGUAUUUCUCCCCCUGUCUCUGGUACAUUAACACUUGGUUCCUGUAGUUCAAGGUUUCCUAGGUUUUCAUUAUUAGAAAUAUCAGUUUUUUGAGUUUGAGUUGGAGUGCCCAGAUCAGGUAAAAACUGAUUAGGCAUAGGUGUAGAAGUAUGCCAAAAAUGAUCUUCACUAUUUUCUUUCUCCCCCUGAAGAGAAUUUUGGCCAAAAAAAGGUUGAUUUUCGAGAAAUAUAACAUCCAUACUGACAUGGAAUUUCUUUGUUUGAGGAUUGAAACAUUUGUAACCUUUUUUAUUAGGUGCAUAGCCCAAGAAAACACAUUUUUCAGAUCUAGGAUCCAAUUUAGAUCUAAGAUGGUUAGGAACAUGAACAAAUACAGUGCACCCAAAGACUCUUAACUGAAUAUUGGAGGUAAUCCUACUAGAAGGAUAUAUAAGUGUGAAGUAUUCUAAAGGUGAUUGAUACUUUAAAACACGGGUAGGCAUCCUAUUAAUCAAAUAACAUGCUGUUAAAACAGCAUCACCCCACAAAUAUUUAGGAACAUGCAUAGAGAGCAUGAUAGCCGACUAACUUCAAGUAAAUGGCGGUUUUUUCGUUCCGCAAUUCCAUUUUGUUGUGGAGUAUCACGACAAGUGGAUGUGUGAAUUAUACCCUUUUCCUUACAAAACACCUCUAGAUAAUUAUUAAAAUAUUCAGUACCAUUAUCUGUAUGGAGUAGACUUAUUUUUGUUUGAAAUUGAUUUUCAACCAUGUUAUAAAAAUCUUUGAAUAACCCCUCAACUUCAGAUUUUUCUCUCAUUAAAUAAACCCAACAAAGCCGAGUAUGAUCAUCUAUGAAUGUUACAAACCAUUUUUUUCCAGUUAAAGUGUUGAUUUUUGAGGGUCCCCAAACAUCACUAUGAAUUAAAUAAAAAGGUUUUGAGGCACGAUAAAUAAGUGCUUUAUAUGAAACUCGAUGACUUUUAGAUAAAAAACAACUUUCACACUGAAAAGUAGUACAAUCAACAUUUUUAAAUAAAUUUGGAAACAAAUAUUUCAAAUAAGGAAAGCUAGGGUGUCCUAGUCUAAGGUGCCAAAGCAUUAUUUGAUCCCUAGCAGAGUUUGAACUAAUACUACUGCUCAAACCUUGAGUUUGUUUAUUCCUUGAUAAGUAGUCAUCAAAAUAGUAAAGACCUUCUCGCAAACUAGCACUGCCAAUCAUCGUCCCCAAGUCCCUGUCCUGAAAUUCACAAUGGGAGUCAAAAAAGACAGCACAACAAUUAGAAUCUUUGGUUAAUUUACUGACAGAUAACAGAUUGCAAGAAAGUUUAGGGACAUGUAGCACAUUUUUAAGCUCAAUGGUUCCAGAGAUUUUUAUUGAUCCUUUUCCAGCUAUGGAAGAUAAGCUUCCAUCAGCAACUCUUACCUUUUUGUUACCAGGGCAAGGAUAAUAGGAAUCAAAUAAACUAGAAAUGCUAGUCAUAUGAUCAGAAGCACCCGAAUCAAUAAUCCAUGGUGCAGUAGUUGAGUGGCUAAAUAGAGCAUUAAUAAUACUACCUGUUUGGGCUAGUGAACCACUAGGAGUACUAGGUGGAGGAUUAGAAGUCAGCAGCUUUAUGAGAUGGUCAAUUUGCUCCUUGCUGAGAUUUUUUUCUAGAUUCUCCACUUCAUUGGCAGACGCACGGCUAUGCUUGCUGUUUUUCCAAUCUGCAGGCUUUCCGUGGAGUUUCCAGCAAGCCUCCCGAGUAUGGCGUGGUUUAUUACAGUAAUCACACCAUACUCGAGGUUUUUGUUGCUGUUGAGUGAUGGAGCGGGUAGCAUUAUCUGCUGUAACAAGGGCAGAUUUUUCCACAGAGACAACGGAGUUCUUUUUUCCCAACAUAACACCUCGACGACUUUCUUCUCUCCUUACUUAAGAGAAAACAUCCUCAAGAGUAGGAAGUGGCUUUCUCCCAAUAAUUCUUCCUCUUACCUCAUCAAAUUCAACAUUGAGCCCAGCCAGGAACUUGAAGAUUCGCUCAUUAUUGACAGUUUGUUUGUGGUGUUUAAAAUCUUCCAUGCUCUCCCACUCGUAGUCGUUGAAUAAGUCCAGAUCUUGCCACAAUCUCUUUAGAGUAUUGAAGUAUUUUGUUAUACUAUAAUCUCCUUGACGGAUAUCUCCAAGAGCAAGCUGCAACUCAUAGAUCUGGGACUGAUUUCCAUAGUCAGAGUACAUCUGACUCACAUUAUCCCAGAGUUCUUUUGCAGUAGAGUAGCACAUAUAAUUUGCACCAAUGUCUUCAUCCAUGGAGUUGACUAACCAUGCCAUAAUCAUGGAGUUUUCGGCAUCCCAAACACCAUAAGAGGGAUCAGAUAUUUCAGGAGCCUUAACAUCUCCGGUAAGAUAACCAAUCUUCCCUCUUCCCCUAAUAUACAUUCUAACCGACUGAGACCAUCUUUGAAAAUUUCCUUCAUUCAGCCGGAUAGUUGUAAUCUGGACAGAAUGAGAUUCAGAAUGGGAAAUUUUUGGUUCUAGUCUUUUUGAGGUGACUGUGGUUUCAGAAGAUUGGUCAGACAUGGUAGGGAAGAGAUCAGAAAGAAAGGGAGCCUAGCUCUGAUACCAUGUGAAAAUAGGUAGAGAAAAAGUUUAUGGAAUAAUUCUCUUAUUUCAUAUGUUCAUGAGACUGUACACAGUCUUUAUAUAGGGAUACAAGAGACUAAGAAAGGAAAGAAAAAAUUAAAGCAGAAUAUUACACAUUGAUUUUUAGGAAGCAAUAACUCUAUAUUUACACCAAAUAUACACCUAAAUAUAUAAGGAAAACCAAAUCAAUUUGAUUUGGUCAACCUUUCAACAUGUGUGCUAGCAAGUCAUGUCUCUAAUAAUUUCAUAGUUUGCUUGAUUGGAAUUUUUUAUCUUGAUAUGGAUUGUUUAUUCUAGAUUCCUUGGUGCUGUAGGUUGAAACAGCAAAAGAUUCAGCACCGAUUUUGUCACUGCUUGCUCCAUUAAAUUCUGGAUCAAGGCACUCAUAUUGGAGAGCUCCACCUUGUACUACUUCUGUUGAAUUUGUUAUUGUUCUCUGUUCUGUUUCUGAUGUCAGUGGGGUUAUCUUGCUUGUUAGUCCUUGCGGCUAUUCUGUGGGUGACACUCCGAUGGUAAGUGCCAUAUUUAUUCCCUUAUUUCCUUGUUGUUCAAUAAAUUUGGUGAUAAGCCAAGUGGCCUUAAUAAUGAAGCCCAGUACCAGGGGUGGUGGGUAAUCGAUAUUCAACUUGUGAAUAUUCCUAAGCAAGCACUGAAUCAACAUAGACCUCGGCAAAAGUUCUCCAUGCUAUUAUAACGAAAGUCAUAUUUUGAAAUGAUUAAAAGAGUCCCUGUGUAGUGCUAUUUCCAAAGAAAUUGCAGCUGGAGGUUUAGUUUCAUGUAGGUUAGUUUCCGAUAAUAAACUUUCCAUUUCAUUAAUUGCUGAUGAAAAAACCAAGUAAGAACAGUUUUGUUGCUCGUCAUUUAUGUAUAUUUUGGUAAACUGUAAUUUUAAAUUCUCAACGAUCUUCCCUUUGUAGGUAAGAAGAUGGUCCACUCACUUGAUAUUUAUGAUUGUAGAUCAGGUUUCUAUUGGUUUGCCUUUAUCAUUCGGAACCCAAGUUUGAUAUUAACAGAGAUCACGUCAAUAAUAUCCUAUUUGGGUAGAUGUGGGUGAGGAUUUAAAAUCAAAUUUGAAAUUGAGGGCAAAGAAGAGAAAAGAAACCGCAAUAAUUAAACAAAAUAUUAGGAACUAUUCUGAUGAGUUUUAAUCUCGAGAGGAACAAUUUUCAAAUGCAAAAUUUAACUGCUAGAGAAAUUGUAGCUUUUUGUCAUUAGUUAAGAGGAAAGAGAAUAAGAACUAUCUGGCCCUUUCCUUCAUGAAUGUGUGUUGAGGUUGCUGUAUUAUUUAGUCAGUAUUUGUAAUUUUCUUCCCUGCAGUGCUCUCUGCCUCCUGAAUUUGCUACUGAGUCCAUAUUUUUCUUUGAGCUGUUGCUUCCUAUUGCUGUUACAGGUACAAAUCUGGGCAAGCAAUAAGAUACACCGGGAGGACAGGUCAUCAAUGGGAAAAUGGGAUGUCCAAUCCCUCAUCACAUCUUCUUCAGAUUUGUAUGGUCCAGAAAAGUCUGCUAGUGUUGAAAAAUUACCUAGGCAUGUAAAAUUUACUUUUAAGAAUCCUGUUAGGUGCCGCAUUGUUUGGAUCACAUUACGUCUUCAGAGACCUGGUUCGGCUUCAGUUAAUUUCGGGAAUGACUUCAGUCUUUUGUCUCUUGAUGAAGAUGAAAACCCCUUUGCACAAGUAGACAGACGUGCUUCAUUUGGAGGAGCAGUUGAAAAUGAACCAUGUAUUCAUGCCAAAAGAAUUCUUGUAGUCGGAAGCCCAGUAAAAAGGGAGGGGCUUACCACAUCACAGAGCUCUGAGCAGCUAAGUAUUAGAAACUGGUUGGAUAGAGCUCCACAAAUGAGUAGAUUCAAGGUAUUAGUUGCUUUCACUCUUUGUUCAUUCAUAAUUCCAGCUUUCUGCUUGAUGCCUUGCCUCUGAUAAACCUCUUUUUUCUCUUCAGGUCCCAAUUGAGGCCGAGAGAUUGAUGGACUACGAUCUCGUCUUGGAACAGUAUCUACCUCCAGCGUCACCUUCGCUUGCCGGAUUCCGUCUAGAUGCUUUCAGUGCAAUAAAACCUAGGGUUACCCAUUCACCUUCCUCAGAUUCAGAUAUCUGGGACAAAUCAGUAACAUUUUUAGAAGACAGGUACAUCUCUCAAGCUGUGUUGUAUUUACAAGUAUCCGCACUCCAGGAACCACAUAACAUGGUAACUAUUGCGGAAUAUCGACUGCCGGAGGCUAGAGCCGGAACGCCAAUGUACUUUGAUUUCCCACGACCGAUACAGUCCCGACGAGUUUCAUUCAAGCUUCUUGGAGAUGUUACAGCAUUUGCAGAUGAACCUUCAGAACAAGAUGAUUCAGGAUUGAGAGCUCCACUUGUGGCCACAGGUUUGUCUUUGUCAAACAGAAUCAAGUUAUAUUAUUAUUGUGAUCCUUAUGAGCUCGGAAAAUGGGCAAGCCUUUCUGGAGUUUGAUCGUUAUUUAUAUGUCAGAGAAAGGGUUUUGGGUUUGAUUUUGAUUUUGAUUUGUAAUUUUUGUCAGUUUAUUGAAAUUUUUUGUUGUAUAAAAGCAGAAUGUAAAGGUAUAAAAAUUCAUUGAUGCUGCAAUGUCUGUGCUUUUGAGAAAGAAAGAAUUCUAUGGCUUUUCUAUGCCAUUGGAUUUUCCACUGCCUGUAAACUUGGGCUGUCGAAUGCUCUGUGAACCUUAAGGGCUAUAAAGUAAUUUUCAAGACUGAAGGAUUUAUUAAUCGAGUUCAAAAGAUUGCAAGUUGGUGAGCGUUGGCAUUUAAAAAAUCAAUUGUUAUUCUCUCAAUAAUCUCUGUCUUCUGCCGACACCCCAUGCUCAGAAACCCAUUGUUCCGACGGACGUGUAACACUUCUAGAAAUUGUUUUGAUCUCUCCUCGUGAAGUGUUUUCUUUUUCGAGUGAAGGUGGUUUUCUACUUGCAUACGUCGGGGGUCUUAUGAUAUGUAAUGUGUGAAAUUUCUUUCUCAUUUUACCAUAAAGAAAAAUGUUGUAAUAAUCUAAAGCUCGAGUCUUAAAUUAUCUUAAAUUUAUAUUUAGAGUGGAGCUAUUCGCAAUCCUACAUUAAAAUUACAAAUAAAAAUAAUUGAAAAUUAAACACUUAUAGAUUUUUUUUACAACAAAUUAUUUAAUUCAUAAUCAAUCCUUUAAAAAAAAAAAUCCAUAUGUUACUUGCUAUCUAACUAAAAUAAAUUUUACAAAUUUAGAAUAAUCUAUUGAUUUCUUUUGAUUUCUUAUUAAUUAAAUAUUUUUAUACAUAAAAUUGCUUUGAAAUUAUAAUUUGAAAUAUGUGUUAUUUCAGCCAAUGAUUAACACUAAAAAACUUAUCACCCAUAUAACUUUUUAAUUUGUGUGUAGGGUAAUAAUAAAAUCAAAAAUAAUUAAAAAAAUAGUACAAUAAUGAGUUUUAACAAUAAAACAAAUCAAAUGAAAAUUGAAAAUUUAGAAAAAAUGUAUCUAAAAAAGGGAACGUUUUUUAAAAUAAAAUGAAUAUAACUAAAAAGGGGUUUUAUGAGAAGAGCAGAGGGGUGCCAAUAGUCCAACUUGUAAUUAAGAAUCUCCCAUUAUAUUGUCAACCAAAAAGACACUUGAAUAAGAAGAAGAAUUUAUCAGUUUGAUUUUAUUUAUAGAUCCAACAUUUCUCAUAUCCUAAACGCCUUUCCGUAUCAAAUUAAAACAGUAGUCGCAAAAUCGUAGUAUUAAAAUCGUAGUGCACAUUCAAUUAACCAACUAAUAGUCUUUGGUAUAAGAUUUUAUAUUAGCUAGCCAAGUAGGUUGUCCAUCCCACUCAGACAUGAACGAAAGCUAAAUUCAUCAAAUGGUGUUAUACUAUUAAAUAUUUUUAUAUUUAAAAUUACUUUGAAAUUAUAAUUUCAAAUUAAAAUAGUAGUAGCAAAAUCGUAGUGCACAUUCAAUUAACCAACUAAUAGUCUAAGAAGCAAAGAGAGGAUUACAAGUUCACAACACCAUUACAAAGGAUUCAAAAUUCCCACACGAAAACAUCAAUGUACAGAUUAUAAACAAUCCGAAUUGGACACAAGAAAAAGCCCUUCAAUGGAUUGCUUUCCUUCCCAAUGCUAUAUACUGUGCAAACUCCGCACUGGCCAAGAAAAUGUUUUCAAUUUAGUGUAUUUUCAAAUUGCUUAUUUUCUCAUAAUAUAAAAAAUAAAAAAGAAUCCUUACAUGUUUCAUCAGCAUGAUUAAAAUCAAAGAAGAAAGCGAAGACGUAAUGUCUCUGACAUAAUAAAAUUACAAAAAUUUCAAGGAAAAAAAAAAGGUUAAAACAUGUAAUCUUCAGAAGCAUAUAAUAAAAGAACACUUCCACAAAUUACUACAAUUUCAUGCAGUAGAGAUUGAAGAGUUGAAUUCCACUAAUUUUAAUAAUGAAAACAACAACAGAGGAUUAACUGAUGCUUUGACUUAUUAGCAGGUUGCUUUGACUUAUUAGUUCUGCAGCUAAGUUAAAUAAAAUAAGCUAUUUUCAAAAGCAAAAUGGAAUACAUAGAUAAAAACAUCAUCUUAAACAAAUCACAAUCUAGAAUUAGAGCAUUUUCGACAUACCUAAGGAACACGAAUACGUGAAAACGGGUGAUUUAUUUGUUAAGGAGUGUUGAUUUGGUCGUCUCUGCAAAUUCUUUAGGGACUCGGUUCCAAUUCCUCUUCAUCAAAACUGUAAUAUAAUUCCCCUUCAUCAGAACUCGAAUCGAUGCAAUAUAAUUCCCCUUCAUCAGAACUCGAAUCAAAUUCACUUGCAGCAGUUCCACUCGCGCUUGGCAAAUCAUCCAAUUUCCAAACUUCGGUAACAAAAUUGAGAGUAAAAGUGUUGGCUUUGAUCUCGCUGGGAUUUGCAUAUACUGGACAUACUCCGCAACGUUUUAUCUUCUGACCCUUUUGGACCUUUAUUAUGUUUCGGUGACACUCAUUGAAGAACUUAAAUGUGGCAGUUGAAUGAUGGUCACCAUCAGGAAAGCCAACAUUCAAGCAAGGUUUAAAACCAAGUAUGACAUGAUCUGAAUCAUGGGGGUCUUGAAUUGAGUGCAAAUUGUAACCCAGAUGAACAUGUUUGGUUUCAGAGAGAGUCUUUAUUUCUAAGUCGGAUCGACAGUAAACGUAAAAAUAACGAAAACGAUCAGAAUAAAGUUGCUUAAAAUCAAGAACAGCACAAAAAGCAAACCCGAUUAAGUUUCUGCAAAAAGAGUGCGGUGGCAGUUGAAUACGUAUCGAAGAUCCUGAACUUUGAUUGCUGAACCAGUCAGGAAUUUCGCUCCCAGGUAAAACAAUUUGGGAUCCCCUGAGUUCAGAAAGUUUCUGCGAAACGACAUUUAAAAAAAGAAAAUUGUAAAAUGAAAACCAUGAUUUCAGAUAUAACAAAGAGGGACAGAGUAAACAAGAGAGGGAAUUUGAUACCUCGUUGUAUGCAUUUUCAUAGCCCAGUCUCAGUGAUGCUGCAAUUGCCAUACGUAGUGAAUCUGCCAAAAUCUUGUUGUUUGCUUUUCCAUCAAGUUUCAAGCAGUUAGUAAACUCAAAACAAAUUGGUUGUGGCGUCACAUAUUCCGGAUGCCAUUCACGAAGGUCAGGAGAGGGUUUGGAUAGCUUUUCGAGUACGGAUGCAUCUAGUUCUUGUACACAUGACGGAAUCUCUGGCAAAGAUUGAAGCCGGUUGCAGUUCAUUGCUUUUAGUGACUGUAGACACAAUGGAAGUUCUGGUAAUGACCGAAGCAUGUUACAAUCCUCCAAGUGAAGAGUUUCUAGACCCAAUGGAAGUGCUGGUAAUGACUGAAGCAUGUUACAACGCCUCAAGUAAAGAGAUUUUAGACACAAUGGAAGUUCUGGUAAUGACUGAAGUAUCUUACAAUCCCUCAAUUCAAGAUAUUUUAGACACAAUGGAAGUUCUGGUAAUGACUGAAGCAUAUUACAAUCCUCCAAGUUAAGAUAACUUAGCCACGACAGUUGCUUGAUACUUGCAGGUAAACUCUCAAAGUUAUUUCCACUUAAAUUGCCAAUGUUAUCCGGCAACUUGUCAAGUAUAGAGCAACCACUUACGGACAAAAAUGAAAGCCCCGGUAGAUUUUCAAAUGGCGAUGGCAGCUCUGUAAUUGCCGUCCAGACUAAAUAGAUGCAAUUUAAAUGUUCCAUUUUCUCCAAGAUUUCUGGGAAACGCUCAAGGUUCAAGCAGCCAAAAAGAAAAAGAUCAACCAAAGAUCUCAAUUUACAGAACCUAGUUGAAAUCCUCUUCAGCCGUUUGCAAUGCCCCAAAUCCAACACUUCAAGAUCAGUUAGGCACUCUAUUGAUGAUGGAACUUCUUCUAUUGCAGACUGGCCUAAGGAUAGCUCUGUGAUUUUCCCAGAAAUCCGUGGAAACUCUUUGAGAUUAACACAAUAGGAGAAAUUAAUAGUUACUGGACAAACAAAAUGAAGAUUGCUUGGAAAAGACCUAAGACUUUUGCAGCCCUCAAAAGACAACGCACUGAGAUACUUGAAAUUCUGGAUAGAUGAGGGAACACAAGCCAAGUUUGUAUAAUCCAAAAGAUUUGUUUCAACAUUUGGGGUUUCUAAUGGGCCUGGCAUCUUAAUGAAAUGUCGAGAAUGAUUGAGGUUAAUAGAUUUUAACUUGAAAGCUUCCUGCAAUAACAGAUAUAUAAAGACUAUAUUAAUUAAAAAGCAACAUUGAAUUCAACAAUUAAUUGCACGUAUGUUUAAAGAAAGAAAAAAAUUAAUGUUUUAGUUUUAGUACAAAACUUACCUUUUCUCCUUCCCAAAGUUGCUCAACUUUACUAAAACGCAAAUUCAGUUCAACAAGGUUCAUUGGCUUGAAAUUUGAUGGCAGUGUCCUUAAUGGAUAUGUGUCCCAAUGAAGAUAUCUCAAUUUUUUAGGAAGAUAAUCUAGGCCAUUUGGAAGCUGCACUUUAGAGUAUGAAAGUUGCUCUUCAAUGCUCAUACUUAGAAACCUUUCAAUCUCAGGUACAUAAAAUUUGAGCAAUCUUAGAUUAGACAUUUUUGUGAAGGCUCCUGGGUCUAAAUUGAUGCCUUUUAUUUUGGACAAAUCCAGAAAUAUGCCUUCAAUUGCAUCGGUCCCCUUAUUAAAAAAAAAAAAAACAAAGAAUGAGUAACCCUAAAACAGAAAAGAAACAUUCGUAAACUUUAUUAACUAAGAGCUUCUUAAACAAAAACAAAUUCUGCAAUCUUUGAUUUUAUUUUUUUAAUAUAUUAAAUAUCUAUAUACGAGAAAAGAAAAUUUUGGGGACCAUUGCAAAAUUAAACUAACCGAAAAAAAAUUCAAAAUUUCUCUAAUUUACAAACCUGUUAUCUUAAUAACUAGAAGUUGAGAAGACAAGGCCUAUUUGAUUGGUAUAAGAUUUCGAUUUGUUUUUUAGUCCAUAGAAUCCAAAAUGUUAGUUCAAAAUUAGGGAAAAAAAAUGAAAGUUAUUUUUUUUCCACUAGUUGUAAUUGUUUCCAAGUCAAAUUGAGAUACGACCCUUUUCGAAAGGAUUUAAUCAUCUUAUAGCCUCCUUAAGAUACAUUUAAGCUAAAAGGAGUGAUUGGAGGCAGAACUAGGUGGGCCAAUCAGUCCCUUUUAUUAGUGACUGUUGCUUAAAAAAAAUUAUACUCUAAAACACACUUACUUUUUUGAAAAAAAAUAUAAUUAUAUUGAAGUAGAACCAGGUGGGCCAAUCCUCAUGGCACUCACUUUGUUCUGACACUCUUCACUAAAUUUGAAGAAAAAUAAAAUUAUACUCUUCACACUCUUAUUCAACAUUCCAAAAUUGAUAAAAUCUAGAGUUUUCUUUAAAAAUUUAAAAUUUGAAGACUUGUUCUCUUGACAUCCUCAGUCAUUAAUUUCACCUAAUUAUGGUUUUUAUGAUUUUGGUUGUUUUGUUCAUAAAACAAUUUUACUAAAGGAUGUUCUCGUAAUAAUAAAAAUUAUAAAAAAAACAUGGGUGUGCUGGUAUGGUUGGGAAAAUACGAGUACAGAACUCCAAACAAAUAAAAGAUUUAUAUAAAAAAAAAUGGAGGAUUCUUACCAUAUUAUGCUUUAGUACGCGGCGGAUUUCCUUAGGAUCCCACAACCUACUACGUCUGCCUGGCACUUCCUCAGAUUCUUGGCGAACAGUCUCUUGGCCCAUUUCUUGCAAUAAAUCAUGCAUUUGCAAGCGGUUAUCUGACACAGUUAUGAGUGACUUGUCGACGAGGACAUCCAGUCUGUGAGACCCAGAAUCAUCAAGUAUCCUUAACACAAAAUCUUUAUCCUCUCCCUCAAGGAAACACGCAAUAUCUAGAAACAUACUCUUCACCCUGGGCGUUAAUUCUUUAAAACUAAUCUUUAAUGUAUCAUAAAUACCAUGAAUAUCAGAUUCACAAAUCCGAUUUAAGUCGUGCAAUACAUUUUCCCAAUGGCUUUUCCUCUUGAGAUACAGGGAGGAACCCAACACUUUAAGAACUAAUGGAUUGCCAUCAGCAUACUCUACAACUCUCCACGAGUCACGUUUGAAAUCUUCAGGACGAUGCUUUUCUUUAAAAGCGAAGUUACAAAAGUGCUCGAAAGCCUCAUCAAAUUUCAAUCCAUUGACCCUAUAUAUUUUCUCCACUCCAAAUUUUUCGAGGACUCGUUUAUCCCUGGUGGUUACAACAAUUCUACUUCCUGGACCAUAUUGAUCAAGCCCUCCAAUCAAACCCUCUAAUUGUUCAUCUUUAUUCACAUCAUCGAGUACAAUCAACACCUUCAUGCGUCGGACCCUCCCUUUAGUAAAUUGUGGAAUAUUGGGACCAGCUACUUCAAGUUUUUCACUUAAUAUUGUCGAAAGCAUUUCCUUUUGUAGGUCUUCUAGGCCACCCUCUGUUUCUGAUUUUCUCCUAACAUUUUUUGCAAAGUAUUUACCAUCAAACUCACCAGCGAAUUGAUCGAAAAUAGCUUCAGCAAGGGUAGUUUUGCCUAUACCGCCCAUACCCCAAAUUCCAACAAUUUGGACAGUAUCCGACAAAUCCAUACACAAAAAUGGUUUAAUCUGCUCAAUUCGUGAAUUUAAUCCAACUAGGCCGUUGGAUGAGUCCGUUGAGACUGUUAUUUUUUCCAACUUCUUCAAAACAUCUUCGACAAUUUUGUUUACAAGUUGCGCAUCAAGCCUAAUAUGAAGGUGCAAAGAUGCAAAAACAUUGAGUCAAAUCGGGCCAAGACAGAAACAGAGAAAAGAUGAAUUAGGAAAGAGAGUUACCUGAAUUUCGUGGAUUCAUGGCCGGCUAGAUGGGAUGUUUCUGUCAGUGCAUCCCUCCACUUCUGAACCAUUUCUUGUUUAUCUUUGAACUGUUUUUUGAGCUCAUCAAAACGGUCUCCAAAUGUUCCGUUUUGAUGCCGCACAUCAGAUGGACUUACUCCAUAGAAGAAUGGAAUAAUAAUUUGGCCGUUUGUGUUCUUGCAUUCAAGAAUCUUGACAAGUUCAUUCAGGCACCAUUUUGAAGAAGCGUAGUCCUUCGAGAAAAUGACCACCGAAAUUUUUGAACCUUGGAUUGCGUUCAAAAGGGCGGGUGAAAUCUCAUCUCCUCGCCUAAGCCCUUCAUCAUCAAUAAAUGUUUUGAUUUUCUUUCCUUCAUACAAUUUAUCAUAGAGAUAGCAAGUAAAGCUCUUACGAGUGUCCUCCCCUCUAAAGUUGAGGAAGACUUCAUAAUUGGCACAAGAAGAAGAGGAAGCCAUGAAGGAAAUUUUAGAAAAUUGGUGACAGAAACAGAGAAUUAAUCUUGAGAGUUGAGAGAGGAGAUGUAAGAAUGAACAUGUGCGAAGAUUCUUGCGAGUACAUAGUAAAUAAUUGAAUGGCUGGAGCUUUCUUAGUUUCCUGGAAAUUUCCUGGAGCUUUCGUAUACAUGAUUUGUCAAGUCAUGAAACAUAAUCAUGAUAAUGGGGCAGACCGAAAAGAAAAGCAACAAUUCAAAUAUUUGAUUCAACCAGUAUAAAAAGGAAGGAAAAGCAAAGAAAGGAAAUGUUGAAAGUAGAGUUAGGGAAUUAUAAAAAGCUGAAGGAAAUUGGAAUUUUGUACAAUUUCUCCAGCGAGGAACUUUCACAGUCGUUACCUCAUUGUUACAGUUUAGAUUAAGAUUUGAGGGUGCAAGCAUUUACCUAGAUUUUACCUCCGCACUAAAUUCUUAAGUUUGAAAAAUUAUGAGACCUUUAUAUUGGAAGAUAUUAUAAUCGAAUCAAAACUUAAAAUUUUAAUAUUGUUAAUCUUUAAUCUUUAAAAAAAAUUACCUUGCCGUUACAAUUUGGAUUAAGAUUUGAAUAAGCAUUUACCUAAAUUUUAUCUCCGCCUGUAAAUUCUUAUGUUUUAAAAAUUAUGAGACCUUUAUAUUGGGAGAUAUUAUAAUCGAAUCAAAAUUUUGAAUUUCAAUAUUAUUAUUCUUUUAAAAAAAAUUUGAGAUAACAGAGUGAUUGAUAAUAGAGAACUUGUCUAGGCAAACACAUGCAUACACAAAAAUGUGAUGGAUUCAAAAAGAAAUUAAAGUGAUAAUGUACGUGGAUCCUUAAAACAAAAAGCGAAAUCGCUUGGUGGCCCAGUAAAAUUAAGACUGAAUAUUUUUUACACGAGAAGUGUAGCUCAUAAAUGGCAAAAGCCAUUUCAUUUCACUUUUACGCGUCAUUGACUUUUGUAACAUGGUGCAUGCAUCGUCAAGUGAGGCAAAAGGGUUUCGAUUACAGUGGGAAAACAUGAACAAGAAUGCAUAAUGAAUAAUUCCUUUGAUAAAGCGAAAAUUAAACACAGAAUAAUCCUAAAAUUUAAACUCUAAUAUCUUAUAAUUUAAUGAUUAAAAAUAAUCCUAAGAGUUCCCAAUUGAAACUUUCAGAGAUAAUAGAAAAUAGCUAUGCUUUAAAAGGCCAAAGAUUAGAGAACAAAGAAGAAUUAGGUAUUGAUAUAAAAAUUAUUAAUUUUUUUGAUUUCAAGCAAAAAUAGUUUCAUAUACCAUUUCGAUUUUGGUAGGGGUGAGGUUUUGAACUUCAAUAGUUUCCUCUAAAAUCAAAAGGUAGUAAUUAAGUUAGAAAGAGCAAAGAAGACUUAUCGGUACCUUAUUGAAGGUAAACAUUAUGGAACUUUCAAUGUCAUUACCCCACUGUUUAAUUUUUAUUGAGAUUUGUGCAAGCAUUUACCUAAAUCUUACCUCUGCCUGUAAAUUCAUAAGUUUUGAAAAUUAUGAGACCUUAUAUCGGGAGAUAUUAUAAUCGAACUAAAACUUAAAAUUUCUUUUCUUUUUUUUUUUUUUUAUCAUAAAAGGGCUCUUAAGAGAGCUAAGGCAACACUAAAUGGGAGUGUGCAACCCCAUGAACAUCAUUAAUCAAUAUGUUUAGCGUAUUUGGAGGAAUAGAUUGAAAGCAAUGUAAACCCAAAGGAAAAGAAAAGCUGUACGAAGUAAGGAAAUCUGCUGCUACAUUGGUUUCUUGGUAGAUAUGAUCCACUUUGAUCAGCCAAUCACGCCGAAGGAGUUCUUCGAUGGCCUGAAUGAGAGUAAAAUGCUCAUUGACGGGAGGGUUUGAGUUAGAGAUUAACUUCAUAACACACAUGCUGUCCACUUCCACGUAAAACUUAAAAUUUCAAUAUUAUUAUUCUUUAAAAAAAAAUUGAGAUAUCAGAGUAAUAUCACAUAGAAAAACUUGCCCACGGACGGUAAGCCAAAAGUCUAGUCAACCACAUGCAUAAAGCUAAGUAGAACAAGAGAACAGAGAAACGCGUGGGUCCCUAAAGAAAAGGCAAGCACAUAAAUGAAAAAGCCAUUACAUAUCUAUUAACACGGUGUGGCAGCAUAUGCACAAUCAAGUGAGGCAAAAGGGAUUCGAUUAUCGUGGCAGAACAUGGACGAGGACGCGUGAUGAAUAAUUCCUUCGUUAAAACCAAAAACAAACGCAGAGAAAACAAUUUCUUAUAUGACAAGAAAUCAAAGUAAUGUGAAGGAACAUGAUGAAGAAAUUGCAGACUGAUCAAUUAUCCCCAUGGACUCCUAUAAAUUCAACCAAAAUAACAAUUCGAAUCUUACCAAAUUCUUGAGUUAAAUUUAUUCAAUGCUUUUAUUUUUUUAGAAAAUUUUUUUCCAAUGCUACUUUUCCUUUUUUGGGGAAAUUAGAACCGCGGCAUGUAUAGAAAACAUUGAGGUGUAAAGCAACAUUAAUUUCAUGGGAUAUGCGUUAUACGCAUAAUAUAUUUUCAGUCCAAAUUCAACUAUACAAAGAGGCUUGAGAACUUAAAAUUAAGCACAAACUAAACAGACGAAGUAAAUACAUGAUUAUGCAACAUAACAUUAAUUCUCUCAAUUGAUAACUGUUUUUGCUACAUGAAUCUUGCACAGUUAAUCCUAAUUGAAGACUAAAAAAGAGCAAUUGGAAGAAGGUUUUGGAAUAGAAUGGUAUACAAUCGAUAUGAUCCUUUUCCAGUAGUCAACGCUAAUUAACUGCAGUUUCUAGACUCCUAAUUAUACUAGCCAUAGCAAACUAUUUAGAAAACUGGUGAUCAAAUUAGAUUUUGAAAGGAAAUAAUGUUCAUUUUCCCUUCGCUGCCUUUUCUUUUCUUUUCUUUUUAUAGCAAAGAAUUAUAUCAUGAAAAGAAUCAAUUUAAUCACCUUUUCCAGCAGCCCAAUUUUUCUUUUAUAAAAUUUGACCACGGAGACAAAGAAGAAUUAUUCAUAACUUCAUCACUAAGGAAAUACUUUUCGGUAUGGCUAGGGUGAGAAAAUGCUUUCCACUAACACUUGUACUUUGUAUUCUUGUAAAUUUUCUUUAAAGUCAAUAAAAACCAUAAGUUCUUUGCAAUAACCAUCUCUUUGAUCAAAAAGUGCCGUAUUCCUUUAGAAUUUAAAACCGGCAAAACCGAAUCAGUGUCUUUGAAGAGACAUAAUGGUCGUAAUUCUUUAAAUGAGUUGGCUAUGGAAAUCCUUAUCCAAGAUUCUUUUAUGCCAUAUUCUUUCGUAAACCAAAAUUCAUUUUGAAAUACUCUAUUGAAAAUGUCAAAUAAAACGGCAUUGAAGGAAGUUUUCAAAGGCAUAAUCCGCACUUGUCAAAGGGAUGAUCUGCACUUGUCAGAGACACGAUCCGCGUCGAACGAAUCGACACAUUUCCUUUCGUAUUCGCAUAUGUAAUCUUUGAAAAAAUGUAGCUUCCGCAUCUAUAAAUAACGCUCAGUGUAUAAUGUUUUAUUCAAGAAAAGAAAACAAAUUUCUUCAUACUCCUUGUCCGAACAUACAGAGACAGUCUCUCAUAACUUCAGCCGAAUACUUAUGAUGAUGAUCAUUUGUGAUUUCAUCAGGCAUAGGGUUGAUGGUGAAAAAUUUUGUAUGUGUGAAGAAUUGAGCUGUGGAUAUAGGGGACUUAAGUGUAAUCGAAAGAGAGUUAUUAGGCCAUAGUGCAGAUUGCAUUCAGUUUAUGGGUCGAUAUGCAAAUAAUUUGUUGACGUGGCGAAAUCUGUUAUGGUCGUUACUAUUGUUUCUGGAAAUUUUCUAGAAACCUCAGCAUAAAAGGGGCUUUUGCAUAGCCUCUGGUGUGCGUGUGAUUUCUCUUUCGUUUCCUCAUCAAAUUCUGUAAUUCUUGCUUUGAUAAAAAGCUUGUAAUCAUUUCUGUAAUGUGUGAUCAGUGCGUAAUCAUUUUGAGCAAUAAAAGCUUGUGGGUUUUUCCUUCAAACAGUGUCGUUUUGGUCAGUUUGUUAGUUUGAUCUGUUGGUGGAAUUUUCUUUGGUUAUUUGUUCUCAAAUUUCAACCGUAUAUAAAGUUUGAACUCUAAUGGCUUAUAAUGUAUUGAUUAAGAAUAAUCCUAAGAGUUCCCGAUUGAAAUUUUUAAUGACUAUUUUUAUUGUUUUGGAUAUACAAAUUGCAUUAAGAAAAAAUAUUGUCAAAUUCAGAGGAUAACGGGAAAUAAUUAUGCUUCAAAAGACCAGAGAUUAGAGAAUAAAGAAGCAUUCAUUACUGACAUACAAAAGAGAAACACUCCAAAAUUGCAAGCAAACUAGUUUCAUAUACUAUUUGGAUUUUGGAAGGGGUGAAGUUUUGAGCUUCAGUUGUUCCUCUAAAUAGCAAAGAAGACUUAUUGGUACCUUACUGAAGCUAACAUUGUGGCACGGUUGUUCAUAUGUAAUGGCUGCUCUGUUAUGGUAGCUUCUCUGUUUUUGCUCACAGUUUUGAACAUGAAUUCUUGCUCAAAUAACCCAUAAUUAAUUAACAUUAAAAUGGCUCGUGAAAUCCCAUAAUAGCUAAUUACGCAACUUUCUCCUCCUCCUCAAUUAUGUCUUCCCCUGCUCGUACAAUAAAUUCAAAAUUCAAUGCCCCGAAAAACAACACAAGAAAUCUUUGAGUUAGUUCGUGACCAGUUUAUAUAUAGUAGCAAUUGAAAAAAGAAAAAGAAGAAAAGAGUUAAUUAUUAUUCAGACCUUCACUUAUUAGGAAGUUUGUUCUGCUAUUGGGUGAGGUCAAGCUCUCAGCAUAUACUUCCACAUGAUACUUUCUAACAUUUUCUUGAAAGCCAUCAAUCAUAAAAUCUUCAUACUUUUUUCCAUCCUUUGGAUCAAUGAGUACAAAUUUCUCAUCUAAAACAGACAAAAUAAAAUCACUGUCCUUCAUGGAACAUAAUGGCUGCAAUGCCUGAACUGAAUUGGCUAAUGAAACAUAGUCUUCUUUUCUUUCUCGACAUGGAACAUAGUCUUCUUUUCUUUCUCGACACAUGUCUCUGUACUUUUCUCUCUCUACUGAUCCACACUUUUUCAUACUUCUAACUAUCAUUUUGUUUUUUUUUUUUGAGUUGUGAUUUAUUCAAUUAUUUUGUAUUUUUAAUGACAAUUAUUUAAUAUUUAGUUAGUGUUGAUAUUGAUUAGUGAUUGAAAGUGUAUUUUAGAAGACUUCCGGUCUCUUGAAAAAAGGAAAAAUGGAGAAGAAGAAGAAGUGUUCUUGAUUUUUUUGUAGGCAUUAAAGUUAAACGGUUUGAAAUGAUAUUUUGUUUUAAUUUCACUCAUUAAUCUCAUUCAGGAUAAAAUUAUAAAUGCAAAUAAAUGGGGUUUCAUAAGUAUUUUUAAUAGUGUUAAAAGGUCUACUAACUAAAUAAACAUGUUUUACCCAAACCAAUCCGAUUAAUAAGUUAUUGGGUUGGGUUGAUCAGGUUAAAAAUCAAAAUUAAAAAUUAAAUAAAUAAAUAAGGCAUAAAAACUAUAUGUUACUUGAAAAUAAAAAGAAUUUCUAAUAGUUAGUUCUAAUGUCCCAUAUCCAAAACAUGCAUAUUAAAUAAAUAUUAUAAGUUAGAAAUAAAAUAUCCAAGAAAUAAUGAAUGAAAUACCAUAUUUUUGUUGAGAAUUAAGAGUGUGAUUUUAAUUUUGAUAUUGGAGUCUAAAGCAAUAGAUAGUACAAUGAAAUCAUGAAUGCUACGUUUAAAUAAUCUCUUUUAUAAAAUAAUAAAAAGAGGUUAAAAAUUAGGUUAGCAUUUAGGGUUUAGCAGUUAAGGAUGAACAUAUUAUUAUUGUUGUUGUUGUUGUUAUUAUUAUUAUUAUUAUUAUUAUUAUUAUUUACAUAUUAAUUAAUCCAACCCAACUCAAUUAUUAACGAAUUUGAAAAAAAAUGACCAAAUUAAUCCACAAUAAUUCAUUCAACUCGUCUAAAUUAGAUUAGAUUGAAUUUGAUUUGCUACACCUACAUUGAGCAACAAACCUCAACGCGAUUCUAUGAGCUCUUUGAUUGUUUAUAAAAUUGAUUUAGAGUACAUAAUGGAGUGUAUCGACAAUGAAAGUGCAAAACAAAUUAUUGUAUACAUUAAAAUCUGCAAAACAAUGAAUUAUAUGUACGAACGAGUGCAAACACAUUUUUCAAUAAGAAGUUAAAAGAUAUUUAUGCAUGAAAAAGCAUACGUUUGUAGUUACUCUAAAUUUUUUAAAAAAAAUUUACAUUUAGAUCCCUAAAAUUUACGUAUAAGUACAAAAGUUUCAAAUAUUGUCUAUUAUUUUUUAACAUAUGCCUAUUCCUUGUGGAUAAUUCUGUCUCAUCACUAAUGUUGUUUCUUGCUUACAAAAAACAAAUGUCAUCUCCUUUUACAAUUUUUAUAGCGUCUCAAAAUAGACAAUGGGGGGAUUUUGAAUUUUUUAAGUCUCAAGAUAGUCUCUAAUCUUGUGAGAAAGAUUUUCUUUCAAUAAUUUGGAGGUAAAGAUAACAUAAUUUUUUGGAUAGUGUGCAUGUGUAUUUAAUUAAUAAUUUUUUAAAAAAAUACAUCAAAUAUUAAUAUCCAUGACAUAAUUUAGUUCUUAAUUUUUUUUAAAUACAUCAAAAACAUAAUUUUUUUUAACAACUUAUAGGCAUGACAAAUUUCAAGAUAUAAAUAUCAGUCAAAAUAAGUGAAAGAAAUAAUGGUGCCAAUUCUAAUUUCUUAACUAAAUUAAUUAGUGCAUGAGCCCCGAAUACGACACGAGAGUUUGAUGGGCUAACUUGGCACAAGAACGUGAAUAAAUAAUUGAUUUAAGAAAUAAUUCAACGAAAAAUAUAAUUGAUAAGAAUUCAGUAUUGAAAUGAGUUUUUUUGUGAAACACUGAAUUAAUGAUUAUUAAGCAAGAACAAUAAAAAAAUAAAUAUUAAUCAUUGAUAAGUUUCAACAAAAACUUAACACAAUCCUCAAUCCUCAUUCAAAUGAUAAAUGUCAUUCAUAUAUUCAUUAUAAAUCAACAACAAAGGUUAUAAAUGUUUAGAAAUUCUAGAGGGAAGGAAGCUAUCGCCGGACAAUCAACAACUAAAUUUGAUGUAAUUGUGGCACGAGAUGGAAUAUGGAAACUACACCAUAAUUUCAAAUGCCGCCAUAGACAUUGACUUAUCAUAAUAACAAUGAUCUAAUUAAAAUAAAAACAAAGUUUAUGGGCAUUUAUUAUUUUGCCAUUCCUCAUUUGCAAAUAGGGAUAUAAUUAUAAUUUUACCUAGUCAAAGCAAUCGGUAGUUUUCUUCAUUAUAGGAGUGAAGUAAAAACAUUUAGAUUUCAAUGUAUGUACGGAAAAAUUUGUCUUUAAAAAUACUUUCUUAAUGUGUGUAUGCAUAUUGAAAUACUCAAACCAAUUUUGGUUAUAUAUAAUUAAACAAAUUUUAAAAUAUGAAAAAUAUAAUGUAGUUAUAGUGGAUAAACAAUAAGUGAGCACAAUAUAAUUAAUCAAAUAUUAUGCCAUCAAAAGUUAAUUUUAGAAAUUCCAAAUCCAAUAGCCAACACAAUUCUUUUUUUUUUAAAAAAGUUGACACAAUUAAUAAAAUUAGCGACAUGAAUUUCACGCCAUUGAUAAUCAGCAAUUAGUAUUACUUUCUAAACUUGCUUCAACUGGUCGUUGAUGUCCGGGUCACCAAAAGUAUAAGCGAUAAUAAGGGGCAUUGGGCAAGAGUGAUGAAUGUUUAGUCGGUGCAUUUGAUUGAUAGAUAUAUAAAGGGCCGAAACUUGAGAUUAUAUUACUUUUACAAAUUUUAAUCCAAUCACAUAUUUACUGAAAACAAAAUGAGUUAGGAUACUUUAUUUAGAACCCACAUUUUAAUAAGGCUUCAUUUGAUGUAGUUUUUCAAACAGUGAUUAUUUGAGUAAAGUUUCCUCAAUAGAGUUUUUAUCAAAUAAAUUUUAUUUAUUUGGUUGUCGAUAAGAACUUUUAUUAAAAAUUAUAAAAUUAUUUAAAUAAACAUAUUUUUUAAAAUUACAUUAUAAAAAGAAUUAAAUAAAGUUAUAAAAGUAAAAUAUAUUUUAGAUAUUUUAAUAUUUAAGAAAAAAAUUUUGAAUCUCUACUUUCAGAAGCUCAAAUUUUUAGUUUUUAGUUGUAGAGACAAAAUAUCUUAUUUAAUCUUUAAAAGUUCUGCUAAAAACAAUCAAAUAACUAUAAAAUUUUUAAUAAGAGUAUAUAAAAUUAAAUAAGCAUUUAUUAAUAAUCACUUUAGUGUACUUAUCUAAUGACCAUAAGUGUUUAUUUAAUCUCAUAAGUUCUUAUUUAAUCUCAUGAGCUCUUUUCAAUUUUUUUUGUUGUUUGCUUUUUUUAGUAGAGUUUUUGAAAAUUAAAUAAACUAUUUUGUCUCUAUUAGGAAAAACUCAAAUUUUAGGUUUUUGUGAGUAAAUGUUUAAAUUUUUUUUAAAAUAUUAAAAUAUUAAAGUAAAAGUUGUAGAGACAAAAUAUCUUAUUUAAUGUUUAAAAGUUCUGCUAAAAAUAAUCAAAUAACUACAAAAAUUUUAAUAAGAGCAUAUAAAAUUAAAUAAGCAUUUAUUAAUAGUCACUUUAGUAUACUUAUCUAAUGACCAUAAGUGUUUAUUUAAUCUAAUGAGCUCUUUUUAAUUUUGUUUGUUUGUUUUUUUAGUAGAGUUUUUGAAAAUUAAAUAAACUAUUUUGUCUCUAUUAGGAAAAACUUAAAAUUUAGGUUUUUGUGAGUAAAUGUUUAAAUUUUUUUUAAAAUAUUAAAAUAUCUUUUCUUUAUUUCAUAAUCUUAUUUCAUUCUUCACAACAUAACUUUAAAUAACUCACCUAUUAAAAUAAUUUCACAAUUUAUAAUAAAAAUUUUAAUUGACAAUCAAAUAACAAAUUUUUUUUUAUAAAAACUCUAAUAAUAAAAAUUCUACUUAAAUAAAUUAUAUUUGAAAAGGUAUACCAAACGAACCUAACAUAAAAACAAAAAUUUUUACAUCCACACAAUUAAGCUUAAAACAAUUUCAAAUGAAUUUUAGACUACUCAAAGUACAAUACGUACCAAGUUUGGUAACUUAUUGGGGUCCGCUUGUAAUACAGCGUCUGUAUCUCAUACAGCCAAAUUUAAUAAUUUAUUAAGAAAAAGGGCAACCAUUAGAUAGAAGUAGAUACAUCCAACGGUUAAAAUGUUUGAUUACUCAUUUUGGCGACCGGAUAUGCCAGUUAUUAUUUCAUCAAUUAACUUACCUAAAAAAUCACAGCCGUUGGAUUGAGAUGCCUCUCUUUCCCUCAAAAUAACAGCCUUCGUAUUCUCUCUGCUAUUGUUUUCUCCUACAUCCAGAAUUUUGGAUGAAUGAACUUGGUAUUCAACAAUAUUCACCACCCAUCACAGCAAAGAGCAAAGAUGUAGUCAAAGGAGUGCCAUUUAUUCAGGCUAACUCGAUCUGUCACUCUCGCUUCAAUUCGUCACUCAUUUUCUCGCGCUCAGCUUCAAUCUAUCACUCUCAGCUUCAGUUCGUCACUCACAGCUUCAAUUUUUCACUGUCGUGAAUCAUCUCUCUUGCUGUAUCUCUCUCUUAUGUCUUCCAAUAAUUUCGGUGAGCUCUCUCUCUAAUUUAAUAUAUGAUUAAAAAUCUUAUCAUCUUAUCAUGUCAUUUAAAUAUGCUUGAAGUUUCAAUUUAGUUUAUGAAUAUUACUUGAAAUUUCAGUUUCAAUAAUUUGAUUUUGCAAUUGAGAAAUUAUUACUUGAAAUAUUGAGAUGAUUUCUAGGGAUUGAUAAUUGAAUGAUAAUUGCUAAGGCUUGUCAUUUUUUGUUUUUGAACAGAUAGAGUUACAAUUAAGUCAUACUGCAAUAUUUUAUCUUGAGAUUCUAUUAUUCACAAAAAGAAAAAAAUCAUAAAUUGAAAAAAAAAAAAAAGAGGUUACGAGCAUCAAGCAACUGCAAGUAAUGGGGUUUGUUUUGAUGAGCUGCGAAUUGGGGCCUGUCAUUUUCUUGAAGUAUCUUCAAUAUAAGUGGAAGGAGAUUUCUUCUCUCCAAAAAAUUAUUGUAUAUUUCCUUUUAAAUUCUAGAUUCGCAUGUAGCUGAUUUUUUAUGUUUGAAGGAUUUUAUUAAAGAAUGUGCUGCUGCUAGUGGCAUGAAUUAAUGUAGUCUCGCUAGUAUUCGUGAUUUGGGGUAAGGAUCGAAUUGAACAAUUAUAUUUCUAUUAUUCUUAUAUUCGAAUCCAGUGAUAUUGUGGUGGUUUUAUGAUAAUAUUCAAUUGUUUUGUGCCUCAAAUCAGCCAAUGAGUUGGGUAUGUGCUGGGUAUAUGCCGUAUGGGCUUGUUGUUGAAUUUGCUUGACCUUGGAUGUGAUUCUUGCCGUGUUUAUAAGAAAUAGACACAGGUCUUUGUGUGGUAAUAGAAUUGUCUAAGGUGCCUUACAAUAAAUUUAAGAGUCUUAAGUAACUAUGCUUUGUAACCUUAAACCUUUAUUUGUACGACUUGGUGUUCUUGGUUGUGAAAGAAUGUUAAAUGUUGACCUAUUUUCAUCGGUGAAGAUAAAUGAAGUUAGGGAAGGUUUGUAAUCACUAUAACCCUGACAAUUUUUUUGGUGGGCCGUGAUAAUUUUAUUCAUGGCAUGUACUUUGUUUUUAUCAGAAGGCCCUGUUUGCUUGUAGUCUCAAAUCUAGGGUAAUAUUUUAAAUAAGUUCUGCAAUAUAUGUUUUGCUAUUUUUCUUUUUUGUUUUUAUUUUAAUUAGUUUUAGUAUUACUUGGAGGGGAAUUCUGAUCUGCUGAAGUUUAUCAAGCUGGUGCAGUGGUGCAGCAAGCAGACCUUUAUCUUAAUCUUAUGAUUGUGCUAAGUGGAAUUUUGUGUAAGUUACAACAAUAUAAUUUUUUAAAGAGCUGACAAGACGCUCUCUCUUUUUUUUGGAAUGUUGAGCAAAACUUUUCUUUCUUAUUAGGUGUUUAUAAUAAUUCAUAGCAUGGGUUUUGUCAUAUUGGUUUCAAUGCAUUGAUUUGAUCUUGGUUACAACCCAUCAGCCCUUACUCCUCAUUCCCAGCAGCUUUUAAUGCCUUUUUUUUAAGCAUUGUACUUUGUUUCAUGAUGAAAUUUGUUUAUAUGACGCAAAGUUGAGGACACGGUAAUAGUCAUUAUUUUAAUUUAUGCAACAAAGAUCAUUAUCCAUUAAAUUUUAUGUUGUUGAAAUAUUUAGAUUUUGUAAAUUUUGUUGUAAGAAAUGAGGGCUCUUGAUCCCAUCCCUUUAUUAUAUACAAUUUUUUUUCACUCUGUCAUUCAUUUAUUGUGUGUUAGAGGUAUUAGUCAUGUGCAAAAGUAAAGAUCUUUAUUUUGUUAUUUUUGUCAUCUUGUGCUUCAUUGGUAUAAAUGAGGAAAAAAAAGAAUAAAAUAAAAUAAAAUUAUAGUUUGUGCAUGAAUUCCACCAUAUAUGAAAUGUUUAAUAGAUUAAAAAGUAAGGAGUACACAGUGACUUUGAAUAGCAGGUGGGGGAACUCAUUUUGUUUUAAAAAAAAUUAAUACAUAUUGAUAGAAUAAUUAUCCUUCACUUAAUUAUUUAAAAAUUUUAUUUUGGAAGAAUACAAAUGGACAGUCACCAAUGAAAGCGUAAACGACUACCAGGGGGCUUACAGAAAAAAUUGCUCCUAUUCUAAAAGUAGAUGGUCAGGACAAAGUUCCAACAACUUCAACUUAUGGAUUUGUCUCUUACUUGUAAGGUAAUCUCUUCUUGUAGGGUGUUUAAUUGAAUUAAAAACAGAAUAUUAUUUGCAUUAUAGAGUACAGGCAUAAAUUCAUUAUCUAUGUCAGUUCAUUCAUGAUUUUACUCCAAAUGGAGUAAUAGAUCACCAUUAAUUUAUUGAUACAUCGUCCAUGUUUGUUUUCGUCUUCAAUUUUUAUAUUACAAUAUCUAAUCUAUUUAGUAUUCGUAAAAAAACAUACGAGAAAAAGUUGGAAAAACACUUUAGGGGUGAUUGUGUACACUUUCGUAUGGCACAAAUAGCGUUAGGCUUUGUUUUUUAAGUGGACGACGUGUCCAUUUUUUGUGUUACAUCUUACUCAUUAAUAUAUUUUUGAGUUUCUUAUGGAAAAAAAAUUGAAAAAACACUUUAAGUGAAAAAAAUUUGUAUUUCAAUUUAUAUGUAACAGUGAAUUGGAAAAUAAAUUCUACCAAUAAUUAAAAGAAUACUUUUCUUUUAAUUAUUAAAAAGAUAAGGUAGUUACUCAUUACCCAUAUAAAUGGACAGUUUUAAUUUGUUCCAUAUCUAUACAACAGAAGAGCUUCAGACACGGUUUGCAGCGUUCCACGAUCACUUCCAUUCUAAGCAGCAGCGUCUUCCGUCUUUUUGCACACCAACAGCAGAUUCUAGAUGGCCAGAAGCUCAUCUGCCGCACUCUCGGGAUUUCGCUGCCAUCCUCAUCUUCAUCUCCACUACCUCCUCAGUGAUUAUCCCCUGGUUUUAUGCUCAGAAAUUAUGAUUAUUAUGUAUCUUGUUUUCAGAUUUGUCAAUACUUGUUAUAUUUUGAUUAUGCAUUAUGGACAUUUUUCAUAAGAUAGCUUAAUUUUGUGGUUUGUGUUGACGAUUUCCAUGUAUGGAUGUUUGGAUAGGUAAUUUCGCCUUCCAUGCAUUCUUCAUUCCUGCAUCCUGUGGGAGAAAAUUGGAAAAAGUGGUUUUUGAUGAGAAACGGGGAGAAGGAUGAGAUAUAUAUUUUUGAAGUGUCACAUUAUUUCAAAAACAAACCCCAAAUUUAAUUUCUCUUACCGAUCAUGAGUUAAAAUAUAAAAAUUAACGUUUACUCAUCACACUGUUAUAAGUAUCAAAGCAUUACUUAUAGAAAAAUUAUCGUCACCUAUCCUACAUUUGUGAUUGAAUAGUGGCACAAUUUUAAUUGGGAUAUUUAACAUUACUCUUUGUAAUUGUUUGGUCUUAUUUGAAGUUUGUAAAUUUUUCAUAACUAUGACUUCAACAGCAUAUUUCAGGUUGCAUUUAAUCGUUGCUAUAAUUAGGUACUUUGAAAUAAUUUAUUGGCCACGAUUACAGUCAUUGUUAUUAGUCACCCCUCUUUUUUCUCUUUUGGCCAACCAGCUCUUGGAUAUUUGGGAACCGAUGACAAUAGUUGGGAAAUUAUGUAAUAUUGGUGUGUUUGCGAAAUAAAUCAAGAGAUUUGCCUUGCCGAAGUUAAAAGAGAUAUUGUGGCCUGAAUUUUUUUUUUUUUUCUCUAGGGGCCAUGGCUCUCAAGGACAAGGCAUGAAUCAUGCAUUAUAAUUGCUCGAAAGGGUUAGUAAAAUAGCAAUCUAAAAUACCCAAGUUGGAUCUGCUGUUGAAUCACAAAAAGAACAUAAUUGGGAUAUGAAGUCAUGGUUGCAAGUGUUGGACCCUUAGGUUACGUUUGGCACGUAGGAUUGGAUUGAACUAAUUACUAAAAUUGGAUUGAAUUAUAUUCGAUUGGAUUAAACUGGAUUAUAUUAUAUAGUUCUAUGGUUAGUACAAUAUCGGAUUAAACUAUGUUAAAUUAUAUUUAAAUAAUAUUAAAUAGCAUUUAAGUUGGUAUUUUAAUAUUAAUAUCAAUUAUUCAUGAAAUUUCAUAAUCAUAAUUAAAAUAAAUUUAAAAAACAAUUACCAGGAAAAUUAAAUAUAUUGUAAAUAAGUUACUGGGUAGUCAUAAUACAGUAAACAAAUGAACAUAGAUAAAAAAAUUAAAUUUUAAAUAAUUUUUAUCAAAUUUUAAAAAAAAAUUAUAUAAAAUCAAUUAUUUAAUGGUAUUAUUAAUUUUCAUGAUUAUUUUUAAUAGUAUAUAACAAUGAUUAUUAAAUUUAAUACAAUCAAAUAAUGCAAUAAAUAAUUAAACAUUUAAUUUUAUCAAUAAAUUACUAAAUAUACAAGUGGUGAAAAUUUAAUCUCCAGAGUUAGUACAAGUAAAGGUAUUAAUUUAAUUAGAUCAUAGAUAAUAAAUAAAAAUAAGUUUUAAGUAAAUCAUAUUAAAAAUUAAUUAAUUAAUUAAUACUAGGUGUAAAUAAAAAAAAUGAUAUAAAUAAAAAUCUCAUAAAUGGACAACUUUUUUCUUUAAUCUUAUCCCAACUAAACCCAUGCGUAAAUUAGGAUUAUCAAUUCCAUGAUUUUAGGAUUAAAUUUAAAUUACUACCCCCUUAAUCCAAUCCAACUAAGCUUGCCAAACAUUGGAUAAAUAUUUAAUUCCAAAAUUAGUCUAAUCCCAUACUUAAUCCUAGAAUCCAAACAUGGCAUUAGCACCUUAUAUAACAAAGUGUCACUGAAAUACAGCAAAACGUUAUAAACAAGAACUUAUUUCUGUACAAAAUGUUAUUUACUUUUUGUGAACUUCCAAAUACCUACUAUAUGAUUUGCAAACCCUACAAAAGUCUACCUUGCAUGCUCUUUCUAACGUGAAAUUUGAUUUUUAUUAAAUUUUUGAUGUGUUCACUAAUAAAUAAUUGGAAUCUAAAAAAAUUAGAAAAAAAUAGAAUUAGAAUGAGCUACAAUAAAAAUGAGGAAUAACAAAAAAAAUGAUAUUUGUUGAGAUGAAUGAAACACAAUUGAAAUACUCUAUAUCGCUCUUAAUAUGUUCACUUUGUGAACAUAAAUUAGAAUUAGUUGUUAUAACUUAGUAAUUUAUCCUCAAUCAAUUAUUAUCAUUAUUACUAUUUGUUAUAAUAAUUGUAAUUAUUAUUUUUGAUAAUUUUAAUACUAAGAAAAUUAUUGUUAGGGGUGGAAACACCAUAUAGAGAAGGAACAAUUAAAUUUAUAAAAUUUAGUGGGGAUAAAAUAGUCACUUAAGACAGCAAGCGUCUCCCAUUCUCACCUCCACGAGCAUGAAAACACUAGUAAUCAUUCUUAAAUUUUGAUGGAAUCUGUUGCUUUUAUUCUAAUAACGAACGCAAAACCUAUGGAAUUAGUUGGAAUAACGAAUGCAAAACCUCUGGAAUUACAAUUGAAAUACGUCAACCCAAAAUGGAGAAAGCACAACUAAAAUUAGAGACCUACAAAACCAAAAAUAAACUUAUAGAAAACAAACCCGGUACCUAAUCUCAAUAAUUGGAAUCUCAACCAGUUAAUGGAAAUAUUCAACUCAAAAUUAGGGAAAAAUUAGAUGAAACACGUGAACCAUUGAGAGAGAAAGUAUGACGAAAAUUAGAAACUCAUUUAACGAAAAAUAAUAUUUACUUGGAAUCUAACCCAUGAUACUGGUACCUAAGGAACUUUAUAGGAAUAUGAAACGCAAAACCAGUGGACCAAUAAGUUGAAACAUGUGAACCAAAAAAUGAAAAACUAUAACCAAAUCUUGAGACUAAUCAAACCAAGCAAAAGUAAUAUUGAUAUUUAACCCAUAUAAUUGGAAUUUUACCAAAUUAGUUGGAAUAACGAAUGUAGAACUUGUGGAAUUACAAUUGAAAUACAUCAACAAAAAAUGGAGAAAGCACAACCAAAAUUAGAGACCUACAAAACCAAAAAUAAAUUUAUAGAAAAUAAAUUUGGUACCUAACCACAAUAAUUGGAAUCUCAACCAGUUAAUGAGAAUUCUCAACGCAAAACUAUAGGAAAAAUUAGCUGAAACACAUGAACCAUUAAGAGAGAAAUUAGAACGAAAACUUGGAACUUAUCCAACGAAGAAUGCUCGUGACUUGGAAUCUAACAACAAAUAUUGGUACUUGACUAAUUUAGUAGGAAUAUCAAAUGCAAAACUCAUUGACCAAUAAGUUGAAACAUGUAAACCAAAAGAUGAAAAAGUAUAACCAAAACCUGAGAAUAAUCAAACCAAGAAAAAGUAAUAUUGAUUUUUAACCCAUAUAAUUGGAAUUUUACCAACUUAAUUGGAAUAACGAAUGCAAAACCUGUGGAUUUACAAUUGAUAUACGUCAACCCAAAAUGGAGAAAGCACAACCAAAAUUAGGGACCUACAAAACCAAAAAUAAAGUUAUAGAAAACAAACCUGGUACCUAACCUCAGUAAUUGGAAUCACAACCAGUUAAUAGGAAUAUUCAAUGCAAAAUUGGGGAAAAAAUUAGAUGAAACACGUGAACCAUUAAGAGAGAAAGAACAACGAAAACUAGGAACUUAUCCAACAAAGAAUGAUAGUUACUUGGAAUCUAACAGUAAAUAUUGGUACUCGACGAAUUUAAUAGGAAUAUCAAACGCAAAAAUAGUGGACCAAUAAGUUGAAACAUGUGAACCUAUAGAUGGAAAAGAAUUACCAAAAUUUGUAACUAAUCAAACCAAAAAAAGUAAUAUAGAUAUCUAACCCAUAUAAUUGGAAUCUCGACAAAUUAGUUGAAAUAUUAAACAAAAAACUAGUGGAAUAAUAGUUGAAACACAUGAACCAAAUGUGGAGAAAGUUUAACCAAAUUUUGAAACUUAUCCAAUGAAGAAUGCUAGUUACGUGGAAUCUAACAACAAAUAUUGGUACUCGACGAAUUUAAUAGGAAUAUCAAACGCAAAAAUAGUGGACCAAUAAGUUGAAACAUGUGAACCUAUAGAUGGAAAAAUAUUACCAAAAUUUGGAACUAAUCAAACCAAAAAAAGUAAUAUCGAUAUCUAACCCAUAUAAUUGGAAUCUUGACAAAUUAGUUGAAAUAUUAAACGAAAAACUAGUAGAAUAAUAGUUGAAACACAUGAACCAAAUGUGGAGAAAGUUUAACCGAAUUUUGAAACUUAUCCAACGAAGAAUGCUAGUUAUUUGGAAUCUAACAACAAAUAUUGGUACUCGAUGAAUUUAGUAGGAAUAUCAAACGCAAAAAUAGUGGACCAAUAAGUUGAAACAUGUGAAUCUAUAGAUGGAAAAGCAUUACCAAAAUUUGGAACUAAUCAAACCAAAAAAAGUAAUAUCGAUAUCUAACCCAUAUAAUUGGAAUCUCGACAAAUUAGUUGAAAUAUUAAACUAAAAAUUAGUGGAAUAAUAGUUGAAACACAUGAACCAAAUAUGGAGAAAGUUUAACCAAAUUUUGAAACUUAUCCAACGGAGAAUGCUAGUUACUUGGAAUCUAACAAAAAAUAUUGGUACUCGACGAAUUUAGUAGGAAUAUCAAACGCAAAAAUAGUGGACCAAUAAGUUGAAACAUGUGAACCUAUUGAUGGAAAAGCAUUGCCAAAAUUUGGAACUAAUAAAACCAAAAAAAGUAAUAUCGAUAUCUAACCCAUAUAAUUGGAAUCUUGACAAAUUAGUUGAAAUAUUAAAUGAAAAACUAGUAGAAUAAUAGUUGAAACACAUGAACCAAAUGUGGAGAAAGUUUAACCGAAUUUUGAAACUUAUCUAACGAAAAAUAAAUUUAAUUGGAAUUUAACCCAAAAUAUUAGUGUUUAACGAGUUUAGUGGGAAUAUUAAACAUAAAACUAGUGGAUCGGAAAAUGGAGAUAAGCAAACCAAUUAGUGAGAAAGUUGAAUCAAAAUUAGGUAUAUGUGAAAUUAACUUGGAAUGUCACCUAAUAUAUUGAUAUUUAACCAAAAGAAUCGAGACAUGCUCAUUUUAAUUUUUUUAAACUUUUGUUGCAAUUAAAAAUAAUUUUUUCACUUAAAUAUUGUUUGUGUUAAAUAUUUACAAAAUUUCCUUAAUUUUUCCUGUUUCAUUUUAUUUUUUCUACAUUAAAAAUAAUUUUUUAAAAAUUAUUAAAUGAACAACCGGUAAAAUACCGGUUGUUCAAGUUUCCUUUUUACUGUUGAAGGGGCUGUAUUUUAUACAGCACUGUACUAUAGGAAGACUCAACUUAUUGACAUCUUCUCAUAUAACCUUCGAUCAAGUCGAUUCUGACCUGACGACUAAUUGGUACAUCACCGUUGUUCUCUAUACUCGCAUGCAUCGGAUCACAAAUCUCACUCCAAUUGUCGUCUUUCUUCGCCGUUUUAGCGCAUACUUCUUGAAUUUCCCGCAUUUCGUUCCCUCCUGUUACAAGUCUCCGGUCAGGUCAGUGAUUGAAUUUCCCGCAUCUCUAUCCCUCCCGUUUUCUCGCGUCGUUUCACUUCAAUUUCUCGUGUCUCCUUUCAGUUUAAGUGAUUGAAUCAAUUUUAUCGCAGUCAUAAGAGAAAUUAAGUAAUGCUCUUGGAUUUAAAAUUUUUUUGCUUUCGACUUUAGAUCUCGAAAGUCAAACUCUGCUACGAAUCCAUAGAUUCUCAAUGCUCAUAAUCUUAUUUGUGUUUGACCAGGUAACUGGAUCGUGAAAUUCGUCGUUUUGUAUCAAUUCAAGCUUUCGCGAGCUCAUGGAAUCACCUGGUGAGUUGUGGUGAAACGUUAUCGUUUCAAUUUUCGCUUAAUUCUUUAUUGCAUAUUUUUUUCUCUAAUGUUUCAGUUUAAUUUAGAAAAGAAAGAGGCCCCAAAAAGAGAGAGAGAGAGAGACUCUACCAUACUCAAUUCCUUGCUCAUUCUGAUUUGGCCUGAAUGUUGGCAUUGACUAUUAUUUGUUUUCAUUUCGAUUUAAUUCUCAUUUAGACAGUCUUUACUAACGGUCAAUAAUAGUUUAAGGAAAAUGAUCAUAGGGAUUCUGCAAUAAUCUUUCUGCAUUGUUCAAGUUAGUAGACAAUGAAUAGGAUGUUUAUGUUUACCUCAUUUUGAACCCUGAGGGCUUCGUUGAGUAGUUGAUUCAACAUAUCCAGCAACGGUUGAUGUGAGAACAGAAUGCCACUUAGAUAGGCUUAAACUGAUUUUGGAGGUUUGUAUUGGUUCUAUUGUACGUCUUGCUUACAAAUUUUUAAUUUUUAAUUUUGUAUAAUAUGCUCUUUGUUGGUAAAUCUCAUUUGACUUAGAAGAGAUAGUUUUAUCCCAACAGUGGGAUAAAUCAUUGAGAUGCAUGGCAGUGUGAAUAUAGUAGACAAAAUCAUUGAGACACAUGGUGGUGUGAACAUAGUAAACUUUGUCAAACACAGCUAAGAUAAACAAAUUGUUUCAUUAGCCUUUACCUUAUCUGCUGUGAUGAUUCAAAUUAAUGCUGUUUGGUAGGUUGCAAAAAACGAAAUGAGCUGUCUGUUCGUAUUAUUUAGUCAGAUCUAUUGCAAUAAGUUGAAGUUCAUUGUCACAUGGGUUGGGAGUAGCGUGGGCUGUGAGUAGUAGAAUGGAUUUAUGGAGUUGAUACAAGUGCCCAUAAUCUAUCAUGUCAUUCUAGGAUUAAAUGGAUUGCACAUUACUGUAAAGAUGGAGGUUAAAUUUAUAUAAUUCGGAUUGAUUGUAAAAUGGGAGGCAGAGAUGAGUUAGAAAAAGAAUGACCUGUGUCCUUUUUGAGCUGUUUCUAAAUCUCCCUGGUGUGCUUCAUGCUUAACACGUGUCUUUCCAAAUAAUUUUGCUUAACCUGUGCUUGUCUACUUCUUGUGCUAUUCUGUGCCUGGUCCUGAGCUGUGUUGGUAGAUUGACAUAAUUUUGCUCUGCUAAAUGUAUAACUUAUUAAUCAGAGUCCUGUUAUUAUGGUUUGACACUACUGACAUAUUGUGUUGGUAUUUAUUUGUACUUCCCUUGGUUGAAUUAUUUGCUGUCUCCAUGCAAUUCGAUAUGGUGCUACUUGGUUUUUGAUCAUCCAUGACGCUAUAUAUAUGUAAAGGAUGAAUUGAUUGUUUUGGCUUGUAUUCUCACAUUUUAUGAUUGAUCGAUGGAAAGGUUUUCAUGCAUUAAAUUCAACCUCACAAGCGUAAGAUUGACAGAUUGUGGGCAAAUUUUCAGGAAAAGAAACUAGACUUCAUGGAAGCAAUGAAGCUUGAAAUUGAACGUCUGCAGCUGAAUCUUUCUGCAGCUGAAAGGGAUAGAACUUUAUUGUCAAUUGGAACUGAUCCUGCCUCUAUAAAUCCAAAUGUAUUGCUUGAUGAAUCUUACAUGGGAAGACUGUGUCGAGUAGCAAACACUCUUGCAUUACUUGGCCAAGCUUCCCUAGAAGAGAAAAUUGUUGGUGCAAUUGGCCUUGAGAAUAGUGGUGAUAGUGUUUUAGACUUCUGGAAUAUUACUAGAAUCGGAGAGAGUUGUUCUGGUGGUGGGUGCGAGGUUUGUGCAGAAACUAAGGUGCCUGCUCUUGCUUCCUCAACUGCAACAUCUGUUGGAUCUUCACAAUCCCCUUUGUUGUGUUCUCAAUGUGAAAGAAAAGUUUGCAAAGUUUGUUGUGCAGGAAGAGGAGCUCUACUGUUUUCAAAUUAUAAAUCAAGGGAUGUGACCAACUACAAUGGCUUCUCAAGUCAGAGUGGAUCAAGCCAUGGAAGCCAAGUUGAUGUAGCUACCAGUCGUUCACUAACACUGGAUGGCGUUAUCUGUAAACACUGUUGCCAUGAGAUGGUGCUUGAUGCAUUGAUGUUGGACUAUGUUAGGGUCUUGAUUAGGUUGCGAAGAAGUUCCUGUGCAGACAACGCAGCAUACAAUGCUUUGAAUGAGGUUGUUGGAUCCUGCUUAAAGGAUAGUCUUUCUGAGAGGAUUCAGUCUUCCGAU